Molecule: long non-coding RNA, 92416 nt
Filed under: Malus domestica (apple)
Lineage: Eukaryota; Viridiplantae; Streptophyta; Magnoliopsida; Rosales; Rosaceae
Description: long non-coding RNA (MDOM_LNC009190)
Source: RNAcentral
AAGAUAAGAAAAAUAAAUUACAUCAUUCAAAAAUAAAUCCGAUCCUCUACUCAAUGGGUCACGCCCAUAAUUCUCUUUUCUGCAUGCCAUCACCACCGUAAUUAUGUCUGUUUUUUUUUUUUUUUUUAUCUUCUUUUGCUUUGCUGCUUUUGCUUUUCCCACUCCAUUUCCUGCAACUUUCAAAACAUCAAGGUUGGCAGAGCCCAUAUGCAGACUUGCUUUUGCUUUUUCUUGUCACUUUUGUGGGAGUGGUUGAGCUGUCUGAGGGCCUUUCUUUUUCUUUUGUUGGAUAAGUGCGACAAAGCAUCAACAUGCUAGCACAUGUGAAUAUCUGGUAAAGCUAAGUCUUUUGUUGGGAAAAGCUAUUCCCUUUGUCCAAGUGGGUUGUUGAAGAUAACCCAUCACUGUAGCUCUACCACAAGCCUGCAUCUUGGCUUCCAUGCUCGCCAAUAGUACCGUAUGGACUGGAUUCCAGCAUUCAGUUGCAAACUCGCAGCCAUUUGGAUCGUCACCAGGAAGCCUUGAAUUGAAACACACAUCGUUUUACUGAAAACAUCAGAUUUCUCUUCCUCUCCUCAGAAACAACUUAGCACCCAAAACAGAGAAGGAAACAUCCUGCGGACGGCAAGGCCACCGAGAAGCUUGUAACGGAGAGACUCGGCCUGAGCAAUAGCGCACAGCCCUCUGUUGUUAACCUUCUCAGCGUAAAGCUCAACGCUGUUUUCUGGAAACUUAAACCUCUUCUGUACAACAGAGGUUAGCUCCCUGAUCCUCAUCCCCUUCUAUCCGAGAACGUUUUGGGUUCAGGUGGCUCGGAUGAUGAUCUCGGUUCGCAUCAACGUAACCCUAACUUCAACGCCGGAGUAGCCGUCUUCAAUGAGCUCUCUCGUCAGCACCUCGUUCAGCUCGGUGAAGAAAACGCCAUUGGCGACGAACUUUCGCUUCUUGCUCAUUUGGGUCGCAGUCGCCAUGGUUGUAGGUGUGAAAGUUGUAGAGAUGGGAUUUGAAAUGUGGUGGCAGGAGAGGAUUCAAGGCCACCUGGGUAUCUACAACAUUGUUCAACUUGAUGCCAAACUAAAAGUACAGGGCCUCACUAUCUCGUUUGCAAUCAUGAAUGACUUUGGUGAUAUAGAGAGUGCAGGCUUAUAGGCAUUGAUCAACAUCACUCAUCCCUGAAUGGCAUCAACUAGAUAUGUAGCAUCUGGAAAUGCAAGCUGUAUGAUACAGAGAGUUCCAUGACGACAGAGGUCAACUCCCUCACAAUCGAAACCAAUGACAAAUGGCCUUUCAGCUGAAUGCUGGGCUAGGCGAAAGAGGAAUGUGAGUUUGUAAAGGAGGAGGUACAGAGGCCAUGAGAUCGGACCAUCCACGCCAAUCUUUAAUUUUGCCUCCAAACCAACGAAACCCUGAUUCUCUCUUAUUCUUUCUCUUCUCAUAUGCUGAUUGAAUGGGUGUGAUUGUAACUGACAAAUAAUGGUAGAGAGAGAGAGAGUUUGUGGUUGUUUGAAGAGGUGAAAGAGAUCAGAAGCAAGAGCGAGGCAGAGAGAGUUUUGGUUGUCUUUUGGGUUUUGCAGAUCCACGACGAAGGUCAAAAAUUGAGAGAUAACCGACAUAGUUUUUCAUGUCGCUUCCCACAGACGGCUCCAAAUGUUGAUGCACAAAACCUGAAGUCUUGGAACAACGUAAAUCCGACCGUGAAUCUACAAGAAAUGUAAAGAACACAAGAUGUAUCAUGGUUCAUCCCAAUGUUUGGGCUACGUCCACACUGAUAUUGUAUUUCUCUGUUUGGGAGAGGAUUGUGAGGGAGAAAGCCUUUGUAUGUGAGGAUGAGAGCUUUGUGAGGGUGAGAGGGCUUUGUAAUGUGAGAGUGAGGCUUGAGGUUUGUGAGGUGAGGAGGCCCUUUUAUAGAAUAAGGGCUCAUCACUUAUUACAUAUUUGCCCCUCUAUUUAUUACAUAAUUACAUUUGAGUCCCCCGAGUAUUUAUACGAGAUCUAAAUACGGAGGCCCUAAGUAUGGUACAAACAACCAUGUUUCAAUCGUAUAAUCAUAUUGGAAUUUGGAGAAGCAUAUACAUAUGUAUAUCGUGCUAAUAAGUAAAUAUUUUGCAGUGGGAUCCAAACAUGGAUUGAAGUAUAAAAUUUAAAUAAGGCCUUUGUUUUGCAUGUAAUAAGUUUUGGUCGAGCCAUUGGUUAUGCAGGUUUUAUUUACAUGUGCUUGCUUGAUCAAUAAAAGCCAAUUUGAUUAGUCAAAAUAGAUUACCACCAACGGUUCUGAUAAAGGGAUAUAAAGAAAAGUUUGAUUAGUUAAUUCAUUGAUUAACUACGAUUGAAAACCAUGGAAUAUUUCAGAGUUUUGUUUCAAUUUUAAUGCUAAUAUUUGGUUGACCGUGUGCUACUAUUGUAUAAGUUGAAGCCAUGAAGGUUAGGGUUGCUUUUUACACAUCCAGAGACUGCAGCCUACCACCUCAAGGGCUCCAAGGCGAGCUCUAUUAUAUUACACGUGAUAGAACUUCUAUGUUAGGUGCGUCCAAGGUGGACAACGACAACGGCCCAAUACGGGUCAAUACCUAAGGUCACAAGUUCACGUGACAGAACUCGGCAAAAGUAUAGGUUAUGUACAUUUGUAAUCUCAAGUUUUUAUAAGCAUGUGUAUGCAUUUACAUUUGUUCUAACCUUGCAUUGGAGAAUUUCUUGAGAUUCCUCCGUCGAGCAAACCCAAUGGGGAAGGUCAUCGGUAUAUGAGAUCCUGGUAUGAUAUUUUCUUUUGGUCUUCAUGUUCAGUUAUAUACAAUAAUGGUUGUGUUGGAUUCAAGAACCAUUGAUUGAUGAUCUAAGCAAGUACAUGUAAUUUUCAAAAGCCAAUUAUGGAUAUAGAGCUUGCAUUACAUGUGUAAAUUUUAUUAUAACACCAGUAUCCAAAUUGUAUGCAUAAAGAAGGCAUACCGAGAAACAUUGAUAUAUGCAUAGAUUAUCAUACUCGUUUGAGACUGUUUUAUCAAAAUAGUUUGGAUAUUGCAAGAGCAUAUAUGUCGCCUAUGGCUUAGCGUUUGCAAGGUAAAUUGAAUAAAGUUCAACUCCAAUUACCAAAUUAUUACAAUUAAGAGAUGGGCAUGAGAUUUCGAAUGCUGCUUGACAUUUUUCUAAAUGCAGGAGACGGAAUUGGUUCACUUUUAAAUUGUCUCAGUACUAUUGUUGGUACAUAGAUUGUGCCUACAUGUAUGAUUAUGAUAAUAUAUAUUAAAGUUGCGUUUCAGGGAUGCAUAUGCUAAGUUAUUUGCAGAUCAACUUUAUACAUGCUUGUCAGUGAAUUUAAUGUAUUUCUUAUACAUGAAAGUAAGUCAUCCAUAUUUUGGCAAGCAUUUGUUAAGCAAAUGGCGUGUAUAGUGUUACUUGUAUGGCUAUUUUGGUUCAAGCAUGUAUUACUUGUAUGGCUAUUUUGGUUCAAGCAUGUAUGAGAUGAUGCAAUUUUGAACAUUGCCAUGAGCUUGGAAUGUAUUGAAUUAUAGCUUUUUGGUUAAUCAUUUGAUUAUACAUUUGUUUAAUAAAAGGUGGUGAACAUAUGAAGGCAUGAGGUAUGUUAUCCAUUCAAAGUAUGUGACUUAAUUGAUAAGCAUGAAUUUUCAAACAUGUAUUAUCGUUUGUGGUUAUUCCUAUGCCUAAAGAAUUUAAACAAUACUUUGAUUAGUAAAUUUUUAUGUGCCAUAAAGGGAAAAGAAAAUGAUUUUGGUUGUUCCUUUUAUUUAUUUUGGUAUUUACAAAGCUAAUGCAUGAUUUUAAUGCUAUGUUUAGUAGUUUUGUACUACGGAAAGAAAUAUAUAAAAGGAAAGGAACCAAUUUGUUUUGAGUGAUUUAGCUUUUAAUUUAAAGGAAUGUAUUGUUCUCUCACAUUACAUAAGGUAUUUCUAAUUGACUCUAUAAUGAUCAGUAUUGACAUUCUUGUGGUGAAAACUUGUCCUAUAUGUGAUUAAUCUCCUUCAAGUAUGUUGUUAGGUUUUUGAGAUUAAUUUAAUGUCAAAGGGAGUCAUGAAGGAAUUAGUGCCAUUUGUUGGCAAGACUUGAUAGGAGCAUAUUUAUGCGCCUUAGUUAGCUAGUUCUUAUGCAUUUUCGUUAUGUUUUCGUCGUUAAAGUAGUCUGUUGAGCUACUUUCAUGUGUUUUCAGGCUUAAAGGGCAUAUGACAUAAAAGGAUGCAAAUUGGAGCCUUUUGGAGCAAAAUGGAGCUUAGAUUGGAAAGUACAUGCGUGGAGCACAAGGAAUGGACGAGUUUGAAGGGCAAAGGAGCUUAAGAAAUGAAGAAAUGAAUGUGAAGAACAAAGAAUUCAGAAUUAGAAACCAAAGUUUCUAAAAUUGGAAGUUUCUAUUCUUGGAGGUUUCCAUUUUCGAGAGUUUCUAUUCUUGGUUUUGGGCUUUCUAGAAGCCCUAUCUACAAACCCUAACCCUAGCCCACUAAUUUGCCGCACCUAGGCCUUUAAAAUUUCUGAUUUCCUUGCCUUGCAAGGCAUUCUAGAAGCCUAAACCCUAGCCCACUAAACCAGCCGAACCCUAGGCCUUUUCCCUUGCAAAUUCUGAUUGUUUUAACCUAUUUUCUGGUGGAUUGGGUUUCUAGAAACCCUAAUCUGAUUGCUAGGGUUUUUAAGUGCCUAUAUAUACUCUCUUAAACCUCUUGGCCGAAUAUACCAGCCCCCAUAUCAUUCAUUCACGCCAAAAACCCUAGUUCUCUCUUUGCCGCAACCUUCCACCCCCAAACUCCCAUAUUUCUGCCACAAUUCACCCUUGCCGUGCCUUCCCACCACCAUCACCACCUUGUGCAGCCACUAAAGGAGGAGAAAGAAGGAGUGCCGUGCAGUCCAAAGGAAGGAGAAGCCUUGCACAUGCAAUCUGCCAUUAGUGGAGUGUUUGGAGUUCUUUCUUUCUUUGUUUCUGUUUUCAUGUUUAAUUUAACUUGCCUUUCAAUUAUGUUAGACAUGUGGAACUAAUUUCUUUUUAGUUAGAGGUGAAUUUGAAGCCAUGGACAUAUGUGUUAUAUGAUUUGAUUUCUUCCAAUUAUGAUUUCAGAAAUUGUGAAUGAUUUACUUAUCUAUUUGAUUGAUAACUUGUUUAUGUAUGUGGGUUGAGGGUCGACACUUAAUUUGCAUGCUUAAACUUGAUGCUAGGGUAUAAGGGAAUUUCACCUAAUCGUUAUUAACUUGUAUUCAUAAGUAGUGAAAGUCGCUAGUCACGAUUGCGUUAAGUAAAUCCUAGGCAAGAGUAACAUGCGUAUCCCAUAGUUAUGAAUGUCUCGUCAAUGCUUAUGAUUUCCAUUGAACUUAAUGAUCUUUGAUAUGUGUCUCUAUCAUGCGUAUUCCAUAGUUAGGGUCCUUGAUAAGAAUAAUUUGGUUGUAAUGCGUAUUCCAUUCAAUUCAAUGAAUCUAGGGAAAUCUGAGAAUUAAUUGGUGCAAUCUAGUUAAUUUGGGGCAUUGUCAUUCAUGGUUUGUUGAAAGAGUAAUUGAAGAUUGAGUUGUAUGCAUAUGUUCAUGUGUGGAUAAGGAAUCCUCUAACUAGCUUCUCACCAUUCUAUUUAAUCACAAUCUGUUUUGCUUUACCUUUGUUUUUAAAGUUUGAGUUUUAAAGUUUUAAUUUCGUCAAAAUCAUUCCCCCAUUUAUUUUAAAGUGUUAGAUUAGUUAGAAAUCCAUUUAGUUGUGUUUUUAAGUGUUUUGAGUCAAGUCAUAGUCCAAAUUCGUCCAAACUAGUGUUAGGUACUCAAAACUGCCCAGAAAGUGGUUUUAAGGCAGUUUUGAGCCUUUUAGUUGCUGUUUUGAGUUUUUAGUUUGUUUAGGUGUUUUAAACCCUAGUUUUGCAUUAAUUGAGUCUAGUUUAGUGUUCUACAUUAUAUUUUUAUGUUCUUGAGUCAGUUUUACAUUGAUUAGCAUCCCUAGUUAAUCCCCGGUUAGAACGAUCCCUAUUUGCUCAUAUACUACAAUUGUCAUCCAUAGGGUUUAAUUUGUGUGUCAAGUUAAUUUUCACAUCAAGACUUGAAGCUCGAAUCAGGUUAUUAUAAUUUUGUCACUUACAGUUAAUUAAUCCAUGUGACUUUUUGUAUUGUUUCAGGGCGGAGUUGACCAAUGCCUUUUCAACUAAGCAAGACGCAACGGCUUAGUUGACGAUGGGACUGUGUUUUUGAGUUACUUAGGUCAACUUUGCAUCUUAAUUAGAAUAAAAGGGAUAAUCUUCUUGCCCACAGGUGUGGAUUACUUCUUUUAGUUUAAUUAAGAUGGCAUAGUAUAAGUUUUAUUUCACAGAAGUUGUGAAAACCUUCAUCUUGCCUACAGGUGUUGAAGUUUUCAUGAAGGAACUUUGUGACAUAAAAUCUAGUACUAGAAACUAGUUAAUUUUCUUGCCUACAGGUGUAAAUUAAUUUAGUUUUAUGAAGUUUAUUGGGAUAAAGUUCCAUGCCAUUAGUGAAAAAAAUAUUUCCACAAUGAGCCCCAUAAAAGGUUGUGAUUUGAAGGCAUGGAAAUCGGUUGCAUCAUGGUGUAUUUUGUAUCUUUUCAUGAGACUUGUUGGUGCAAAGUAUUGGACCCAUGAAGGUUAAUCAAGGAUUGCUAAGGUACACAUUGUUUAAAUCUUAUACUUGUAAAUCUUUUCAAUUUGAACUAUGAUGUCGGUUUAGAGGAUGAAAUUUGACUACUAAAGUUUCCUUUGGACAUCGAAAUUGAAAUGAUAUGAAAUUGAAUUUGUUAUGGAUACAUAAAUUCAUGAUAGAUGCAUAUAAUUGUUUCUGGCAGAUUACAUGUCUUGAAUUAAAUAGGGUGAAUGACACGUCUAAUGGUCACCAAAUGACCUGAAUUUUGGAUAUAUUCAACAUAUAGAUGUCUACUAUGCAUCUGCUAAUUUUCGUAAUUUUCUGCCAUGUAUGUUAAUUAUGGUGAAUUUACUAGUAACCCAUGCUCGUACAGACAGUUUUUACUGACAGAUUGUGUUGGUCUUUUUGAGACGUCACUUUAGACUACUAUCUUGACCCAAAACGGCUCCGUAUUUUUAUUUUAUUAAGAUUAGUAUGUCUAUUUUGAUCAGUAUGAAUUUAGUAGCAAUCAAGCGUAUAAAUUAAUUAUGAUUAAUUCUAAAGUGAGUGUACCUCGUUACUGAAAUUCUGUUUGACAACUUUGUGUUGGUUGUAAUGUCUGAAAUAUAAAGCAAUUUUAUUUAGGUACAUCUUUGAAAGAGUGUUUGCCCAAGUGGGAGAAUUAGUAAAUUGGGCUUCACACUCAUUAACUUAUUUGCAAGUAUAAACUCUGAAAACUUAGUGGAAGUUAUUCUAAAAUUGUGAGCAUUAAGUGGACUUGCAUGAAUCUAUUAAAGCAUUAUUCUAUCUUCCAUGAAUUUGUGUUACUCGAUUAUCCAUAAUAUGCUUAAGUUGCAUGAAUGGAUACUUGGUAUAUGUGUACAUUUUUCUGUUACUUGCAAUCAUUUGGAUUUCUCGGUUGAUCAUUUGUUUUGGGGCUCAUAAGGACUUAGCGUGAAUGUGGACUUAUUAAUACAUAUAAGAUGGUUGUUGGAUGCAUGUUUUGUGUAACAGUGGUGAAUGUUUUCAUGCUUAGUUGUACCUUUCAUUAAGGUAAUAUGCAUUCAUUGACUGAGUAAGGCUAUUCCCAAAGGCAUAUUUUCAAAAAGUAUGAUUUAUGUAUUGAUUUGCAAAUUAAGUAAUGAUGUUGCAGAUCAGUGGGAGUUUGAGUUUCGUGUUAGUAAUGCCUUACAUUUGCAGAUGACCUAUAAGGUAUGUAUAGAAUCCAUGUAUUCAAUUUAAUCUCCAGUUGGAUUCAUUAAGUCAAAUUUUUCGAGUGCUAGUCAACUAUCUGAUGAAAUAUAUAUCAGAUAUCAAGUUGUUAUCAAAUUGCAUAUUAAAUGGCAUGGCAUGGUUUAUGUACUGCCUCAGUUGUGAGGAUUUCCAUCUUGCCUGCAGGUGUUGGAAAUCACUAUGAAAGUAACUGGUAUGGUGCAUAAAUCAGUGUCAAAAACAUAUUAAUUCAUCUUGCUCACAAGUGCUGAAUUAAUUUGUUUUAUGAAGUUUUUGGGAUAUUUUACUUGGACAUGUGCCUAUUUGGUAUUUUCAGUUGUGUCCGUUGGUUACAAACAUUGUUUGUAUUGUUACUGAUCUAAUGAAGGUGAUGCAUGAUUGUUUUGGAGAUGUAUUCACACCUAUAGGUUAUGGUGGUUUCAUUAGAUGAAGGAUACCUGCAUUGGCAGAUUUAAGGCUUUGAAGAAGCAUAAAGUGUAACUUAUGAGUUGCAAUAAGGUGGACCUAAGAUGAUAUAAAGUAAGACAUUCUGGUUAAUUUAAAGUUUCAUCUCUUGAUCAUAAUUUGUGUUUCAUGUGAAUGAGGAUCUUAGCAUGUGUGAUUAUGAAGGUUCUGGGUUGUGUCAACUCUACAACCUUGUUAGUUCCAUGUUAAGAAAUGCAUUUGACAGAAGCUGCAUUAAGGACGAGAUGUAAUCACUGUUACAUGGCCACUAAAGUGACAUUAGUCUUCAAUCUCAAGUAUAAACGUGAAUAUUACAUUUUGUAGACCAAGUGGGAGAAUGUUGGAUUUAUCCAAUAUAAAUCAACAUUUAAGUGGUCUACUACAUGUAAUAGGAAUGUAAUAUUGGAGAAUAAUGUUAAUUGUGAUUUGGCCUCUUAAAGAUAUCAAUCCUAUAUAAGGUGUCUUAUAUUGGAAAUAGGAUUGAUAGAAUCCUUAAUUGCAUAUGAUUGUGAUACUUGACUUGGAGGCUAAUAAAGUAAGUUUAGGUUUCCUUUAUGGAUGGAAACCCUAGCUUUUAGCCUAAAAGGAAACCCUAGCUUUUAGCCUAUAUAAAAACAUCGGUCCCUAUAAGCCCUAGAACACACAACAUAAUGCUUCCCAUAGAGUAGUUGUAUCCGGUUAGGAGUUUAAAGAAGAUCCUGGUGUUGCCGUGCCCUACUACUUUUGUGUUCGAUUUCCAUGGUCACCGUUGGAAUCAGGUCAGUUACUCAUUCGUUUGUGUUUUAAUUAUAUAACCUCAUAAGGCUAACAAUAAAAGGAUUCUAACUCAUGUAGACUUAUCACCAUCAAGGUUUUAGCGAGGCUACACCUGUGCGCCCAGUCCUCUUUGUACAAAUUCUUAUCCUUUUACAGUUACUUUUACCUACUUUCCCUAGAACUUUAUUUUACUUUUUAUUUUUGAACAAACGAUCUUAUUCAUACUAAAGACGAGGGGCAAUGGUUAAGCCUAGACAGUAAUGCUAAGUGGUUCCUGGAACUCGAUUUUAAUCUCACUCUGCUCUCUGUAACUCAAAAGUUGUAAUUUUAUUCUCUAAAACUCAAAGUUCGUUCUAUUUUACCCUUUAGAACUCAUUUUGUUUCCAUUUGCCUCCUGAAACUGUCGACUCUAUAAAACUUAAAAGUCGUUCUACACUGCUGUAGAUCUGUUAAUUUCUCAUGUGGAUUUGAUUUUGAGUGCGCCAAACUAAUCAUUUUUUUUUUCAUCUCUUCAAUUUCUUUUAAACUUAAUAUUCUCUGAUUGUUGAAUGUUUAAGACAUAAUAGAGAUUAUAAUCAAAUUUAUUAAGGAUGUGGCAUAAUCUAAUUGAAUGUUGGGUCCCGCAUAUAUUUCAGGAGGCGUCCUAGAAGUUUCAGAAAUAAGAGAAUCAAAAUGUUAAAGUGAAACCGUUUUAAGUUUCAAGGAAUAAAGUGUUGACAUUUGAAUUACAGGAGCAAAGUGAAAUCUAAAUGGAGCUCCAACAUGUGUACCUAAAAAUAAGUCUCCUUUCAAUUAAUGAAUUUCAUGUUAUAAAAGUGGAUGACCCACAUGAAGAAAUAGGCAAAGUCCCACCGCUUCCUGUCGCUUACAAUGUUGAAUGUGUGUUGCCUACUUUUACAUUUCUUGGCCUUAGUCGAGAACUAUAUGGUUUCCAAUAUAAAGGCCUAUUAGUUCACAAAUGUUACAAAGAAGAAAACAUACAAUCUCUUGUUUCAUUGCAUUGUAAUUUCAGUUUGAUAAUGAGAGAUAUACUGUUGCUGCCUUGAGGACGUAAGCACACUUGUCAAACCUCGUAGACAUUGUGUGUUAUUUACUUUAUGUUCUACUACACACAUAUUCUCAAUUUCACCACAUUUUGUACUUUUCUCAAGUUAUAAGCUUCACUUUUCGAUUUGUGAGUAGAUGCUUUUCAUCUUCUUUUUCUGUUCACUUGACCUGAGCUGAUGCGAUUGGUUCCAUGUUUUUCCCACUGUUCGAAAAAGGGUCUAGGCAGCCGCCUAGGCGCUGGGCGUCAGGCUGUCGCCGCGAUUAUACAAGAAACAUUCAGUAAAUCGGCAAGGGAAUUAGGCAGUGUCUAGGUGGCCGACUUGGCAGGCUAGACGGCCGACUCAGCGAGUUAGGCAACCUAGACGACAAACUAGGCGGGUUUGUAAAAAAAAACUAUAUACGUCUCGCAGCUUCACUCUUCGCGUAAAAGAGAAUGCGACGACAUAAAAUCUGGAGAAAGAUAGAGUGAUGGAGCAAGAGAGCGUGAGGGAAGAGAGUGAGAGAGACGUUUAGAAGCAAUUAGAAAAACAAAUCUGCAAUUGCAGGAAAAUAAUGAGAAAUUGACAUAGACUGGACACUUGGGAAGUUGGGAUUUCUUCUAUGAGGAAUUCGUUGCCACAACCAGGUUUUGAGAAAUUAUACAGAGGAAGAAGAAGAUAAGGAACUAGGCGGAGCAAUCAAAUAAUGGGAGGAAAAGAAACAGAGAGAAUCCAAAAUAAAGGUCUUCACGGUUUCCAAGAUGUAAAUGACCAUCCUCUCUAUUUGACCGGUUUCCACCACUUUCCCCUUUUAAUUAUCCACUCUCCACUGUUAUAAAUUAUAAUCACCCACUACUCACUUAUAAUUUAUAAUAAAAGAAAAUAAAAAAUAAUUACUCACUCUUCACUAUUAAAUAAAUAUGUUAUAUAAUAUAUUAGGAAUAGUAUUUUAUUAUAUUUGGUAUUUCUAAGACCAUCAUAUUAUUAUACUUAAAACUCCUACAUUACAUAUAUACUUUUAAAAAUAAUGUAUUAUUUAAUGUUUAUGUAUUAUUAUAUUUGGACUUGUUGGAUAUUCUUUUUGCAUUUUAUCAUUCUUUUAUUAUUUUAUCUAUGGAUUUCAUACAAGUAUAAUUUUUUUGUAAGUGUCAAAAUGCACUUAUUUACAAGACAUACAAAAAAUUUCCCUAAAUCCACCUCGUCCACCUAGGCGCCCGCCGCCCGACUAGUGCCUAGCGUUUUUUAGAGCCUUGGUUAUUUCUCGCUUCUCAUAGCUAGCAGCAUGACAUACAUACAAUAAGUAAACUGAAAAUAUGACUUUAGUCCAUAGAAUUCAAUUUUACACAUAAAAAACCCAACAUGACUUUUUUACUCUAGAAAAACCCAGUGACUAGUGACACACCCAGACCUGAGAUGUCUACUAGGACUCCGAAUCGAGUUGUGCUGACCAACACCUGGAAUGUGACAAAGCCAUAAAGUAUGAUGAUGUGGAAAAAAUGUGAAUAAAUUUAAACCUAAGAGUGCCUAAAAAAAACAGAGUGCGCUAGUGAGCGGGAAUGAACCCAUUUCACACAUGACUUUAGAGCAUAAGUAAGUGCAAUAGAGUGGAUUAAGAAUCAUACCCUCGAUAGAAAUCUCCAAUACUAAGAUUUGCCACGAAUCCUCAACAAUAAGAAAGCUCAUCUAAUAAAACCUGAAAGGUGAAAACAAAACAAGGGUGAGUGGCCCUAGAAAUAAAUUUUUUAAUAGAAACCUUCUAAAACGUUAUAACCCCUCGAUGCAUCACAUUGUAUAGUUUCUAGAAAAUCAUAUCACGUAUCAAUGUGAAAUAAAAAAUAUAUCAACAGUAAUUCCAUAAUUAUACCACGACCCAACAACUCAUCAGUAAUAUAAAUAAUCAUGCGCUUAAUAAUCUAUAUUAGCAUGCAAGUUGGAGUCACCUAAUGUGACAUGUACGACUGCACCCAUAUCUCAUCAAUCAACGUUAGCACGUAAGUCAAAGUCACCUAUAGUGACCCAUACGACUUAUCCAUAUCUCAUCAAUCUAGCUCUUAUCAAUCAAUGCUAGCACAUAAGUUGGAGUCACCUAUAGUGACCUGUACAACUUAUCCAUAUCUCAUCAAUCAAUGCUAGCUCAUAAGUCGGAGUCAAGCACUAAUGCCGGGGUGCAGGUUUAUGAGCUCUAAUUACAUCUAUUAUAACAUGUACGACUCAUGGGCAACCUGUACGACAGUGUCGGAGUUGCCUAUCAUUGCAACAUGUACGACAAGGUCGGAUUUGCCUAAAACUUACAUGUAGUCAUGUCAUAACUCCAUCAUUUCAACUAAUACCAUAAACUCACCUGAACUUACCUGGGUGUCCUGUGUUCACCUUUGCACUUCAAAGCGUUCAUAAUAAUUACGAGCAAUUAAUAUACAUAUGGAUAUACCAUGAUGCAAUCUAAUACUCAAUCAUGUCAUAACAUUUACAAUUAUAUACAUACAUACAUAUAUAUAUAUAUAUAUAUAUAUAUAUAUAUAUAUAUAAUAUGACACAAAAUGCAUAAGCUGUAAUGCCCUACUCCCGAACUAUUUAUUUUCAGAAAUAAUUAUCGGUGACAAGCUCAACUAAACACUAAUAUAACUAACUAUCAAUACUUACGAUUCUUUACUUCAAUUUUUGAUCCUUCACACAAUGAUUUAUAACCAACAUCCCAUCACUAAAUCAUAAGGUUAAAUCUCACAUUUUCCACCAAUGUCCCUCACAUUGCACAAUUUCCCAAACAAGGCUAUUGUCUCAAUUAUUUAGUCUCAUUUAUAUUAUGGCUGCAUCUAACGUCUCGUUAGACUGCCUAUGUACCAUAAACAGGGAUCAAGCCAUUCAUAGUUCACAUUUGUACUUCUAAGCAUUCACAGUAAUUAUAUGCAAUAAUCAAUUUAUAACUGUUUGUGGAAUUAUCAAUCAUAUAUAUAUAUAUAUAUAUAUAUAUAUAUAUAUAUAUAUAUAUAUAUAUAUAUAUAUAUAUAUAUAUAUACGAUAGAAAGGAAAAGACCUACUUACUUGAGGUCCGCGUUACGACUCCCUAGCAUGCAUAUCGAGACAUCACAAACCAUUGUCGUCUAGAACAAUUAUCAAAUGACAUCUCAGAGUUCUUACCGAUAAAAUACAUAAUUUACAUAAAACACAUCCCUAUGUAAUUCAAUUCGGAAGAUUUGCAUCACGGAUUUCCGAUCCAUUACUUCCAAGGACCCACAUUAUGUUUCUAGAACAAUGUCCUAAGGUUUCAUUAUGAUCCAACAGUUGGAUCUCCGCCAAUUGCCAAAACCAAGUGGUGGUCAACAUUUUAUUUUAUGAACUUACAAUUCUAAUUCAAGAAGAUCCGUAUAUCGGAUUCUCGAUCCGUAAAUUCCUAUGAUCUUCAAAUAUUAUGUAUUAUAAGAUAUUAAAGUUUGGUGACAAUCCAAUGGUCGGAUUGUCGAUUCAUGUUUUUACCAAGUAACAUAUCAUAAAGAAUUUAGGUUCAAACGAUCAACCAAUGUCAUACUAACAUCAAAACUGAACUCAAGACAUCUAAUUUAGCCUAAAAAUAGUAUCGACGGCCCUCUAGCCAUGCACCGCCGCACGGGCUGCCGUGGGUGGUGGUCGGCAGCCCCGACUCGCCGGAAAAAUCAACUAUUUCUAAAAAUUCUCAAACUUCACAAAAAUGAAGAUCUCAUUGAGUGGAACAACUUUUAUACCUAUGACUAAGGCCAAUUUGGUUGUGAAGAGCUCCAAUUUCACUAAAAUCCACCGGAAACCCUAGAAUGGGUGCUUUUUGAUUCUCCUUUCUCAGUGUUCCAACAUCCCUACAACUGGUUGGGUCUUGUUCUUGGGUCCAAGGGGAGUUGAUUAAGGGUGGUAAUGGGUGGUGAAACUCGCCAGAAAGGAGGAAUCGCAGUCCAGCACCUCCAGUGCUCCGGUGAAGUUCCUUGCGGGUUAGGACCUAAAAACCCUUAAAUAUGGAUGGAGAUGGUAGGGGGAAGGGUGUGGAUGAGGUUGCAGGUGAUGAAUGGGUGAAACCUGCUUGAAAAAUGGCGGAGGAUCGCCAAAAAUCCACCCCGGGUCGAAGCCGGGUUUUCUGCAUAUGUAUGGCUACAGGAAGGGAAGGCUGAGAGCUUCCCUCUCUCCUCUCCUAAUUGGUGGAAAUGUUUUUUUUUUUCUCAUCUAAUUGGUCCUUAUUUUCUAUCCUUGAAGCUGAUUGGCUUCUUUCCUAUAAGAUGGGAGUUCAAUAAUUUAGUAAUCUAAAAUGUAAGUAACCAAUUUCAAACGUCUGUAACUAUACCGUUAUAAUCUGGACUCGCAAACGGCUUUUGCCUAUGCGUUCGUACCAUCGAGUACUACGAAAAUACGCCAAAAGAAUAAGUCAUACGUUCUUCCAGACGAUGGUCAACAUAAAUCAAAAUCCUUGCCUCUAGACAUUUUUGUCAAUUUCCUCGAUUAAAAAUAAAUAAAAACGAAAUUUUAGGGACUGGUUGUCAGACUAGGAUCCACAUAAGCGAUUUCAUUAAUUACAUUCAACUUGCCACAUUUUACAUAUUUCGGAUGCCGAAAAUACCCCUAUUGUAUGUUUGAUGUAUAAAAAUUAAUUACAUGCAAAUUAUAUGGGAGAGUUAAUGACUUUGACAAAUAAUAAAUAAAUAAAUCAAAAGACAUUAAUGUACGAAAUUAUGGAGAUGAAUGCACAAAGAAGCGAAAUUAAUGUGUAUAUAAAUAUAGCCGAAUCAAUGGUGCAUUUAAACUAAUUACAUAUUAAUAUGAAAUAUGGGAAUGAAUGUCCUAAAAACUAUACGAUUUUGAAUUGUUUUAUGUAUUGAAUGACUUUAUUAAUUUCAAUGACUAUUUAAAUGCAAGCAUCUACCCUAUGACAGUUAAUGAGCAAAAAAAAAGGACCUAGUCAAAUGUCAAUUUUUAGGCUACAAAAUUUGAACGUACCUCCAAACUUUGUGGAGUGUGCAUGUAAAUAAUGAGAAGACCAGCAUAAUUUCCGAUGCUAAAACAAAACGAUGAGUUGUGUCUUUUCCCAACCAUUCAAUCACAUGCCAAGAAUAUCACUGCUUCCCUCCACCUCCCUUCCCUUCGCCUCUAUAAGCAGCCUUGGGCAAAGCCAAGUUACUCCACUUCAUCCAUGGCUCCAUCUUUUCUCUCCCCCACGGCCUUGGGUUGCUGCUUUCUUCUCUUCUCCCUCAUUCUCUCUUCGUUUCCAGCUCUCUCAUUCGCCCUAUCCAAUGCCGAAGCCGCUCACAUAGCCCAUCGCCAACUCACUUCUCUCCCUGAGAAUGGCGACCUCCCAGACAACUACGAGGUUCAAGUCGACGCCAAUCUCAAAUUUGAAAACGACAGGCUCAAGAGGGCUUACGUCGCUCUCCAGGCGCAGAAGAGAGCUAUUUUUUCCGACCCUUUUAACUUCACCGCUAACUGGGUAGGGGAGAAUGUUUGUGCCUACAAAGGGGUGUUCUGCGCUCCGGCACUCGACAACCCGAGCUUGAACGUGGUGGCCGGCAUAGAUCUCAACCAUGCAGACAUUGCAGGACAUCUCGUUGUCGAAAUGGGGCUCCUUACCGACCUCGCUCUCUUCCACAUCAACUCCAACAGAUUCUGCGGUAUCAUCCCAGAAAGCUGCAGAAGGUUGACGCUUAUGUAUGAGUUCGACAUCAGCAACAACCGAUUCGUUGGUCGUUUUCCUGGAGUCGUCCUGAGAUGGCCUAAUUGCAAGUACCUUGACCUCAGGUUCAACGGCUUCGAAGGUGAGCUGCCUCCGGAGCUUUUCACCAAGGAGUUUGAUGCCAUUUUCUUGAACCACAACCGAUUCACGUCGGUAAUUCCAGAGACGAUUGGAAACUCCAAGGUUUCUGUUGUUUCAUUUGCAUUUAACAAUUUCAGUGGUUGCAUCCCGCACAGCGUUGGGAACAUGCGCAAUGUGAAUGAGCUGAUCUUCAUGAACAAUCAGCUUGGCGGGUGCUUCCCUCCUGAGAUUGGAAACCUUGGAAAAUUGCAAGUUUUUGAGGUGAGCUACAAUGGAUUUAUAGGUUCUUUACCAAAGAGCUUUGUCGGGCUACAGAGCAUUGAGGAAUUGGAUAUUGGGUACAACAGGUUGACAGGGUUUGUGACUGAUAAGAUUUGUAUGUUGCCUAAGGUGGCCAAUUUCACAUUUUCUUACAAUUAUUUUAGUGGGGAGGCUCAAAAAUGUAUGCCUAAUCCCAAAUCGGAGAUAGUGUUGGAUGAUUCGGGCAACUGCAUGCCAGGAAGGCCCAAGCAAAAAAACACAAAGACUUGUUUCCCUGUGGUAACUAAGCCUGUGGAUUGCAGCAAGCAUUGUGGUGGAUCUUCUACACCCGAAAAGCCUAAGACACCAAAGCCUCAACAACCUCCAACGCCAAAGGUUGAACGACCACCCACACCAAAGUCUGAACCGCCACUCACUCCAAAGUCUGAGCCACCACUAACGUCAAAGGUUGAACCGCCACCUACUUCGAAGGCUGAAGCUCCACCGACGCCUAAGGCCGAGCCGCCACCAACACCAAAGGCUGAGCCGCCACCAACUCCAAAGGUUGAACCACCACCCACACCAAAGGCUGAACCGCCACCUACUCCAAAGGUUGAACCGCCACCCACUCCGAAGGUUGAGCCACCAUCCACGCCAAAGGCUGAGCCCCCACCCACUCCGAAAGUUGAGCCACCACCCACUCCUAAGGCCGAGCCACCAUCUACACCUAAGGCUGAGCCACCACCCACUCCCAAGACUGAGCCACCACCCACUCCCAAGGCAGAGCCACCACCCAUGCCUAAGGCUGAACCACCACCCAAACCAAAGGCUGAGCCACCACCAAUUUCAAAGGUAGAGCCACCACCGACCCCUAAGGCCGAACCACCACAAACUCCAAAGGCAGAGCCACCACCCACUCCAAAGGCUGAGCCACCACCCACUCAAAGGGCUGAGCCACCAUUGACACCUAAGGCUGAGCCACCACCCACUCCAAAGGCAGAGCCACCACCCACACCCAAGGCCGAGCCACCUCCCACACCCAAGGCCGAACCACCACCUGCACCUAAAGUCGAGCCACCACCCGCACCUAAAGUCGAGCCACCACUCACACCAAAGGCUGAGCCACCAUCUACACCAAAGGCCAAGCCACCUUCCACACCCAAGGCUGAGCCACCGCCAACACCAAAGGCCGAACCACCUCCUGUGCCAAAGGCCGAACCACCCCCCUCACCAAAGGCAGAGCCACCUCCCACACCUAAAGUUGAGCCACCUCCAACACCAAAGGCGGAACCACCUCCAACACCAGAGGCUGAGCCACCCCAAACACCAGAGGCCGAGCCACCACAAGCACCUGAGGUCGAACCACCGCAAGCACCUAAGGCCGAGCCACCGCAAGCACCUAAGGUUGAGCCACCUCCUGCACCAAAGGUUGAGCCUCCUCCUGCACCUAAAGUUGAGCCGCCUCCAACACCAAAGGCAGAGCCACCACCGACACCAAAGGCAGAGCCACCAGAAGCACUAGAGAUUGAGACACCACUAUCACCUGCACCUUCACCAAGCCCAAUUGGUCGUAGCCCUAAGGAAGAUCCAUUAUAUCCAAUUCAACCACCACCAACACCAAAGCCUGUGCAAUCUCCUCCGCCACAAUCUCAAACACCAGAACCAACUCCAGAGCCUGUGCAAUCUCCUCCAGAGCCUGUGCAGUCACCUCCACCUCCAGUCCACUCACCACCACCACCUGUUCAAUCUUCUCCACCACCAAUUGAAUCCCCACCACCGCCUGUCCAAUCUCCACCACCACCAGUUGAAUCCCCACCACCGCCUGUCCAAUCUCCACCACCACCAGUUGAAUCUCCACCACCACCGGUUGAAUCUCCACCACCACCAGUUGAAUCCCCACCAUCGCCUGUCCAAUCUCCGCCACCACCAGUUGAAUCUCCACCACCACCAAUUGAAUCCCCACCACCGCCUGUCCAAUCUCCACUACCACCAGUCGAAUCCCCACCACCACCAGUCGAAUCACCUCCUCCCCCAGCUCCAACUCCAUCUCCUCUUUUGCCUCCUCCUGUGCAGUCUCCGCCACCAACCCAACCAGACUUCGUGCUACCACCAAACAUUGGAGCACUAUACUCAUCGCCACCACCGCCAAUGUUCCCAGGCUAUUGAGUAAUAGUUUAUCGUUUCACAUGUUUGCCUUAUUUUGUAUUUUUUUCUCUAGUUCGAAAACACCUUUUACACACUCACUUGUAACUUGAGAAUCUUGCAAAUACAGUGAGACAGGGCCGUCUCUGACAUUUUGGGGGCCCUGUGCGAAUGAAAUAAAAAAAAAUCCUUAUUUUAAAAAAUAUUUUUUGGACAAUAUAUUCAUACAUAAUUCAACAAUCAAUACAAAACACUUAAUUGAAAUCAACAUAUUUCUCUUACUAAUGGAAUGAUUUCUAAUUGCCAUGAAAUUAUGAUUUAAGGUCCAUCCAUGAAAAAGGAGCAUGACUGAAAGAGAUAUACGGAUGUGGUUGUGGAAGAAAGUAAUAUACAAGUUGGUAUUGUAUCCCUAGAGGAAAUUGGAAGAAAGUAAUACAAAAGUUUUCUUAUUGUUUGAGAAAGGUGAAAGAGAGUAAUAGACAAGUUUUCUUAUUGUUUGAGAAAAGUGAAAAUUAAGAUAUUAAGUAUAGGCUCCACUUAAUCAAUUGUAAUGUAGAUAAAAUCUUAUGUUGAUGAUUUUUCUUUUCAGUCAAAACUUUUUUAUUAGAAAAUUAUACUCAUAUGUAAUAUGUAGUAGGAUGAAAAUUUUUGGGGGCCCUUAGAAGUUUAGCGUCUUGUGCCACUGUGCCUUUUUACACAUCCCUAACGCCGCCUCUGCAGUGAGAUUUGUAAUUUCAACUACCUUCUAUUGCAACUUACAUUGGCUCUCUCUUUUGCUAAACUUAAUAUGUGUUAUCGUGGAUUUAUUGCUAAAGAAGUAAAAUAAAAAUAAAAAAAUAAAAAAAUAAAAAAGAGAGAAAAUGAUUCAAAGUGGUGGCUGAUCAUGAACGAAAUUAAUUUUAUUAUGAUUAAAUUACACUGUUAGUAAAGGUUUGUUUGGAAAACUGAAUAUAAGUGUUUUGAUUGUAUUUCUUUUCAUUAUAAGCACAUCAUCAUUUAUUUUUUUAAAUUCAAGUCUUUAUGAAGCAAGCAAUAAGCACAUAUCAUUCUACGAAAAUUUCACUAAAAACUGCAGACUAAGAAAAUACGUUUAACUAUAUUUGCCAAAACGUUAUCAAAAGUGUAUUUAGGUAUGUGCACUAUUAUAGCAGAGAGAGAGGACUUGUUUCCUAAUGAAGCCCAUAAGUAAUCACCACCCAUCAAUGUAAUAAAAUAGGAAACCAAUUCUCAUAAUUUGACAAUAGGAUUGCUUCCAAAACAAUAUCCAAUAAACCGAAUAUAUCACGCAUAGACUAUGUCAUGUGGGCCCACACGACAUAGUCUAUGUGUGAUACGUGUCAUAUGUCAUAUUCUUACAUUCUUCCAUUUGGCCCACACAACACAUAUGACACAUAUGUGAUAUGCCUUAUGGUUUAAUAAAUAAGCAUUAGGUGCGCAUUAUAUUUGAAAGCACCCUCACUAUAAAUACUGAUUUUAAGUAAUUCACUAAUGCAAGUCAAGGAUGUUUUAAAUCUACAUGCGAUAUAAUUCCUUCGAUGUACCACAACAUUAAUAAAUUACUCAAAAUGGUCAAUUAGUGAGAAGUAAUACAGAGUUCCUAUAAUGUGUUUGUCAGAGACUGUUCCUAUUAUAAUAUAUCCAAUCUCAAACAUGUAUACAUCUAUUGGAAAACAAGCAAUAUCAUAAACAUAACCAAUUAUUGAGCUCAGAGUGUCAACUUAAAGAAUUAAACAUCAUACGACACACCUAAUCAUUAGUAUUGUCAUGAUUAUUACCACAAUUUUUUCGACAUUUUUCAUUUUUGCCUUCAACCAUUGUGGUAGCAAAUUUUUGCCAUCUUUAGACUUGACGAAAUUGUACUAUGGGACCAUGAUUUUUUAGGGCAAGAGUAAGGUUAAUCUGAAUACAGUUACCUCAAAAGUCCGAUCAUGGACUCACCAGCUCCAGGUGAAGCUGUAUCAAAUGGAGCAGUGGUGUAACCAUCACCCUGUUCUGGGGUAAUAGACGAAGUCCAAGCGACUUCGUUGGAUGACCAUGCUUGUUCCCCAAGACAUACGAUCUGAUCCAGAUAUGGACAAUUUCAGAUUUUAUAAGUUUUAGAGUUCAUAAGAGGAUGUAAUAUCUAUUUCUAGAUAUUCUCUAGGAUUCUCCCAGCUUAGAACGAUGAUUCCAUCCCAAAAAGUCUCUCUCCCAAAGUAUAUAUACACUCGUCUAGGGUUAAUAUCUGGUAACACAAUCUAAACACUUGAAUUCUCUUUCCCACUGAUUGAGUCUAAAAUCAUUCACUAACUUAACCAUCGGAUAACCUUUGGCAGACACACCCCUCCCACUCCGCGUCUUAGGAUUGGUCACAAUUGUUUACUAUUUUGUAGGUUGCUAGAGUUUGUGCACAACCACCAUUCACAGUGCGCGGAUUUGCUUGUAACAAUUGGUGCUUUCAUUGAGAGUGAACUCGUAUUCCUCUCGUCCAAAUUACUUUACCACCUAACAUGUCUGAAAGCUAGGUUAACAACAACAACUUUGCGGCCAUCCAAGGUAAUACCCAUAAAAAAUACGAUGGGGUCAUCACCAUAGACAAGAUUUGGGAGGACGUCAUGGAAAUCUGUCUGUCUCUGGAAAAUGUUCGGCAAGCCCGCUAGAUUUGCUAACAUAAAGGCGUGCAUCAAAGACUUAAAGGAAGUUGUUUCCCGUUUCAAAGAAUUGGCCACUCAAAAGACAGUAGUAAUAAAUCUGAUCUCCGAAGAAUCGCCUCAAUGUACCCUUAAGAACAUUGCAGGAAAUCCAAAAGGCUUCUGGGUCUCUACCAUAUCCAGCGCUAAAGGAAAGAAACAUUUUCUCAAGUAAAUUGCAUAUACAGGGAGCAAUAAUACCUGGGAAACACUCAGACAUAAAUAAAGGUGACUUGCAAGAAACCAAGAAUGAUGGCUUUCAUCACCAAACCAUUAGCCAUCGAUUCCAAUAUCUUGAUGUUCUUAGAUAUGGAUCUAGAAGAUGUCCACUCGCCCCAUGAUGAUGCCUUCGUCAUCAAAAUACAAAUCUCCAAUGCCCUAGUAAAUAUCAUUCUGGUCGACAACAGCUCAGGAGUUAGUUUAUUCUUCGAUGACACCGUUGAAAAGAUGGAGAUUCUUGACAGUGUCAACAAGGGGAAGACGACCAUCUACACCUUCAACGGAACCCUAGUCUAGUUUUUGGGAACAAUAAAACUGGCGGUCCAAGCAGAAACAAAUAAAAAAAAUUCUCAAACAAAAGACUCAAAGGGAAAAACAAAAAUUGUAUACACUCAGUACAAAGGGCUACCAACGCCACACACUAAAGCUCCAAAAUUUUAUGACCAAUGUUUCCUAAAAGCAAAAACCGAAUCAAAUUAGACAACCACACGCAAGAUUGAAGCACACAGACAUAACCCCCAAAAUCAUAAGAAAAAAAAUUCAAACACAAAUCCACCUACAAAUCGAAAACCACAAAAAAGAAAUUAAGUUAGGCACACUGAAAAAAGACCUAAAAAUCAUCAGAAGACGCGAGAUCACGUGAGGAAAAAAAUGAAUUUUGAUGAAAUCGAAAAUGGCAAAAACUUGUAGCCAGUUAAGGGUUUUGAACCAAAGAAAUUCGUAGGAGUAGAAGACUAUUCCAGCAACAAAAAUGGUGGCAAAUGAUCACUGAGACAAAGACGGAAACUAUAAACAGCAAGAAAAUAGGCAGUGCGAGAGAGGAAGAAACCCAGGUCCGAAUCGAAGCAAAAUGCUAUGAGAGAGUGAAAGAAACAUGAAAGAAAAAGUGGAGAAGAAGUCAAAGGCAGCGAUGAUAGAUGUGUGGCCAACAGAGGCAAAAAUGACUUUCCACUACAGAAAAAAAGGAAACAGCACGGGAAGCACAGAGAAACCGAUGGCAUUUCCGCCCGCACACUAUUAAUAAACAAUGUCGUCCCCCAACUGGGUUUUAGUAUAUAUAAUUUUUUUUUUUUAACAAACGAUAUUUCUGCCCGCACACUAUUAAUGAACAAUGUUGUCCCCUAACUGGGUUUUAGUAUAUAUACUUUUUUUUAUAACAAACGAUAUUAUCUACACUAGGAGGAGGGGUGGUUUUAGCCUCAAAAUGGACUAGCAAUAAUGUGGUUUGAAUUCGCUUUUAGCGAUAAUCAAACAUAAGACAUUUCACUUACAAGUGAAGAUGAAUACUACUAUACCGUAAUCAUAAGUGACUCUAUUAGUAUUAAUUAAAUUAACUAAUCCAAUAUAUAUAUAUAUAUAUUGUCACAUCCCGGCCCGGGGCGGAUCACUUCCCGGGCCCGCUCUAACACCUUUAGCAUUCCCUUAGGACCUAGAACAAAGCCCAAAGCGGACAAUAUCGCCGAUCCUAGAAUCAAGGCGUGCUGGCCGUCAUGAGAGCGUGACGGCCAGCACGCCUUGAUUCUAGGAUCGGGGUGUCAUAUAUUGUAUCCUAAAAAUCUAAUGUUGGUUUGAAACAACUUGAUCUUAGAUGCAGAGACAACUAAUCCAUUGGACUUAAUUAUUCUAGUGAACAAAUGCAAAUGUUUCCAAUGUUCGUCUAUUGACUUUGAAUAAAUAAGAACAUCAUCAAUAUAAACAAUUGAAAGAUGGCUAUAUUGAUUAAAAAUCUCAUUCAUUAUAUUUUGAAAUUCACCUGGAGCAUUCUUGAGGCUGAAAGGCAUUACAUUCCAUUCAUAAUGUCCGAGAAAGUCUCUUUAUCAAAUCUCUUUUGUUGGGGAUUGGAUACCGAAUCCAUUCCAAAACUUCAUUCAAAGGUUUGUAGUUAAUAACUAAUCGAGGAGUUCCUCUUUCUAAUUUUGCAUUCUUCUGAACAUAAAAUGCAAAGCAUGACCAUGGAGAUUUACUUUUCCUAAUGAUACCUUUAUUAAGCAGUUCAUGGAUUUCUGUCUUACAGAAUUCUAAAACUUCUUGACUCAUUUGAAUUGGUCUGGCCUUAGUUGGAAUUUUUGAUUUGUUAAAAUCCUUUAUAUAAGGAAGUUUAACAAUGUGUUGUUUUCGAUGCCAAAAGGCAUUGGGAAUAUCGGAACAGAUGUCAUUGACAAGGUUUUUUUGAAAAUUAUCAAUAGUUUCUAACAAAGAUUUAUUUGUUAGUUGUUCGUCAAUUCGUUUGUGAUUAAUUUCUUCCUUUAAAAAAUUAAGUUGUAUAGAUUUAUGAUUGAUUAAGUUGAUGGAUCACGAUAUGCUAUCCUUUUGGAGAUGUCUUAAUUUUUUUAGAUUAGUUUCCCUACAGAACUCAAACGUGACUUUCUGUCCUAAAAUUUUUUUGGUAAUCCUAUUGUGAUGAACCUUAAAAGGAUAUAUGAGGGCUAGAAAUGGAAGACCCAAGAUAACUGGUCGGAAAUAUUUUUGAUUAAAACAAAUGGAGUUUUGAAACAAACAUCAUUUUGACAAACAUGUGCCUUUGAGUAUUUCAUAUUUUAAUUGCAUUGGUGACUGGUUAGUAGCCCUAAGUAUUUCUGAUGACUUAUGAAAAUACUUAGUAGGGAUUAACCCUUCUUGAAUAUAAUUCAAAUUUGCACCAGAGUCAAUCAAAGCAAUUGAUUCAAAAUGAAAAUCAUCAAUUAUUAUUUUAAUUUUAGAAUACCAUUUAUGGAUUCUUAUCUUGUCUAAAAGACUUAAAAUUAAAUUUCCUGUGGAUGAUUGGUCAUCGAAGUUGUGAUCCGAAGAAGAACUACUUUGUUCUUCAUCAUUGUUAUUGACAAGUGUUUGGGUUCGGACUUUACUAAUGUGUGUACGAAUUUCUAGGUUCUCAGAUUUUAAAACCCUAAUUUCUUCUUUGAUUUUAUUAACUUCAUGUUGUAGAUCUUUAAUUGUGAUUUAUUUCUUAGUCUUAUUGAACCUUUCUAAGGUUUUGCUAAGAGAAAUUCUUGGGGUUAAUUGGGUUUGGCUAGUGCUAGGUUCUUCCGAAGAAACUAAUUUCUUUAGUUUCUUAGGAUAGAAAGAUUUAAGUUCAGGGUCAUCGACUUUACUUAUUAAUUCAAUAAGAAGAUCUUUUUGUUCUUCUUGUUUAUUAAGGACUGAGAUUUUUUCACAACAAGCAUAGGUACAUCCUAUCUUGAUGUCAAGAGAUGAAGAAUCACUUGAAGGGUUAUUAUCUGAAGAGGAUAAUUCUAAAUCAUUUUCAGAUUAACUAUGGUCGGUGUUCCUAAGUUCUACGACUUGAAUUAACUGAAGUUUCUCUUCCUCAGAGAUCUUCAAUUGGUUGAUUGUUUUCUUAACUCGGCAUUUAUUGGCAUAAUGGCCAAAUUUACCACAUUUGUAGCACUUUCCUUUUUGUUCUUGAUUUUUGGAGUGGAUUUUUUUACAGGGUUUCCUCCUCCACUUGUUGGACACUACUACAAAAUGGUCUUAUAGUGUCAGUAGGUGGUGUUGGUUUAAUUUAAUACAGUGGCGGAUAAGAUAGUUGCAACACUAACUGAACAUGACGUCGGAUUUAUUAUCGCUUAUAAGUGUCAUAAAGUACUAGUGUCGCUUUUAAACCGACGUAAACAUACAUUUUAAUAUUUUUAAAUAAUGGUGUCGCUUUUAAACCAACGUAAACAUACAUUUUAAUAUUUUUAAAUACUGGUGUUGCUUUUAAGCGACAUAAAGUAGGAGAGCUUUUCAAUCAGUGUUGCAAAAGCUUCCUUAUUUCGACGCACAUUAGGCUCACGUCAAUUUAAACCGACGCAAACUUGGCCUAUUUCGAGGUCGCUUGCUACGACUGUCAAGACUGUCAGGGACAUGUCGGUUUUAACCGACGCAAACUUGUCCUUAUUUCGACGCCACACAAACUUAUCCUUAUUUUUUAAAAUAUUUUAAAGCUUGCGUCGGUCCUGAGCGACAUAGAUUUUAGUUUUUUUAAAUAUUUUAAAAUCCGGUGUCGGUUGUAAGCGACAGAAUAAUUGUCUUUAUAUACUUUCCCCUGUGUUGUCUUCCUCCUCUCUUGCAUUUUUCUUAUUCGUUCUUCCAACUUCAAACCCUCCCGUGUUCUCUCUUGUACCUUUCUUAUUUGUUCUUCCAACUUCAUUUGUUCCUUCUUCACAACAGUAAGUUUUUCUUGCUUCUAAUAUUUUUAUUUUCUCCACUUAUGUUUAAUUUUUAAUUUCAAUUUCUUUUUGUAGGGAAUUUAUUUGAGUUGGUUGAGUACAUAAAGAUUUGAUCGACGACGGAAUUCUUCCAUAAUUCAAGUUUCUAUCACUAAAUUCUUUAAUUUUUAUAUUGUAUAAUACACAAGUUUAUUUAUUUAAAAGUUCUAAUUUAAGUACUUAGAUAAAUUUAUACUAUUUUUGUUAAAUUAAUAAAUAUUUAGUCGAAUUAAUUAAUUUUGUCACUUGAAUUGUUAUGAGAAAAAGGAAAUGAAUAAUAUUUAUAAGCAUUUAUGUGAAAUUGACAUAUUAAAUUAACAUAAACUUAUAAUAUUUAGUAAUAUAAGAAUAUAUUAUGUUAAAUUAAUUUGUUUUGCACUCUAAUUGUUAUUUUAAUUUGUUUUUGUUGUUAUUUUGAUAACUUUGAUAACUUUUGGUUGUUAUUUACUAGAAUGGAUUAGAUGAGCAUAAUUUUGAUAACUUUUUGUUGUUAUUUUAAUUUGUUUUUACUAUAACAAGUGUUGAAAAUUAAAAGAUUGCAAUCGUGAUAGAGUUUGAGGGUUGAAAGAUAGAAAUUGAAAAUUCUAAUAGUUAUGCCUACAUGAUAGGGAUUGAAAGAUUGUAGGCAUCAUAGUGUCAACGUAAUAUUUUGCCCUCGUAAAGCGGUAAAACAUGGAUAGGAGUUGGUUGACGAUAGCUCGAAAUUUGGAAGCUUAUACAACUGGAAUUAAUUUGUUUUUGGACCAAGCAGUUGCAAAUGGUGUUUGCCCUGAUACGUUUAGAUGUCCUUGCAAAAGAUCUUGUAAUUGAUAUAAUUUUGUUAGGAACACUGUUGUUGAACAUCUCAUAUUGUUUGAUAUGGAUAAAGAUUAUAAAAACGCUUGGUGGCGACAUCAUGGUGAGAAAAACAUUGGAGAGCAAAAUGUGGCAAUCGGAGAAGAAGAAAUAGGAGAUGAGGUGGCUGGUAUGCAUGAUUUUCUUAAUGAUGUAUUUGUCCAACCAUUUAUAGAAGAAGGUGUUGGGCCGUCUACUGAACCCCCUAUUGGGGAAAGGCGUCCAGAAGAGGUGGAGACUUUUUUUAGAUUGCUUGAAGAGGCAGAUCAAGAUUUGUGGCCAUGAUUUAAAGAGUUUAAUAAAUUGGAAGCAGUUGUAAGACUGUAUCAAAUCAAGUGUUUAGCGGGAAUGCCAGACGAGAUGUUCACCGCUUUACUAUAGUUAAUUAAAAGAAUGUUGCCUAAAGGGGAUUGUUUGUCUGAAUCCUGUUAUAAAGCAAAAAAAACUGAUAAAUGACUUGGGUCUGAAGUAUGUGAAAAUUGAUGCAUGUCCCAAUGAUUGCAUGAUCUAUUAGAAAGAUACUUCGGAGUUGACCGUGUGCUUGGUUUGUGGUGAAUCAAGAUAUAAAAUUACCAAUGCAGAUGAUAGCUUAAGAAAAAAGAUCGCAGCUAAGGUUAUGUGGUAUUUUCCUUUAAAACCACGAUUGCAACGAUUUUUUAUGUCGAAGCAUACUGCUGAAUAUAUAAGGUGGCACGCAACUGAAUGUCCUAAGGAUGAGUUUAUGAGGCAUCCUUCAGAUUCUCUAGCAUGGAAGCAUUUGGAUAAUUUAUAACCAGAUUUUGCGUCAGAAAUUUGAAAUGUCAGAUUAAGGUUGGCCAGUGAUGGAUUUAAUCCUUUUGGGAAAAUGAGGCAUGACCAUAGCACAUGGCCUGUGGUGCUUUCUGUUUACAAUUUGUUGCCUUGGAUGUGCAUAAAGCAACCAAAUUUGUUGUUGUCUCUAUUAAUACUAGGACCGCGCAGUCCUGGUAAAGAGAUUGAUGUAUACAUGCAUCCACUAAUUGACAAGUUGAAUGAGUUGUGGGAGGUGGGCACUCCCACUUAUGAUGCAUAUUCCAACCAAAGUUUUACAAUGAAGGAUGUCGUCUUAUGGACUAUAAAUGAUUUUCCAGCUUAUGAAAUGUUGUCAGGAUGGAGUACACAUGGCUAUAAAGCCUGUUCACAUUGCAUGCAUGAUAAAGAAUCUAUAUACUUGCCGGUGAGUCGUAAGAUUUGUUAUAUGGGGCAUCGAUGUUUUCUUGAAGAUAAUCAUAGGUUUCGAAGGCAAACCAUAAAUUUUAAUGGUCAUCGAGAGCAUCGUAGUGCACCAAGGUAGUGGACUGGUUUAUAGUGUCUGAAGAACUUUCUAUUACUUUUGGAAAACCAAAGAAAGAUGCUUCUGUUGGGCAAUGCAGAAAAAGAACUUCGGGCAGUACAAGUAGUAAUAGUCAGUGGAAGAAAAAAUCUAUUUUUUAUGAACUACCUUAUUUGAGGCAUCUGUUGAUUAGACACAAUCUCGAUGUUGUGCAUAUCGAGAAGAAUAUAUGUGAAGUGUGGUGGGAACAUUGCUAGAUAUAGAAAAGUCUAAAGAUGGAUUAGUUGCACGUGCAGAUCUUGAAGUCUUGAACAUAAGGCGUAGUCAACACCCACAUAGAGAAGGAAAUAGAACAUUUCUACCUCCAGCAUUGUUCACGUUGAAAAGAGUAGAAAAAACUGCGUUUUGCAAAGUGUUGUCUACCAUUCGGGUCCUCGAUGGAUAUUCUUCAAAUUUAUCGAGAUGUGUGCACGUGAAUGAACGAAAAAUAUAUGGGUUGAAAAGUCACGAUUGUCAUGUUUUAAUGCAGCAGUUACUCCCGCUUGCAAUAUGCCCGGUUUUGCCUAAAGCUGUUCCUAUGGUAUUAUUAGAGUUGAGUGCAAUUUUCAGACAGUUGUGUAGUAAGAAUGAGUUUAAUGAAGGAUUCAAGCAACUGAAUUCAAGAAUUGCCUACUUGAAAAAAUAUUCCCUCCUGCAUUUUUUGAUAUAAUAGUGCACCUUCCAGUUCACUUGGCAGAUGAAGCAGCUCUUGCAGGGCCUAUUGAAUAUAGAUGGAUGUAUCCAAUUGAACAGUAAUUAAUAAAUUUUUAUAAAUUUUUUACAAUUGUAGUCAUAGCUUUAAUUUAUAAUUAUAAUAAUUUGUGAUUCGUUUAUAAUUGUAGGUAUUUGCAAAUGUUGAAGCACUAUGUUCGUAAUAAGGGUCGUCCUGAAGGUUCUAUUGCUGAAGCAUAUUUGGUGGAUGAAUGCUUGUCCUUCUGUUCCAUGUAUCUUAGAGAUGUUGAGUCUCGUCGCACCCGUAAAGGCCGAAAUGAAGAUGGUAUUGGACGUGGAGUGUUUGGUGGGUUAUCAAUUUUUGACUCCAAAGGAUGUUAUAUGGGUUCAGGAGAAAAUGUGAUGCUCGAUCUAAAUGUUCUUGAUCGGUGCCAUAGAUACAUUCUAAAUAAUUGUGAUGAAGUUCACCCAUUUAGAAGGUAAGAACGUUUAAUCUUAUGUCUUAAUGUUUUAUUGGUUUUCUUAACUUUGAAAAAUUAAUUAUCUAAAUUUGGACAUAAAUGCCCAGGCAACAUGAGAAAUUCUUGAAAAUGAAACAUCAUCGAGAAAGGUUAACUAUGCGACAAAUUCAGGAGCUAAGCAAGAAAGAAUUUCGAGAAUGGUUCAAGCAACAUGUGAGUUGAUAGAACAAUCACAUUAUUAAUUUAUAUUUUUACAUUUUAAUUAUAACAUGAUUUUAGUUAUCAUGUCAACUUUUAUCAUCAUUUUAUUACAGAUGAAUUCAAUAUGUCAUCCUAAUGACACGUUGAUAUCUCAAGACUUGCGUUGACUAGCUAAUUAUCCUAGCAGGGUUGUGAGUAGAUAUAAAAGUCACAUUGUUCAUAGGUUCAGAUUUCGUAUAAAAUCUGUGGAUGACAAGCAUAAGAAUCAAAAUUGUGGUGUCUUUGUACUUGCAAAUGUUCCUGGUGCAAUUGGGCAAGUGAAUUGUUAUGGCAGAGUUGUAGAUAUGUUCGAGGUUAAAUAUUAUGGUCAUGCUGAGCCAGGAGAUAGGGGUCAAGUUGUGAUGUUAUUUAAGUGCGAAUGGGUUAAUAGUGAAAGUCCACGAGGAAUGAAGACUGAUCAAUAUGGAUUCACUAUGGUGAACUUCAAUCGACUAGGAUUUAAAGAGGAUCCUUUCAUAUUAGCAUUACAAGCAUUUUACGUCGAGGACACAGUUGAAAAAGAUUGGCACGUAGUUGUUUGAACACAGCCAAGGGAUUUGUUUGACAUAUUAGAGCAUAGUGAUACAAUUGAAGAUUAUGUGGUACCAAAUUUGGAUGAUUAGAUACUUGACCAUGAAAAUUUCCAUACAAGGAUUGGCGUGGAAGAGACUUCUUUUCAUGAAUCAUUACCGUUGCCUACCCAGUUCGCUAGUAAUGCCAAUGCUGACGACGACACGACAUAUGAUGACAUGGAAUAAAUAUAUUAACUGUUUUUUGUGUUUUAAGUAUUAAUUAGACAAUAUUUUUGUUUUCUAUUACGUAUAUGGUUUAAGUUCAAUUUUAUUUAUUAAAAUCUUAAAAUGUUAUAUGAGAUAACCAAAAAAAAAAAAAAACUCGAUAUUUAUUUUUAUGGGCUAAACAUUUUUUUUAAAACUAUUUUGCUGUCGCUUUAGGCGACGGCAUGGAUGAGGUAGUGUCGGCUAAAACCGACAUGAAGUGGACUUGGGAAGACCAUUUUCAAUUAGUCACUUCGUAUGUAAAGUGGGUCAUAAAGUGGUUGUAUGAUUUAAUGCGGCAGUAAAGUGUGUCAAUGGUAGUGUCAGUUUAAACCGACACUAAAUAUAACUAAACCGACGCAACAGCCACAUCAUUAAAGCUUGUCAGACAAUAGUGUCGGUUUAAGCGACAUCCAGAUUAACUAAAGCGACGCCAUGUAAAUUUCAAAUAACUAUGUCAGAAAGUUGUUGUCUUAUUAGAUGCAGCAGUAAAUGUGUCUGUGAUGGUGUCGGUUUAAACCGACACGAAGUUUAGUUAAAGCGAUGCUGGUUUAUUAACUUUUGUCAAAAGUGUGUGGAAGGUAGUAAAUGUGUCAGUAAUGGUGUCAGUUUAAACCAACACCAAGUUAAGCUAAAGUGACGCCGUCGCUGGUUCAUUAAAUUUUGUCAGAAGUCUAUGGAUUUAAUAAUAGCAGUAAAUGUGUCAGUGAUGGUGUCGGAUUGAACUGACACCAAGUGUAGCUAAACUGACGCAACAUUUGGUUCAUUAAAUUUUGUCAGAAAGUAGGUGGGUUUAAUUUUAUCAGUAAAUGUCAGUGGUAUUGUCGGUUUAAACCGACACUAUUACUCAGUUAUUUCGACGCUAGUAGGUUUUAAAGCGAUGUCAGUGGUUUAAUGUCGGUUUUAACCGACGCCAAGUUAGCAUCCAUAUUUAAUUCCCUUAUUCCCCCCCCCCCCAUUUCGCCCGCGCUUUCUUUUCUUCCCAAAAUUCAGUAUGUCCAUCUCCUUCCCAAUUUCUUCCGUUUUCCACUUCUUCUCUCAUUUCACUUUUUAGUUUUUUACUUCUUGCAAAUUGUUUUGUUAUGGAUCAUUUUGAAGAUGAACUUGCUGACCAACCCCAUUUCGAAGAGGAAGAAGUCGAAGGUUGUUCAUUUUUAAUUUAUUAUGGUUUUUAGUUUUAGUUUUUUUGUUUUGGUCCAUGGUUUUUAAUUGUUUUUUCUUUGUUUAUAAGGAACAACUCAACGAGGACAGGGACCCUUGAUUCCUAACUGGAAGGAACAAGUUUGUUGUUUUGAUGCAUCGGGAAAAUGCAUUAGUGAAAAUUCCAAUGCAUUUUCAAAACAUGUAGCGGCAGAGGUAAGAGAUUCUAGACAUAUGCCGUUGGUGAGUGAUUGGCGUCAAAUAAAGGAAGAUCGCAGAGAAGCUUUUUGGAUAAGAAUAAAGGUAGAAUUAUUUUUUUUGUUACUAGAAGAGAGUAUAAUUAGUCAAUGUUUGUAGUAAUAAUUAAUUUGCUUGAUUUUUUUUUAUGCGUACAGGAAACUAUUAUUUUUCAAGAAGAGGAUAUGGCGAAAAUGCCAAUGAUCCGGCACAUGACACUUCAUAUUGCGGAGCAUGCGCAUAAGGAGUAUAGAAAUAAAUUGAAAAAAAAAAUUAUACUGAUAAACCAGUCGAGGAGUACCAGAAAACUCCUCCUAAUGUGGAUCCUCAACUGUGGGCUGAAUUGAUCUCCUACUGGAACAAAGAAAAAACGAAGGUAAACUUUUUAUUAUUUAUUUUAUUAAAGUUUGUAACGUUUUUAAUAAAUUAUUUUUUUCUAGGAGAUUGCUGCAAAAAAUAAGUAUAAUCGGCAGUUGAAAACGAUGAACCACACAACUGGUGCAAAGUCUUUUGCAAGAGUUAAGGCAUAACUUGUAAGGGUUGUUCAUUUUCAAGAAUUGUAGAUAUUUUUAAAUUUAAUAUAUUAUUGGUAGAAAUUUAUUUAUAAUUUGAUGGUUGGUGAAAAUUGUUUUUUUUUUGUUUUGUUGUUGACUUAUAAUUAUAGCGGAAAAAGCAUGAGGAGGCAGAUCCUGUUUCGUUUUUUCGUCACUGUCAUACUCGAAAGGAUCGCACUUAGAUUGAUGAAACGUCGGAGCGCACUGGGGUAAUUGAUUUUUUCUUUGUAGCAUAUCAUUGUUAUUAAAUUUUAUUAUCUAUAGUUGAAUUCUUAUUUUUAAAAAUUUUAUUGCAAGGCAACUAUGGAGGGGAAUAUUCAAACUAUGAUUGAGUCUGGGCAUGAAGAUGGUGAUGAGCUUAGGACCCAGGUUUAUGUGGAGACGAUGGGUCCUGAGCGUCAUAAUAGAGUACGAGGGUAUGGACAUGGGGUGACUCCGGAUAUGGUGUCGUAUGCAUCUUCCUCAACUUCUUCUAAUUCUUCCAGAAGAUCAUCCAAGAGUUCAGUGGUAGUUUUGUUGGCCGAGAACAAUGAAUUGAAAAGGAAGGAAGAAGCUCAUGCUAAACGAAUGGCAGAUCUAGAAUUUUUGCUUGCAGAAACACGCAGCCAGCAGCAGGAACAGAAUCAGCUAUUUAAGUUGUUACUGCAAAAAAUUCAGAUAAUAUCACCGUAUAGCCCAAGAACCAAACAAUCAGGCCAGGGUCAGCCGCCUCCUCCAUAUCCAUACCCACAAGGAACCCAACAGUCACCCCAAAAUCAGCCUCCUGGUGCACCUGUAUAUCCGUAUACAGGCUAUAAUCAGCAACCUCUAUAUCUGAUGUAUCCGACACAUCUCAUGGCAUACAUGCAGCAGCCACCCAUGGCUUGCAUGCAGUAGUAGCCACCCAUGUCAUACAUGCAGCAGCCGCCAUAUCAAAUGCCUGUAUAUCGACCAGAGAUGGCUUCUCAUGAUAGGAUUUACCUGGAUGUUCCAAUUGAAGGUUUUUCUGGAAUGCUUGCAGGUGGUCCAUUAGAUGUGGACAUGACAAGGUUUAUUGGAUCACAAGGAGGAUCUCAACAAGCAUCUCAAGAAGGAACUCGAGAAGCAUCUCGAAAAGGACAGGGUCACAUUUGGGCUCUGGUUCUGCUAAAUAGUGUGGUUCGCUUUCUUGUUGACUAUGUAUGACACUUCUGCUGGCGUUUAUAGUUUCUAUUUCUGUUUUUUGUAUGUUGUAUUUGUAAUGUCGGAUUUGGUGUUUGUUAUGACAGAUGAGUUUUUGUAUGUUAUUUGAAAUAUAAAAUAUUUGUUAUGAGUUUUUGUUCAUGGUUGACUAAGACUUGGCCUAUAAAUGAUAUAUUGGUUGGAACUAUUUUCAUAUAAAUUUUUGUAAUUGUUAUUAAUUAAAAACUGAUGUGAAGACUUGAAAAAAUAUAUUAAAAUAUAACAAUUACAAUCUGACGUGAGGAUUUGUAAAAUUUUUUAUUUUUAAUAUGUGUAGUGUCGAUUGUAAGCGACGUUAACUUGCGUAUUUUAUUAUUUUAGCUCAAUUGAUGUCGGUUGGAAGCAACACCAAGUGUGAUAUUUUAAUUAUUUAUUUACUACUUAAUGUGGGUUUGAAUCAACAUCUUGUCGCGUUUCUACGUCGCUUAUAAGCGACGUCAAUGGUAAUGUCGCUUUUAAGCGACGCCUUUGUUCCUUUUUAUUUUAUAUUACUUUGCUUCAUGGUGUCAGUUUAAGGUGCCUAAGUGACGUCAAUACCCUUUUUGUGACGGUAGCGUUGGUGUCGGUUCCUAUAUCUGACAUUGCACGAUUUAAUGUCGGAUUUUGCCUAAUAAUCCGACAGUAAGUGGUAUUUCCUGUCGUUUUUAAUCCGACAGUAAUAUCCCCAUUUGUAGUAGUGGGAUUUAGGUUUUUCAUAAAAUUUAUUGGUUUCAAAAUGUUUAUUUUUAGUUUUAUAUUUAUUGUAUUUAAGGUAUUGUCUACCUGAGUACUUGUUGAAGUACUUUUGAUAGACUUGUGAUUUUUUCUUCUUAUUAGAAGGAGCAAUUGGAGGUAAUCUGUAUUGUUCACAGAACGUGCCUAAUUCGUAUUUAGCGAUGGUUUUAUCUUUGUUAACUUGUUUUGAAAUUUUCAUAUUGAUACACAUUUUCAAGCCUUCUUUUUGGAUAAUAUUAAUUAUAUUUCCAUAAGUAAGGUUAUGAUAUGGUAUGAUACCAUCUUCAUUUACUAAGACAUUUCUAAUUUUGUGUGCAAAAAGAUUUGGUAAUCCAUUUAUAAAUUUUUCUUUCCAAAAUGGUUGAUUACUGUCUUCUCUAAGCAUGACUUUAGACAUGAACACAUCUUUGUACCAUCUAAAGUCGCUUAGAGUUGGACAUCUCAGAUUGCUGAGUUGAUCAUGAAUUCUAGAAGUAACAUUACUAGGUGUUCCUAUGAAGUGUUCUAUAAUUGUGAAGGGUAAUGUAUUUACUGCGUCUGGGACCCCUUGUCCAAUGUGCUCAUCAAAAAUAGGUAUUCCUUCUUCAUCCUUCUUAACAGCAUUUUUUAUCCUGUUUCUGGAUUGUUCAGUGAGAUGUUUCUCCCACCAGGAAUGGAGCAUUCCCGUAAAUCCAGUGAUCAAAAGGUCGACAACAUGAGGUUCGCUAAGAUUAUGAUUGGUAAUAUAGCUAUUAGCAACCAUAAAGAUGUGUUGGAGCUUAUUAAGAAGCUCUUGUUCUAACAAACCAUCUAUAUUCCAUUCAUAGAAUUUAUCAGAAGAGACAGAGAAUUGGUUUUGGAUAUUUCGUUCUUCAAAUUGAAUGUCGAGAGGUGAUGGUCUGGGAUACCAAUUCUUGGUAAGAGAUGUUGAAUUGACUCAUCUGUUGGUAAUUCUUUUAAGUUCAAGAUUUUGAAAAGCGUGUUCAACUUUUCGAAUAGAAUUUGAAGCAUUGGUUGACUCCGAGGAUGUUGAAGAUAUUUCAUAAGAGGAUUCUUCUGGAUGGUUUAAAACAUGAAAUGUUUUUUCCUUUUUUUAAUUCUAAUAACAUUUGUUCUAUUUUUUGAGUUAUGGAGGUUGUUUUUAAGGCUACUACCUUUGAAGAAGAGUAUGGGAAGUUAACCAGGGGUUUUUCCCUGAUUUCAGACUUUGCCUGGGAAAGCCUAUCGAUUUUUGUUUCUAUUUUAUCUAAUUGUUUACCAAUGGUAUGAAGACUCUGAUUAGUGAAGUUAUUUUGUUCAAUGACUGGUUUUACUCCCGCAUCUUCCUUAGGAAGCUUAAAAGGAGUAGCUGGAAUUUGCGUAUUGGCAGUUUUGAUAAGAAUGGUUUCUUGUGGAGGAUGACUAGAAGAGACAAUAGUUUUGUCUUUUUUAAGCCAAUUUUCUUUAGUUAUUACUUCUAAUUUUUUGUCAGACUCGUAGUACUUUUCGACAUAAUCGAAGAAAAAUACUUCAACUUUGUGGGAUUUCAUAAAACCGGUCCAUUCUUUGUAAAUUUCCAAUUUCUGUUCUUUUGUAUAUUUGUUUCUAAAGAUAUUUCUUCUGGGAAUAUUUUCAAUAGAUUCAAUAUCAGCACUAAUCUUUUUCCUAUCCCAUUUAAAAGGUUCAGUUUUUGAAGGUUUAUUUAAAACUAGAAGUUGAUGAUUAAUCUGACUUUCUUCAAAAUCGAAUUCUGUAGGAGAAGUCUGUUCUCCUUGAUCUUGGGUAUGAGGUUGAUAUCUUGGGUGUGUAACCUGAGAUGUGGUUUCUACUGACUUUAACUUGAUGUUAAUCAAGUCAUUGAUUAAUUCUUGCUGAGUAACAGAAGAACUUGUUUCUACAUUUUUUAAUUGCCUAUUGGCUAAUGAAUUGAUUAAUUCUUGAUCUUGACCCAUCCUAUCGGUUGGUAUGGAUCCUGAAAAAGAAUUUCUGCUAGGAGCAAAUGAUUUAUGUGAAUGAAUUGACUCACAAGAUCUUCUUGCUGGUCGGUCAAAAUUAAUUUUAACAGUUCCGUUGAAAUAUUGUUCUAUGUUAUCUAGAUUAACUAGACUGUUUUGGAUUGCUACAGGUUUGCUUUCAUUAAUCAAACACCAAUCUGAAGGUAGACUGAUAUCUGACCACCUAAUGGUUAUGGGAACUUUAAUGUUUGCAUUUUCUUGAUUUGUUUGGAUUAAAAGUGUAUGGUCUCUAGGACUUUUGGUUAAAGCUUGAAAAUUCAUGUUUGUGCCAGUGACUUUGUAAUAGACUCGGUAUAUUAGUGCCAAGGGUUGUGUUCCUUCAAGGACUUGGUAUCCUAAAGUUUUGAUAUUUAGGGUGAGUGCUUUCAGCAUAUGGGGGUCUGAAAGACUUAUGGUAAGGUCUGGAAAGCAAUCAAAAUGGAUAGGUCCGUUGUAAAGAUUGGAUUCAAUCAGUCUAAGUAUACUAUCACUAAAAUCAGUGAAUCUAGCAUCUCGGAGAUAUAACAAAAUAACGGUGUUAAGGCCUCUACGGGUUAGAGGUUUUACGGCUAUUUGAACUAAGCUGAUAUGAAUAUAAUUAUGACCAUCCUUCCUAUGGGAUUUAAUUUGUUAUGGAGAAAAUAAUUGACAAGUUUCAUGUUCUUUAUUAAGAGCAUAAGCUUUUUCUACAGUUUUAACAUGAUGUUCACUUCUGAAUAAGGCUACUGACCAUUUCUUUUUGUAAAUAUUUUUACUUGAAAUCUUGGGGAUAUUCCAAUCUCCAAAAUCGACACUAUCAUCAGUUUGAAAAUCAAGUUUUUGUUCUUCAUUAACAAUGUCUGGAAUAACACCUAACUUGAUCUAGAGCUAGUGUUGGCCAUUGAAUUAGAUCUAAAUAGUCUACUCAUAAAGUUCACAAAUCAAACAAGCAAAAUACAGAAAACUUAUACUGAUUCACCUUCCUCGUGCGUUAGCUAAACUUCUUCCAUGCUCAUGCGAUCCACUCAUGCCUCUCCUGGGACUUAUUGUUUGGAACACGUUUUACUGUUUGGUGGGAGAAUUGAACAAACGACUAUGAGGACUGACAAAUAAGAUAGACUGUAAAUUGAAGGGUUGAAAAUGAACCUUACUUGUAAAAUACAAAGAAGCAAUACAAUUACCACCAACUUGGCUCUAAUACCAAUGGGUGCGGAAGCUAUAUCUACUGACGAUGAUAGAAAUUAUGGGGACAACAGUCAAGACUACAGUCAUUAUGAUCAUUGGGUUUGGAGGUAUCCUCAAGCAGUCAACUUCUUCCAACUCUCAUGAACAAAUUGUUCGUUUCCAUUCAGGACUAUGAAAUUCUGCACAGAGUUAUUAUAGUACUAUUAAGAAAGAAAUAUUAUCUAUUGUAUUAUGCAUUAGCAAAUUUCAAGAUGAUCUAUUAAAUCAAAAAAAUUUAGUCAGUGUCGAUUGCAAAUCCGCAAAACAUGUUUUACAAAAAGAUGUUCAAAACAUUACAUCAAAACAGAUUUUUGCACGAUGGCAAGCCAUAUUAAGUAUUUUUUAUUUUGAUAUUGAAUACAUUAAAGGCAGCCAAAAUUGCAUCCCCGAUUUCCUAACCAGAGAAUUUUUGCAAGGGAAGAAUGUCAACCAACAAAAGCAAUAGCCAGAGGAGGCUUCCGGCCACUGUACCACCACCACCACCACCAGUAAAACAGAAAUAUAUUCCUGGUUCCUCAUCAGCCCUAGCCAUUACCAACCGUUUCACACCAUUAGGAUCCACGGUUGGCAGCUUUCGACCAAAUUACCAAACACCUAGACCAAAUUAUCAAACGGCAUUAGCCAGCCCUUAUGAUCCAUAUUCAUCUCCAACUUAUCCCACUUCAUCCCAGUCUACCAGUUAUACCAAAACAUCCCCAUAUGUUAAUAAAAAUCCAAUGUAAUACCUUUUUAAUAUCCCUUUCAAUAUCAACCAAGAACAAGCCCCCGAGAAAAUAGCCAAAACAGUGUUUCCACCAAACUUCCAUUACCAACCCACAGAAUCAUAUAAAACACUCAAAUAUUACCAAGCCAUUCUCAUGGAGACAAAAUUCAUCUCUAUCAAACUAAUAUUUAGUAAAACCCAUGAAAAUAAAAUCAUUUACCAUUCCCUUCACAUUGGAAAAUUCCUCACUAAAACAGAAUGAGGACUCCCCCUUUACCAGCUAAAACCCCUUCAUUCUCAAAAUACAUCACUACCCAAUAACACUUAUAAUUAUUUUGAUUAUAUCCAAGCAUAGACUAAUAUUUUUCUUCACCAGACAGCAGACUUUAGUCAUUCAUGGUUCAUAACUUUUGACAGAAAUUUCAAAUUGAAUUUUCCAGCAUGGUUUCCCAAAUGGUGGUCAGUUCACGGUCUAACAGCUAGUUUGCUACCCGAAGAAUUAAUGCCAGUUCUUUCAAAUGGUUUCCAACGAAAAUUUGAUCGUAGCAUAUUCAACUAUAGGAUUACACUACUCCUAUUAUUCAUGGCCAAGUACAAGAUCCCGUGGAUAAUGAAGUGGAAUUAUGAAGUUGAAACUGGCAGUCAAAUGGUGGGACAAAUUCAACCUCUAAAAGAUCAUCAGUUUGGUCCAAUCAGAAUUUCCUCCCAUUUCAGUUCAAGCAGCCAUUCUGGCACAACCAAUCCAAGUUAUUCCAGCACAAUCAAAGAAGGCAUUGCCAAAUAUUCCAGAACAAUCUUUAUCAAACAUUAGUCCGUCAUCAUCUCUUAAAGGCAUUACCAAAUCGUCCAAAUCUACAAGUUCAAAAAAAGAAAGAAAAAUCCUCUCAACUUAAAGAUUUGGCUCAACAGCUAAUGGCAGAAGCAGCUCUACUUCACAAUAAAGAAGAAGACUCAGAUUCAAAUUCAUCAGAUGUAUCAUCACAACAUCCAAUCAAUCCAGCCAGCCAGAAGACCCCUAUGGGCAGAUUAUCAAGAUUCUCAAAACCCCUUUGAUGUGUAAUCGACAUGUGAACGCAUGUGAAUAAACAGUUUUACCAUGUAAUAAUUGCUAAUAGACGACACCAAAAGGCAGUAGUCAUCAUCAACAAUGAUUCCAGACAGUUUACUAUUCUUGAAUAGUAAAAUCACUUUUUUCACUAUUCAUUAGCAGUAGCCAUCAUUUCAUUUCAGAAAAGAAGACGCGUGAUUCCACAGUGUUCUGACAACAUUAUCAGUCUUUGGCACCUUUCCAACCCACAACACAUGUAGAGUGGGAUUCUCACUUCAAUCUUCAAUGAUGACAUCUCAAGGCCUCUCGGCUAUAUCUUUCAAGCUCAUUUCCCUUUCUCAAGAGGCUGAAACUUCUGCGUAUUCUCUAGAACCAGAACAAAAGCCAUACUCAAUUGAGAAUUAUCCAGUCCAAAUUUGUAAACACUUUUAUUUUCAAAACAUAUCAAGGAUGCCUGCGAGCACCAUUUCAUUUUCCAUUCUCAACAAUUGUCAUUAGACAAAAAUUGCAGGUCUACAUUUGAUUUUCAAUAAAUCUAUCUUCAAUAUCUAUCUGCAUCAGUAUUUUUAAUUCAUUAUUUUCAUUAUGAAGAAUAUUUUCAUAACUACUGAUUUUGAAUGGCAUAAGAUUUUAACUCCAGAUCAAUUCAUUGAGCACCUCAAAUUCAAGGUAAAUACCUAUCAAGCUUAUAUAUAUAAAGCCAAUGGAAAAGGUGAAUAGUGAUUUUGGUGUCACCAAGCUUCAACAAAAAUACCCCCAAGACAAAAAACUUCAAAGCAUCCCAAAAUAAUGCAUCAAAUAAUGCAUGGGCAUUUUUGUCAUUUUAACAUUAUUUUUUUAAUAAUUAAUUUUUUGUGGUUUUUAUUUAUUUAUUUUUAAGUAGUACCUCAUAAUAGGCUAGCAAUAAUGCGAUUCAAUUUCUAUAUUUUUAAACACGUUCAAAACAUCUUAAGAGACGUGGAAUGUUAGUUAUAAAAAGGUCAUUCGCACACGGAUAAUAAUAUGAUUAAAUUAGUUGUAAAAUGAUUGUUUUUUUUUUAACAAACGAUAUUAUCUAUACUAAGGGGCAUGGGGUGAGCUUAGCCUCACAAUUGGCUAACAAUAAUGUGAUUCAAUUAGUUAUUUAUUAAAUAUUAUUUUCUCUAUUUUAAACACUUUCAAAACAUCUUAAGAGGUGUGACAACCCGUCCCAAAAUUUUAGUAUUUUAUAAAUCAUAGAAGGUGAAAUUUACGAGAAUACCCUAAAGGCAAGGGUAUUGAUUUUCGUUGGUCGUUAGUUCAUGACGCGUAUGAACUAUUACCUUACUGUAUUCCAAAAAUACGUUGGUAAAGAUUGUUAUUUAUUAUCUUAGUCAUUUCUUAUUAUUAAUUUUUCUUUUAUGUAAUGGGUUGAUGGAGAUUUAAUAAAAGAGGAAGAAAAAAGAAGAAAAUGAGGGCUGCUUGAUGGCAGCGAAGGAGAGGGAGAGGAAGGAGAUGGGCACUACCCAAUCAAAAAAGAGGACAGAGGGAGAGUGACGAAUGGGAGAGAAGAAUCAAGAGGGAAAGGAGAGAAGAAGAAAAUGAGGGAACCCAAAACGGGUCCUCCUUGACCCGUGUGACCCGGCCGGUGGGAACCAUGGAAAAAGAUGGUUUCCAGGCCAAAUUCCGAUGAAUUAAGCCGAACCAUCACCUGGAAACACCUCCCUAGCCUUCUCUCUACCAUUUCUACCCCUAAAUUCAUACAAUUUGGCCUUUUAUUCAAGAGAAAUGCACCGAUGGUGCGUGUGAGUGUUCGACGGCAAUCCACAAAUCAUGAAGCUAACUCAGUCAAUUGUCACUACCAAUAGGCUCCCCUCAACCACAGGAACAAAGCCCAAAUGAUGGUAGAGGCGUCAGAGUGAGUAUGAAGGUCGAAUUGAAGCACGCCAUUUUCUAGGGUUCCGGCGGGUUUGAGCAAAAUUUGGGCUUUUCCAGGCCAAAUUGAACUUGACCACAGGUAUAAAGUUUGCUCCACUCUUUGAGAUCUUCAUUUCUGUAAUUUUUUAGAAUUUUUGGAAAUAGUUGGAUUUUUCGGCGAGUCGAGGCGGCCGACCGCCACCCGCGGCGACGCGUGGCCAGGGGACCGUCAAUGUUAUCCUUAGGCUAAAUUAGAUGUCUUGAAUUUAGUUUUGGUAAUUGUAUAUCAUAGGUUGAUCGUUUGGACCUAAACUCAUUAGGAUACGUUACUUGGUAAAGAUAUGAAUCGACGAUCCGACCGUUAGAUCGUCACCAAACUUUAAUACAUUAAAGUACAUAAUAUUUAAGGAUCAUAGGAAUUAUGGAUCGGGAAUCUGAAGUAAGGAUCUUCCCGAAUUGGAUUUUGUAAGUUCGUAAAAUAAAUGUUAACCGCCACUUGAUUUUGGGCAAUUGGCGGAGAUCCGACCGUUGGAUUGUGAUGAAAUUUUAGUAUGUUAUUCUAGAAGUAUAAUGUGUAUCUUUGGAGGUUUCAUAUUAGAAAUCUAAGAUGCGGAUCUUCCGGAUCAAGUUUUGCAGGGUUGAUCGACAGUUGACUUGUGGUCAAUGGAUCUCAAACUAUUUUAGAACGUCCUUGAGAAUGUGCUUUAUGUUAAUUAAGUAUUCUAUUGAUAAGAGUUCUAAGAUAUGAUUCUAUAAUUGGCCACAUGCGCCAAUCAUUUGGGACUUUUUGAUGUGCGUGCUAGAGAAUCAUAGCGUGGACUCCAGGUGAGUGGAUCUUUUCCCCUUAUCAUAUGUAUAUAAUUGAUAGUUCCAAAAACGUUUCUAAAGUGAUUUAUAUAUGUACUUACAAAUAAUUAUAGUGAACUACGAACGGCUUGAUCCCUGUUUAGGGUACGUAGGCAGUCUAAUAAGACGUUAGAUGCAACCAUAUAAUAAAUGAGACUAAAUAAUUGAGACAAAAGCUUUGUUUGGGGAAUUGAACAAUGUGAAGAAGGUUGGUGGAAAAAGCUAGGUUUAACCUUAUGAAUUUGAUGGUUAAAUGUUGAUUAUAAAUCGAUAUGUAAGAAAUUUAGUGAUUGAAGUAAAGAAUCGUAAGUAGUGAUAAUUAAUUUAAACUAGUGUUUUGCUGGGCUUGUCACUAAUAAUUAUUCCCAAAAGUAAAUUGUUCGAGAGUGGGGCGUUACAGUUAUUGUAUUUUAGGCCAAUUGUUAAUAUGUUUAUAUAUUUGGAAAUAUUAUGACAUGGUUGAAAUUCAGAUUUACAUCCUGGUACAUCCAUAUGUAUAUCCCUUGCACGUAAUUAUUGUGAACGCUCUGGAGUGCAAGAAUGAACGCAGGACACACAGGUAAGUUCAGGUAAGUAUACGGUAUUAGUUGAACUGAUGGGGUUAUGGUAUAACUAUAGUUAUGUUUUAAGCAACUCUAACACAGUCGUACAGGUUGCAAUAGUAAGCAGCAUUGUCAUACAGGUUGCUUAUGAGUCGUACAUGUGGUAUUACACUACAAAAUAAAUGGUUGUUUGCGAGGGUCAAAUGUCGUUGGAAAAGGUAUUUUGCCGUCACAAAUACUUAUUUACGAUGGGAAAAGCCCUUGCUGGGCGUCGCAAAUUGAUUCAUUGGAAAUACUUUUUUUUUCGACCAAAUGUCAUAAAUGAAGCAUUUUCGACGGUUGUGGCUUGUCGUUACUAGUUAUCUUUUAGUCGGAAUUGAUUUUUCAAAAUGAAAAAUUAUUUUAUUUUCGACAUGUCUAUGUGGUCGCAAAUACUUGUAUGGUCGUCGAAUAUACUUUCCAAACAACAUCUAUUUUUUGCGAUGAUUUUCUUACGACCAAAACAUUAUGUCAAAAAAUGAUUUUCCAACAGUAAAAUGUUGUUUACAAGAGUGCACAAUCGUUGCAAUUACGAUUGCCAACAAUUGAGAAUUGUCGAAAAUACGCACAAAAACAUAUUUGUGAGGGUCAAGAGUCGUUGGAAUUAUACAUUUCCGUUGAUCCUACUUCGUCAGCAAAAAUAAAAGGAUACAAAUACAAUUUUUUUAAUUUAAUAAUAUUUUCAAUGCCAAUUUUUAUUGAAAGAAUUGUUUAAUAUUAAUAAUCAUAUAUUCAACUACAUAUACAAAAAAAAAUAAAUGUAAAAUUUUUACAUGUACUUGUUACAAUCCUAUGAUAUGUCUUAUAACACUAGUUUUUUCAUGUCCACUUUAACCAACUGUCAAGGAGUUCGAAUGUAGUGCUAUGAACAUUGAUCCACAAUUAUUAUCUUUAUUCUACAAGAAAAAAAAAACUUAUAUCAAGCACAAUAUAAUUGUCAAUUGGUAAGAAACCCAAACAAUGAAAAUCUGAAAAUAAACAUAAGCUGUAAUGAAGAGCCUUGCAUAAUUUUAGCUCAAGGUGUGAACAUAGCAACCACCAAUCUAUACCAUAAAUAAUGCAAGUGAGUGGUUAAAGUGAAAAUUAAACACACCUCCAAUACAUUCUUUAAUUUUUCUCGUACCACCCUAUGAUCAAAGGAUGCUAUAAAUCCAAAGAAUCUAAAAAUAUAAGGAAAGUAAAACUAUAUGCACAGUUUAACAAUUAUAAUGUUAAACUAUAUGCAUAGUUGAACACCUCCAAAGAAAGGAUUUUGAGAGUGAAAUACUGCACCUAAUGCUUGAGCCUCAGCAAUUGUUGUCUCUCUAUCUGCAUAAACAUAAGCAUCUGCAUAGUCUCCAACAGUCCACACAUGAAGCCAAAAAUUAACCAUUGAAGACUUGCACAGAUAUACAAAAUUAACUCCAACAAGAGCAUAUAGUGCAAAAUUAGCAUUGCAUAUGCAGAGAAUGGAGUAAAUGCAGCCAAGAACUUACUUACAAUCAUCAAGUUUCUAGAUAUUCUUCUCAACCGCACUACCUCUAAAACUAGCGUUUUAUGUACAGUUUCUGCCUCUAAACCUUCUACGCAUGUAUUCCUUUGCAAUUGAACUCUUGACAAAUUAUAUUAAGGACAACACUUUAAAAAAAGAUAAGCACAUGAUUAGAUUAUGAACCUACUGAAUACAUAUAUUUUUGCAAAUAUAAAUUAACCAAACCAAUGCGAUAAACCAAAUCAAUCAUUAGCCCAAAAAUUAAUAUCAAAUGUUUACCAUGUCUGCAAGUCCUUUGCUCAAAUAUAACUAGAAACUGCAAAGCUUAAGAAUGAAACAUCACUCAAAAUUUAUAUUAAAAUUGUCAAACAUCAGUAUUUCAUCUCACGGUGUUUCCUAAAAGAAAAAUCGACAUGUCCAGCGUUGAAUCCAGAGAUCUCCUAUGGGGAUUUAGUACUUGAAACAAUGUAGAGAAUUGAAACAUCUCAUCACAAAACCAUUGAGCUUGGCCAAAGACAAUCAUGCAUACAUACAUACCAUAUUUGGCAGGGAUUUCCACCCACCAAUGGUUAGAUUAAAAUCCCAGUUGAAAUUACUCUUAGUAAAUUGAUUAGUCAAUUAACUGGAACCCAUUUGAUUCUUCCUAGCUAAUGAAACAGUAAAAAAGGGUUGUAAAACAAACAAAACAACUAGUAAUUACUACUGAACCUGCUGAAAGAAAAAACCAGAAUUUUAAUCAUCAUACAUAACUAAAUGUUAUUCUUUAUACCAAUUUAUAAAAUCACCGACCAAUUUCUAGAACAGAAACAUUAUGAAUAAAUCAAUACGAUAAUUAGGAAAAUAUCAAACAAAAGAAUCUAGGUUGGAUGAAUCCUCUUUCCGCCAUCACUGGUGGACAUUCGCCCCCCAUAAUUCAAUCGAUCUUGGAGAUCGAUUCCCAUUUCGACUGGCAAUGGCAAUUAUGCCAAAACCGCCACCGCCUCUGAAAUCUCAUCCACCGAGACAUACGCUGGUGAGAUCUCAUGGUUGGAGAAGAAGACGAAGAUCCAGUAUUGGGAGUACCUGAGAUGCCCAAAGAAAUAGAAAAAUUAGGGUUCACAUAGUGUAAGCAAACAAGGCAAAGAAAAAUGUACAGGGAGUGAGAUUUUGGAGAGGAUGCCAUGGAUUGCGACUGAGCGAUGGAGAGAGAGAAGUUGCGAUAGACUUUGAGAAAUGAAGGAUGGAGGCUAGGGUUUUGUUUCUGAAAGAGGAAAGGCAAAGAAGUCGUAAGAAAGAAAUGAAAAUGAGGAGAGCGCUAAAUGGCGUUCUCUUUGGAAAUAUAGUUUAGUUUUUGGGCGCCAUGCCAAAAUUUUGGCAGCCCGCCAAAAACACUUUUAUGAUUUAAUUGCUAGAUUAAAUUCAACGGUAAGGAUUUAAUCUCACAUAUGUAAGAUUAAAUCUUAUGGUUAUUAUUGUAGUUAAGAUUUUAAUAGUUUUUAAUUAAUGUAGAAGUACAAAAAAAAUAUACAAACACUCGUAAUAUCAAGCUUGACAACUUUUGAGAAGAGGUCAAUUCCGAAAUUUGUCACUAUAAUCUCAUAAACCAUAGAAUAAAAUUUAACCGUUGUUGAAGAAGUGCAAAAAAUGUAAAUAUAUAUAAUCGCUCGUAAUAUCAAACUCGACCCUAUAAGAGUACGAUGAAUCAAUUCGAUCUUCAAUUUAAAAAUUUUGCACUAAUGGAUACCACACAAUAUUAUGUUCUACCUAAUGGAAGUAUAAAAUAAACUCCAAGUGUUUGUUGAAUCUAUCGUUUUGAAGGAAUACACAUUUUACAAAACUAGUUUCAACAAUCCAACCGUCAAACUGUUUUGUAUAUGCUCCAAGAUCGCAUACAUAAAAAUCACAAAAAACUGACAUUCAAAUAUUAAGUAACAGGACAAAACUUUUCAACGGUUAUAAAAAAAAACUCACAAUUUAGUUGUGGAAGUGAUGUGGUUAUACUUUGUUUAGUGUCCAGGAUAAAUGUUACGAGUUAACAAAGACAUGCAAAUUAUUUCUUUCUCAUAUAAUACUAUGUUAAAUUAUAUGCCUUUUUGCUCAACGAUUUUAUUUUAAUUUUAUGGUCCAAUAUUCUCCAUAUGUAUUCUAAGUUAUAUGAUCUAUUUAUUGUAGAAUUUAAAUUAAGCAUCAAACUUAUUUCAAGAAUAUUCCAACGACACAUGUGACCAUUGGUAAAUAAUUGAUUCCAACAAAAUCAUAUGCCUUAAAAAUUUAUUCUGACAAAGAAAAAAUUUUGUAGGAAAAAAUAUGUUUACUUCGACAACAACUAAUCACCCUCGAAAAUAUAAAAGUAUUACUGGGAUGACCAUUUUUCCCUCAAAAAUAUAAAAACAUUACCGAGAGGACUUCUUUUCCCUCAAAAAUACUAAAUCAAUUUCGUCAACAUAAGUAAACCUUUGGAAAUAACCAUUCUAUUUCCGAUAAGAACUUUACUCGUCAUUAAUACAAUUGGCGCCAAUUCUUCCCGCCAAACAAAAGUGCAUUUCCGACGAAACUUGAGACUUUUUCCAAGGACAUUAUGUACGUUGGUAAUAAAAAUUUGUUUCAUGUCAUGUUACCGACGACCCAUAUUUUAUGGUCGCAAAAUGUGUUGUUUACGACGGUUUUUUGGGGCCCUCAGAAAAUAUUCGUCAGUAAUGACUACUUUUUUUGUAGUGUUAGAUGCAUUUAAAGCUCAUAAACCUGCACCCCGGUGUUAGUGCUCCCGCCCGUGGCCAGGGCACAGUCCUUCACAUAAUGUUCACCUCCCGCACCAUACACUCACCUUGAAUUCAAGGUAAGUGCACAGGCCUGUCGUACAUACCACUAUAGGUGGUUCCGACUCGUAGGUGACUCUUCACUUGAUCGUAGUACUUGAGCAUAUUCAUUUUCACCCAGUCCUGUCGUACAGACCACUACAGUGGUUCCGACUCGUGUGCAAGCAUAGUGUCGUAUAGGUUACUAGAAAUGACUUCAGCCAAAUUGAGAUAUGAGCUAUGGACUUAGUUGUACAGGCCACAAUAGGUGAAUCCAGCUGACAUAUUAAUUGCAUAUGCGAUGAGAUAUGAAUAUGUCGUACAGGUCACUACCGGUGACUCCGACUUAUGAGAUGCUAGCAUAUAGGAUGAGAUAUGUUAUGAGCUAGCAUAUAUGAUGAGAUGCUAGCAUAUAUUUAUAAUGAGAUAUGUGAUGAGAUGCUAACAUAUAUAUUUAUGAUGAGAUGCUAGCAUAUAUGUGAUGAUAUAUGAUGAAAUGCUGGUAUAUAUUUAUGAUGAGAUAUGUGAUGAGAUGCUAGCAUAUAUGGGAUGAGAUAUUGAUUCAACCGUACAUGAUGGGUGGAUCUGGCUAACAUGCCAUUUCCUAUUGGUUUAUUUCACCUGGGUUACUCAUUCCUGUUAAGAUAUUUGAUGUAGCAUAACGGUAAGACUAUCAUUUUGGUUAUGGUUUUGAUUUAUAGUCACACCUGUUAUUUUCUAGGAAAUUAAACAGGUAUUACGGUGAGGGGCUACUAUCUUUGGUAGUUGGAAUUGGUUUGAAGAGUUUUAUUUCACUCACUCACAUUUUCUGUUUUUUGUACCCCUCCAGGUUCUAGCAGUAGAGUUCCGUAUUGACGAAGAUUCGUGGCACUUUUCAGCACAGAUGUAUCUUAUGAUGGUAUAAUCAUUAUCUCACCUUAUUGUACUAUACAUAUGCUCUGUAUCGCGCGUGAAGUGGGUUCCUUCCCGCUCACCAGCGCACUCUGGUAUUUAGGCACUCUUAAGUUUAAAUUUAUUCAUAUUUUUCCACAUCAUCGCACUUUAUGGCUUCGUCACCUUCCAGGUGUCGGCCAGCGCAGCUCGAUUCGAAGUCUUAGUGGACAUUCCGGGUCGGGGUGUGUCAAUAGGCAUGUAAUGCCGGUUAUAAAAAAAGUCUUUCGCACACGGAUAAUAAUGUGAUUAAAUUCGUUGUCAAAUGAUUGUUUUUCUUUUUUAGCAAAUGAUAUUAUCUACACUAAAGGAGAAUGGGUGAGCUUAGGGUGAGCUUAGCCUCACAAUAGGCUAGCAAUAAUGUGAUUCAAUCAGUUAAUUAUUAAACAUUAUUUUCUCUAUUUUUAAACACGUUCAAAACAUCUUAAGAGGCGUGUAAUGCCGGCUAUAAAAAAAAGUUUUUCGCACACGGAUAAUAAUGUGAUUAAAUUACAUUAAAUUAGUUGUCAAAUGAUUUUUUUUUAACAAACAAUAUUAUCUACACUAAGGGGGAGGGGGUGGGCUUAGCCUCACAAUAGGCUACCAAUAAUGUGAUUCAAUAAGUUGUUUUCGUCAUUUUAACAGUAUUUUUAUAUUUAUUUUUUGUGGUUUGUUUGUUUUUUUUUUAAUUAGUGUCUCACAAUAGGCUAGCAAUAAUGGAUUCAAUUUCUCUAUUUUUAAACACUUUUAAAACAUCUUAAGAGACGUUUAAAACAUCUUAGCCUCACAAUGGGCUAGCAAUAAUGUGAUUCAAUCAAUUGUUUAUUAAAUAUUAUUUUCUCUAUUUUUAAACACGUUCAAAACAUCUUAAGAGGCGUGUAAUGCCGGUUAUGAAAAAGAUCUUUUGCACGCAAAUAAUAAUGUGAUUAAAUUACAUUAAAUUAGUUAUCAAAUUAUUGUUUUUUUAAUAAACAAUAUUAUUUACACUAAAGAGGAGGGGGUGGGCUUAGCCUCACAAUAAGCUAGCAAUAAUGUGAUUCAAUCAGUUGUUUAUUAAAUAUUAUUUUCUCUAUUUUUAAACACGUUCAAAACAUCUUAAGAGGCGUGUAAUGCCGGUUAUAAAAAUGUCUUUCACAACCAGAUAAUAAUGUGAUUAAAUUAGUUGUCAAAUGAUUGUUUUUUUUAACAAACGAUAUUAUCUACACUAAGGGAAAGGGGGUGGGCUUAGCCUCACAAUGGGCUAGCAAUAAUGUGAUUCAAUCAAUAGUUUAUUAAAUAUUAUUUUCUCUAUUCUUAAUGUAAAUUCUAUAUAGACCGAUUUUAUUAUGUGAAUUCAGCUGCUUUAAUUGAUUUAUGAGGGAUUUCUUCUAGCAUGAUGUAAGAUUAUUCAUUUACUUCAAAUAUUUGACUUUCCUUUUGUCAAUUUACUCAUAUAAAUACAUUUAAAAUGUUUAAGUCAUGCGUAACACGCCAUAAUUAAAAAAAUGAUAUUUUGGAUGCGAUCCCUAAUCAUUAACAUUCUUUGAUUAAAACCUUAAUUGUAUUCAAAGUUUGAUCAAGGUCCCUUGACUUUGUACACCUCAUUAUAUUACUAUUAAUAUUUUUAUUUUUAUAGUUUUGACAUUAAUUGUUUGAUAUUUUAUGAUAUUUAUAAUCCUAUAAAUUUAAAUUCUCUCAUUAUAAUACUAUUAGAAACGGUAACAAUAAAAAAAUUCAAACAUUUUGAUUGAAUAAAUGGAUAAAAACUAUGUAAAAAUAAGAAAUAAUAAAUGGCAAAAGAAUGUAUCCAUAGUGUUAAAAAAAUUGGUACAUUUCACAUAUAACAAAGUGGUAUAUUAAUAAAGAAGAAUGGGUACAUUAUAAAUAAAUUAGGGUACAGAUAAAAGAUUAAAAAUUAUGAUUACAAAUGAAUUUUAAAAAAAUAUAGGCGCUAAAAGAAAUUAAUACAUGGGUACAAAAUAAAACUAAAAAGAAAAUACUACAAAUUUAAAAAAAAAUGUUGCAAAUUAAAAGUGGGUACAAACUCAAAAUAUAAAUAUAGGAUACAAGUUUAGGCAUAAAAUAUAAGUAUACCAUAUGUAAUUUUUCUAUCAUUGAUUAAAUAUACAAUGUCACGUGACAGUAUACACAUGGGUACAAACACAAAUAAAACUUUAAAAAAUAUGGGAACAAAAAGAAACUAAUAUAUGGGUACAAAUUAAAAAUGAAAAGAAAAUUGGUACAAAUUAAAAAAUAUUUGCAAAUUAAAAAUAGGUACAAACUAAAAACUAAAAAUAUAUGAUAAAAAAAUUUAGCCAUAAAUAUAAAUAUACUAAUUGUAACAUUUUUGACACUAAAGGAAUAUAUUUAAAAAUAAAAAAUAUUUUAUUAUUCAAAUAAUUAAUGAUGUUCUUAAUAUCCAAGGACCUUGAUCAAAAAUUAAAAAUGAAUAAGAUUUUAAUCAAUGGAAUAAUAAAAAGAAUGAUGUAAAUCUAAUUUUCCCUUUAAAAAAUGUCUUGUGCUUGAAUAAAGCAAUUCAGCAGUACUAGAUGGCUAAGGUUCUCCCGUUUUGGUAGACCAGGGUAUUUUGGUAGUGCCAAACGGAUGUCGUAUUCUCAAAACCACCAAAAACGACGUCGUGUGACGUCGUGUACCUGCUGGAUUCCCUUCGAAAGUUCGAAAGCACGCCGAUGAAGGAGAUGGCGAGGUAAGGUUUCAUUUCGAUCAAUCUUUCAAACUUCCAUUCUCCCGAAAGCGCGUGGAUUCAAUCGGCAAUGGAGGAAGAAGACAAACAGCCGCUCAAGGAGGACAAGGGUCCUCAACAGGAAGAGAAAGAAGAACCAAAGGGAGGAGCAGCUGAAGCACAAGUGUCGCCGGCGAAAAGUGGCGGAGGAUGGGGAGGUUGGGGGUUUUCGUCCGUCUUCUCAGAUCUCCAGAAAGCCGCCGAAGAGAUCUCCCGCAAUGUAAGUGUCUCCAGCGUUUCAUAAAUGUAUUUACAUCGGCAUUUGUAGUGUAAGUUUACCUGAUUUGGUGUGUUUUGGAAAAUUAGGGUUUAUAAGUUUGGGAAAUGUUGAUUAGUGGAUAUACUUUCUGGCGGGUUUAGAUGAUAUCGGAGUUAAUUAACUGUUUCGACUGCGAAUCUGAAAGUAGGUUUAAGCUAUUAAGAGUUUAGUGACGUUAUCCAAUUGAAAGUUAUAAAAUAUGCAGAGAUUUAUGUAUGUAGUUAAAAUGGAAGAAUUUAGGGUUGCUGCAUUUUGUGGUUCGGUUUGUGAAGUGGCGGUUUUUGGAUGCAGGCGGCUGCGGCUGCUCAGACGGCAGCGAAGAGCCUUGCCGACAUGCAAGCUGCUGAGGACUCAGAAGAAUCUUCCAAGGAGGAAGAAGGGGAUACUGAAAAGGAAACCCAAGAUGACACUGAGAGCCAAGAUGAGCAUGAAAAGCAAAGAAAGGCUGCUCUUGAUAAAUUGGAGAAAGCUAGUGAGGAUUCGCUUUUCGGUCAGGCAAGUUGUAAAUUUAUGGAGUUGAAAUCUCUUUUUUAUAUCUGCAAGUCUUUUGUGUUAAUGCAUUCACGCCAAUCAUAUAUUCAUGAAGUUUGUUAUGCUGAGUUUGUUUAUGUUUUUAUUCCGUUUGUUUCUUAUGUUGUACUUAUUGAAUCACAUCUAGCUAUCGCUAGGGUAAUGCAAAUUUUACAAGAACCACAUCUAUUUCUAUACAUGUCUCAAAUUGAUUUAGGAUAAUUUAACACCAACUUCUGUUUCACUAGAUUGGAGGUGUUUGUAUCUUAAAUUUUGCUUCAAUCCUCUAAAGCUGAUGCCUUCCAUUUGUUCUCCACUUAACAUGCUAAUUUUCGUUACUUUCAGGGUUUGAAAGUGCUUGAUAGUUCCGUGGAGAAUUUUGCUACAGGAGCGUGGCAAGCAUUAGGAAGUGCAUUGAAAGGGGGUACCGACCUAGUGCACAAGUAUGUUACAAGUAUUUUUGCGGAUUUUCUCUGGACCAAAAUUUAGUAAUUAGCAGAUGGCUACAGUCCACAUGAUUUCUCUUGUUUCUCAGGAAACUAACGAAUUAGUAAUCUGAUAGUGGAAUAUUGGGCUCAAGAUUCUAAGUUCCAACUUCUAACAUAGAUUAUGCAGUUGAUAUAUUUGUGCAAAGUGUGAAAUCCAAAUUAGAAACACAAACUUGACCUGACUUUCAACUUCUUGUUCUUUAGGAUUGAGAAUUCUGCUGUGAACCUUGCGGGAUCUAUCCAGCAAGGUGGAGGUGCUGGUUCUACCGCGCCAUCCUUAUUAGAGGUUUGCGUUCCCUUGCUACUUUUUUGGUUAACUAAUGGUACAUCAUUGCUUAUCUUGGUUUCGUGUACAGACUGGAAAAGCUUUUACAUCAAAGGGAAUGCAAGUGCUUGAGCUUGUAGGAAAGGAAACUUUGGAUCUACUGAUCACAGAGACUGGUAUAGAAGUUGAUAAGGAUUCUACACUUUCUGAAAAGGAAACUGAAGAGGAUCAGUUAUAUGAGGAAGUGGGAUUUGAUCGGUGUUUCUACAUAUAUGGAGGUCCAGAACAGUUGGAGGUCAGUUAUUUAAUUUUGAGGUUAAAUAUUGUUAUCGUAGGGAAUAAAAUGUAUUAAAGUUGUUCCUUUGUAACACUGUCAGGAACUGGAGGCUUUGUCCAGCCAUUAUGCGCUAUUAUUUAAUCGGAGAAAAGGAAAGUUGUCAUCAGAACAGAAGUCUAUUUAUGAUGGAAAGCUUAAACAGGUGCAACAGAUUUUCAGUCUGAAUACUGAGUUGGAUGGAAGUGGUGCAGAGUUGGACAAAGGCAAAAAGAAAAAGACCGGAGAUGAUGGAAAUAGCAAUGAGAUGAAGAGUUUGCAUGAUUCAAGCGUCAGCAAGGCUGCUGAUAUGGCGGCUGGGUACUAUAUUUUGUUCAAUUUCUAUUUUUAUUGUCUUGUCUUUUUCUUUUUAUAGAUUAUUUGCUUCCAUGAAUGGCUGUUUAGUUCUAUUGAUUUAUUGACUUUCAUCUGAUUUUCGUAAAUACUAUAUACUGAUCUUCAAGCUUGUAUAAAUCUACUGGCCAAUCAAUAUUCUUUUAUUGCCAUACCUUUGUUGCUCCAUUACCCUCUGUUUAUCCACUCAAUUUACAAACAAACAACUACGUGUACACUAAAGCCAACAUCAUCUGAUUUCAGCAAUUGUAAAACUUGCCGCAUCCGUCUUGAGUUACACUGAGACAACAUUUUGCCAAGCCACUGUUGAUGAUGUGUCCUUUCCCCGCCCACUGUCCUUGUCAAUCUGAAUUGAUUGGAGAUCUGAGGCUUCGCGCUAAAUGAUUUCAAAAUUAAUUUCUUUAUAAUCGUGUGCUUAUAGAGAUGUGUGCAUGUGCAUAUAGAUCAUAUCGCUCCCAACAUUGCAUCAGACUUGACAUGCAUGAUGCUCUCAGAAAAUAAAUAUCUUUUAAAGGUGAGACUGGUAGCAGGGGAGUCCUAUGAAAAGUUAUUGCUGGGUGCUGAUAUGUCCAAUUUCAAAACUGGAUUGCAUUUUAAUCAGCCUUCUCACUGUACAUAUUUUUUUUAGCAAUUUCAACAGCGUCCAAUUAAAAGAAAUGGAGUCGUUUGUUCCUCGUGAUUUUGUGAUCUUGUCUGACAUAUUGCUGUAAAAACAUGCGUGGUCUUCUAUGCUUCCUUAGUUUUGUUUAUUUUUACACCAUGCAUUGUUACUAUGACUUUUAAACUUUUCUUCUUAUGUUCUUUUUAGGUUCACAAGUGCCUUAGCAGGACAAGCUGUUAACGAUAUAAUUCAAAGAACAACUGGUAGAUUGGAGAGUCUUCACUCAGAGGGGGUUCAUGUACGUUUCUGUUACUGUAUUAUUCCAUGGCAUUCUUAUUGACAUGGGUUCAUUAGUUCUGAAGUAAUCAUAUUUUUGCAGAGGCUGUCAGAAUUGUGCUGUUCAGCAGUAUCUCAACUGUUGAUGCUUGGUAAAUCCAUCAUAUCUAGUGCAAACAAAACUCAGGCAGAAGAUGUGGAUGCCGAUCUGGAGAAUAUCGAUUGGCCUGAAGAUUCUGUUGAGAAAGCAAAGAUAAUCAGAUCAAAAACACAAACAAUGACAGGAUAUGUGGAGGCAGUGUCUAGCAGUUUCGUCACAGGUUAAUUUCCUUGAACUUUGUUUAGUGCUGCUUAUGCUCAUAAUUGACUACCCUUUCCUAGUUGAAAAUAUGCCAUUACAAUUAAUGUACUCUCAGAUCUAGUCACUUAUUGUUACUUAAUUGCUCAAUGGUAGAAUGGUUAGGAUUUUUUUUUUUUUUUUUCUUUUUUCUUCUUCGUGUCAAGAAGAGUGGUUAGCUAUUAGGUGACUAGUUUGUUGUACAAUUGGGAAGAUAAUCCACAUAGAUACAGCAACAUUUGAACCCGAAUAUAUUAUUGUUUGGGGGCCUAAUUCCUAAGUUCCCCAACUCCUAAAGCUUCAUGUCUUUUCUCUGUGCUUUUACACUGACUUCUUAAUUAUUCCGUUUCAUAGUGUAUUAAUUAAACCUAUCAAUAACCUGCACUCCUGAGGCCUUCAAUGUCUUUUUAUGUAGCAAAUAUAUUUUUGUUGACAGUUUGAGUUUUGAUGAACUUUUCAGGUAUAUCUGAUGUUGCAGAAGCUUAUCUAGCAGCCAUAAAGGGCGCUUCUGAGGACUCCCACGAAGUGCUCCCACGUACAUCGAUCCAAGAAAAAGCAAGUUCUUUCUCUAAACACCUUCGUGAUGACCAGACCACAGCUUUGAGCAAAAUCCAGGAUGGGCUACACUACUUGUCGUACGUUGUCAUUUCAACCUCUAUGCCUGCAGCGUGAGAAACCUCAAAUCUUUAAGCUCUCUGUUUAGUUUUGUAAAUAGUCGGCAUUUAGAGUGAGUUUAAGUUUUCACAUCGUUUCAAGUGUUAUACGAAAUUGAAGUUCUUAGAACUGUAAAACAAUCAGCAACUUGUGACAAUAAGGUAGAAAUUAUACGUUUGCAGUAAUUAAAGUUUUGUUGCUUUAAUUUCUAGUAAGAAUCUAUCAAUCAUGAAAGAGAUUUUGUUAACUCGCCGGAUACAAGAAAGUCCAAAUUAGUUUGGUUUGCUUGUGAUGGCAAGAGUUUGUAGUAAUGGAAAGCUUGAUGAAGAUGAUUGCAAAAACCGUGGUUAUAUCACCACAUGAUGUUCCAUGCCAUUGAUACAAAGACAUGUAAAAAAAAAAUUUAUACGUUUUUAUUUCAUUGACACGGUAUGUCAGAAUAGUGGUGCAUCCGUGCCAUGUAAGUCAUUAUGCUCUCUCAUUGAAUUUGUAAUCGAUAUUUGGCCAAAUAAACUUGAAUGCCUAAAAUGAUCUUUUCACUAAUGUAAACGACAAACCAUUUGGUAUAAUUUUGAUUUUUCUACACGACAUUAUUGAAUUUGGCAUAUGACCCCACUACGAGGAUGCUUGGUGCAAUUUGACAUGACGUUAGAAGAAAUAAUAAGACCAGUUGCACAAGCGCUUAGGUAAUUUUUAGAUUUUGAUAAGUAUGUAGGUUCACAAUGCAUCGAUAUUCGCACGUGUCCACUAGUAUCCUCCACACUCCUCCUCUUCUUACUUUUACUCAGAUUAAUCUGUCAAUUAUUAGUACAUCCCAUCAUUCAUAUAAGUUGAACAUAAAAUCUUACUUACAAAGUAAAGAGGAAGAUCAGCAUACGUGGUACUGGUUCCUAUUACCUUGCAAACUAUGCACUCCUAUUUAGCUACGGAAAGGGUCGGAUCCCUUCCUUCUAAUCCACUAAAUCAGGGAAUUCGUCCCAUUAAAAUUUAAUCCAACGACUGAGUUUAUUAUAACUUUUAAAGUAGUUCCCUAUUUGUAGUCAUUUGAUCAAAUUUCAAUAAUACGAAUUCUCUAAUUUGAUGGAUUAAGAAGAAGGGAUUCAGAGAUGAUCUUUUUCCAUUUAGCUACCAAUAUUGUCCAAUAAGGCAAUAAUUAUGAUUUAGACAUUAUAUAAAAAAAGCCCAAUCGGAUCCUCUCCGAAUUCUUUAUGUAAGGAUUCUGGAAAUUCAUAAAUUGUGUUCGUUUAUCGUACAUCAUGUGAUCAGUUUUUGUCUUGUAUUAUUUGCAUUUAAUUUUACAAAUAUAUAUAUAUAUAUAUAUAUAUAUAUAUUUAAAAUGACUUCUGAUAAUGUACGAUGAACGAAUAUGAUUUAUCGAGAUCCUCACAAGAUGAUCCAACCAGAAUCCGAAUUCAAAAAGAACCACAUGUUACCAGGAAUACCUGUCAAUUCAGCAGCACCUACCCACUAUACUGUCUCCAUUAUUUCCCUCUCAAGAAACGUCUAGGUUCAUUGUACAACAACAAAAUCAUGCCAAGAACACCACCACCACUUUCUCCCACCCAAAAUUUCACUAAACUCCACCAUCAUCUCUCCUUGAACCUCAGGUUUACCCAUGGGAGAGGUUGAUCCGGCCUUCAUCCAAGCCAUCGACAGGAGGCCGAAUCCCAAGCCCAAAAACUCAUCACUUGUUGAUGAAAUCCCCACAAUUGACCUCUCAGCUCUACGCACCGGUCCCGAGGAUGACAUACGCGAAACAGGUUCAUCGCCAAGUGACGUCUCGGGCCAUGCUAAACUGGUUUCAGAAAUAGGCCAUGCAUGCAAAAACUGGGGGUUUUUCCAAGUUGUGAAUCAUGGGGUUCCACUGGAACUGGGCAGGAAGAUUGAGGAUGUGGCCAAGAAAUUCUUUGAGCUACCAGGUGAGGAGAAGAGGAAGGUGAAGAGGGACAUGGUGAAUGCUUUGGGGUACCAUGAUGGUGAGCACACUAAGAAUGUUAGAGAUUGGAAGGAAGUGUUUGAUUUCUUGGUGGAAGAUCAGACGGCUGUCGCAGCUUCACAUGAGCCAGGUGAUGAGGAGCUGAGGGUGUUGACGAAUCAGUGGCCUCAGUACCCUCCUGAGUUCAGGUAAUUUAUUUGUUUUCGUUUAUUUUAGGGCCCGUUUGAUAAUCAUUUCCGUUUUUUUCAGUUUUUAGUAUCACCUUCUAUAGAAUGAUUUGCGUAAAGUUGGCUGAUUAUGGAUUUGCUUUGGUUCGAAGAUUUAGAAAUAUAGCCACUCGAAGAGUGCUUGAACACCACUCCAUAAUGCUCGAGUCCCCUCGAGCGGUUCAAGUUCUACAAGUCUGAACUUGAUUCACAAGUGUUACAAGUUCGGAUUCAUGAAGAUUAAACUAUUUGCGAUUAGAAAUUGGCAUGUGAUGCCUGUCUAGUACCAACUCCACCAAAUUUUAGCAUAUCUUGUUGUGGUUUAUGUACAGUUUACUCCAUUAUGCUAAUUGUUUUUCUUCACCUUGGCAUGUGGUUUAUGUACUCGAAUUGACUGCCUUGAGCAGAGAGGUCUGCCAAGAGUAUGCUCGAGCGGUCGAAAAACUAGCAUACAAGUUGCUAGGACUAAUUGCUCUGAGCUUAGGCCAGCCCAAAAACAGGUUCGAUGACUACUUCAAAGACCACCAAACGAGCUUGGUCAGACUCAAUCACUAUCCUCCAUGCCCUUCCCCUCACCUAGCUCUAGGUGUUGGCCCGCACAAGGAUGCUGGCGCCUUAACCAUCCUUGCCCAAGAUGACGUUGGAGGACUAGAAGUUAGGCGGAAAUCAGAUGGAGAGUGGAGUCCAGUCACGCCCACCCCAAAUGCCUACAUCAUCAAUGUUGGUGACAUUGUUCAGGUACCACUCAUGAACCAUGUAGUUUCGGUGAAAUGACAACUUUAAUAUGUAUCUAUGGAGCUGUAAUUACGAAUGAGAUUGUUCUUGAAAAUCACCAUUUUGAACUACAAAGUUAAAGUUCUCGAUGUGUGAAACAACUGUUUCAAUGAAAUGAAAUCAUCCCGCUAUGUCUUAAUCAUGAAUGAUGUUCUUGUAAAAUACCCUUUUGCACAACAAAAGAAAUGAAGAAAAAGUUUUGAACUUUUAAGCGUAUGAAAUACUCCUAUAUUCUCCCAUUCCUUUCUUAGUUGGACCAACCAGAUUUUCGACAAGCAUUUCUGUUGGCACAAGAAGAAGAACUGUAAGUGAAUUUUAAUCAUUACAAUUAUUCGAGAUGUAAUAUGUAUGUUCACUCUGUGAAUUGCAGGUUUGGAGCAACGACAAAUAUGAGAGCGUGGAGCACCGUGUGGUGGUGAAUUCUGAGAAAGAGAGAUUUUCAAUUCCAUUCUUCUUCUUCCCAGCCCAUCAUGUGAUGGUGAAGCCCUUGGAGGAGCUACUGAGUGAUGGAAAUCCUGCCAAAUACAGGGAAUACAACUGGGGAAAGUUUUACGCUACCAGAAACCGCAGUGAUUUCAAGAAACAGGAGGUGGAGAACAUCCAAAUUCAUCAUUUCAAGUUACCGGAGUAGAUACUAGAUGGUAUAGCAUGAACGUUUAAUCACCGGUAGCAACUGGCAACGCAAAGUUCUUUUCGCUUCUUGUGAUUACCGUGCUAUGUAACCGGAUUGGAGGCUUUGGAAUCUGCUUCAGUAACUGCUAAUAAGUGAGUUGCAUGUAAAAUCGCCUACUUUUACUUAAAGCUUCUAUAUCUCUCUGCAAGUCUGGGGCAGAUAUCUAAGUGCAAUCUUCAAGGAAAAUCAAACCUUGAAGUAAAUAUACUAUAGCAAUCACCAAUUUUCUUUUAAUACAAGCGAUACUAAGGAGUAUGAACCGAAUACAUGACCUGAGGUGUAGAGGUAAACUUGCUUAACAAUUUGAACUGCAAGCCUUUCGCAUUGUAAUGAUCACUGUUAAGUUCAUGCUAAACGUGAUUAAAAACUCUCCGUUUCCGACCCCAAAGCCAUCGAAAGGCUUAUCGCACAAAUAGGCAAUGCAUGUAAGGACUGGGGUUUCUUCCAAGUGAUCAACCACAGGGUUCUGUUGGAGAAGCGCCAGAGGAUCGAGGCUGCUGCUCGGAAGUUCUUUGCGCUGCCCUUGGAGGAGAAGAGGAAGAUUAGAAGGGAUGAAAAGAGUAUGUUCGAGAGGUCGAAAAGCUAGGUCUAUAGUUGAUUGGAUAGAUUGCAUUGAGCCUAGGUUUGCCAGAAGUGACCAGUUUUAUCAGACUCAAACCACUAUUCGCCUUGUCCUUCCAAAUCAAAAUCGCCAUCCAUGGGAGAGAUUAAUCCAGCUUUCAUCCAAGAUCCCGAGCACCGACCAAAACUGUCAAUCAUCGAAGCUGAUGGCAUACCAUUGAUUGACCUGUCUCCCGUAAACUCCCCAGACAACUCUUCUGACCCGAAAGCCAUUGAAAAACUUGUUAGAGAGAUCGGCAAGCAUGCAAAGACAGGGGGUUCUUCCAAGUGAUAACCAUGGAGUACAACUGGAUACGCUCGGAAAGACUGAGGCUGCUGCUCGGAAGUUUUUUUGAUCUGCCUUCGGAGGAGAAAAGGCGAAUUUGGAGGGAUGAAAAAACUGUGUUGGGUUACUACGAUACUGAGCAUACCAAGAACGUACGAGACUGGAAGGAGGUGUUCGAUUUCACAGUGGAGAAACCUAUGUUAAUGCCUGUUUCAGCCGAUCCUGAGGACAACGAACCAAUGGCCUGAGCAACUUCCAGAACCACGGUAACUCAAUGAUUAGUUGAUUACUAAGAGGAGAGUGAACAUAAUUACUUUAGACACAAAUUUGGAAUUGGACUCGUAAGAUCUAAUACCAGGGUGCUGUGUGAUGAAUACGCUCGAGAAGUAGAAAAACUAGCUCUCAAGUUGUUGGGACUUAUUGCCUUGAGCCUAGGCUUGCCAGAAAACAGGUUCAACAGCUACUUCGAAGACCGGACAAGCUUUAUCAGGCUCAAUCACUAUCCACCUUGCCCUUCCCCUCAGUUAGCUAUUGGUGUUGGUCGCCACAAGGACAGCGGUGCUCUAACCGUGCUGUCUCAGGAUGAUGUCGGAGGACUGGAGGUGAUGAGAAAAGCAGACGGAGAGUGGAUAACCCCAAAUGCCUAUAUCAUCAAUGUUGGUGACAUUCUUCAGGAUCCUCAUCCAAGCAAUACAAACCAAAACCUAAAAGCUACUUUCUAGGUUUUGAUGUUUUCCAAAUGGAUCCUUUUCUAAUAGAUGGCUACCAUGGUAGAACUCAAUCAAACAUGUUGAAUUAGCUAAAGCUGUUAUGUCCAAGAAAUUGAUCGAACUGAUCGCUCGUGUGUCAGUCUUCCAAGAAAGAUGAAAAAUUACAUAUUAUAUAUAUAAUUUAUUUAAAUAUAAACAAACCAAAUCCUAUUUCGAUCAGAUCAAAGAUGAUGUACAACCUUUGUGAUCAGAGGGGGCGAUUAAUCAGCCAAAACACAAAGAAAAAAACUAAAGAAUAUCUGUAAGACAACUAAAUAAGGUCCUCAACUGAAAACGACACAACAGAAAGUCCUCGAUAUUUUUGGUUCUGUGCACCCAAGACCUUUUGCAAAGGGUGUAAUGAUGCGUAAAAGUGUAUGGUAUCAGCUUCCACGCGCUCUAGAACCCUAAACCCUCCUCAACUAGAAACGGCACUACAGAACGCCUUCAAUAUUUUUGGUCUUUGCAAUCCAGAUCCUUUUGAAAAAUGGAACUUUAAUGAAAAGCUCCCGGUACUGUUCAUUUUAACGAAAAACCAUAUUUUUACACUAAAAAUUCAAUUAUGAUACUAAUCAUUUUACCUUUUAUUUUGUCCUUAUCGUUAAAAUUCAAAAUUCAAAAUUUUCAAACCCUUUUCAUUGGUUUUCCUUUUGAGAAUGAUCUGCAAGGUAUAAGCUUCUUUGCUCUCAUGGACCCUAAACUCUAACCCUUACUAGGCCCUUAACUAGAAACAGCACAACAGAACGUCUUCAAUCUUCUUAAUUGCAGUUCACAAAAGUCUCAAAUAUAAAUAAUAUAACAUAGAUCAUCAAUUUUAUUGUAAAACUGGAAAAGCUUUGGAGUAAUAUUACCUGCAAGGCUAUUCAUGGUAAAUGAAAACGAUAACACAAGUUAUAUUAUACGCAAUCAAACAAACGUGACACAGAACAUGUGCAUCUAUUGAGCAUGAACCUUAAACGGUAAUUAGAAUCCACAAAAACAUCUGCCCAUUUAUAAAUUGACAGCCCAGUUUCCCUCAUUCCUCCCCACAAUCUAAUUUAGUAAAUUGAACAUGUGAUUAUAUUCUAGAAGUCUGAUACAAAAAAGUUGGAACACUGAAGAGAAUGGAUUGCAAAAAGUCUACCAUGCAUCUUCAAACUGCAUUAUGAUACUCAUCAAUUGUUUCUUUCAUUCGAUCCAAUUGUGACAUGACAUACUCGAGCUUCUUGCAACAGAUCUCAUUAGCUAUUCUUGAACUGUAAUCACACUUCUCAAAUGGACGGUAAUCGCAUGCACUUUUAAUUUCAUCCCGUAGUGCCACUUGAAUAUCCUGAUGCACAAAAGAAAAAUAAUCCAAAAUCCUCAUCCUCGAUUCACAAAACAGUUGAGCCAAAAUAAGAAAGUGCAAGUACAUAAUCCACUCUUGCAACCAACCUACUCAACCAGACCUAAAAUUUCUCACUUUUUGCACCAAAAAACUAUUCCCAUACCAAAAUAAAAUUAGGCAUUUUUGUUGAUUCUUCCACAAAGUUUCUGAAUUCUUUAGAUACUACUCUUAUUGACUAGAUUCCGAUUAUUCAUCCAAAAUUCAAAAAGCAUUUCAAGCAACUCGAUCAAAGAGUACCUAAUUCAAUUCAUAGUAUAAAAACCAGAACCUUCUAGACCCCAAAAACUCUAGUCCCAAAAUUUCCCCCUCCUAACAUUUGUAAGUUCCAAAUUUGCAAUCUACUUCGUGGCAGGAUUUAAUUCAUGGGUCCAAUUAAAGUUCCCAAAUCCCAAAUUCCAUGAAAACUCCAUGCUUACACAAAUUUUAAGUUAUAUAUAAACAUAUAUGUAUAUACACACACAGAAGCAGUCGAUACCCCUAGCUGCUGCUACUCUGAGCUUGUAAAAAACAGACCUUGAUCAAUUGCAUGAACUCGCGGCAAUGGUUGUUGAUGUACUCCUUUCUGGGACCGCUAGGGUUUGCAAGCUCAUCCAUGACGCCUCCUGCUAGCUCCAAAACCUUAACGAUUCUCUGUGCAACCAACCAAAAAUUAAAUAAAAAUUCAAAUUCUCGUCGGUAUCAAACUCCUAUGUGGAAUUGGAAUUGAGUAGUUGACUGCUUACAUUCUCCACGUUUUGGAGUCUCUGCAACGAGGUGUUCUGGGUCUGCGAAUCCAUGGAGUUUGUUUGAAUUUUUGCUUUAGAGAGUGUUUUUUUCAGAUGAGAAAAGGAGAGAAAGGAGAUAGUGUGAUAGGUUUUAGUGGGCUUUGGGCUCUAUAAUUUUACACUCAAGAGGCCUGCUUCAUAUGCCACUUUGUCGCUCCACUGAUCUUGAGAAUUGGUAUCUAGAUUUCACCUGGAGAAUGAGAACCUACUCAAAAAUGAAUUUCAAAUAUUUUUAAUUUUCUCCAUCUUAACACAACUCUUGGAACAAAGUCGAAUAGUUAGAGAUCAUAUAUUACACUUUCUUCCUAUUCUUCGUUGUUUCGUAAUGUGUUAUACAUCAAAAUGUCACACAAUCUUUUUAGCAAAAAAAAGUCACAUAAUUGUUGCUUACCUCCAUACAAUUCACAUGUCUCACAUAAUUGUUGCUUACCUCCAUACAUGUCUCAACUCUCAGACUCAUAAUGUUAUAGCAUACAUAGUAUUCUUCUUCUUCUUCUUUGUCAUAAAAUGCCAAAAGCACUUGCAUUAAUCAAAUCAAUACUUAUAUGAAAAACAACAUGCCAACAAAAAUUAAGUUUGAAAAAACCCUGCUGUCAUAUGUUUUAUUAUUUUGCGGAUGUGUUGUGCUCAAAAUAAAUGGUUAGAUUGGCCCAAGUGUUAGGUUUUUCAUGUAUAUUGAUAAUGUUUGCGGCGGUGUCAUCAUCUCUUCGUGUAUAUACCAGAUAAGCAAACAAAUCAACAAAAACCCAGAAAAGCAACUCACAAAUGUAAUUAUAUGAAUGCAAGAGGACUCGGCAUCAUACUUGAUAAAUAUCAGACUUGUGUCUAUGAUCACGAUGAUCUCUUUAGGAUACAAAAAAUCACUCUUUUUUCUUUAUAUACAACUCAGGCCAGGAAACACUAAAACACAACCCCUAAAUCCAACUAAAUAAGAUGUAAAACAAAUUCGAAUAUAGUUUUCUAAAUUCAGAUUAAAAAGAAUUUACUUGUUUGGAGUAGAUGAAAUUGCAAUCCCCAGGAGCACGUCUUAGUAAAUGCAAAAUUUCAUCAAAACGAUGCUAUCCAGAUUGCUCAACAUUGCUCAAAUAAAAUGCCAUCAAAAGAAGAAUUUUUCAAAACCCAGAAAUUUAAACGUGUAAUUCGACAAAACCAUGAAAAUUUUACUAAAACCCAAUUAUAUUAAAUCACAAAUUUGAAGAAGAUUUUGACAUGAAUAGGUCUAGAAAGUACUUGAGAUGAUGAGGAAUUGUUUGAGACCAACCUCGAUGCAGGGCGCCGCCGUAGUCGUCAGAUUCAGGUUGGAAACUUUUUUUUGAGAUUUUGAGAUUCAGGUUGGAACGAUGUCGAGUGUGAUCAGGAAGGAUGAAGUGAGGGAGGAACUGGAACAAUUUGAGUAAGAAGUGAAGUCCUCCUGAAAUUUGGAGCAAGAGAUUUUGAUUCCAGUCGAAGCCAACCGGGAAGGAAGAAGUGAGGAGUGUGAUCCCAUGUGUCAAAGGAAGGCGGCAGAAUUGUAAUAAUACAGAUUUGGCAGUGUCAAAAACGGAAGAACAUUGUUCAAACAGUGUUUUAGGCUAUUUUGAGCUUUAGUUAUAUAUAACAAGCAACUUAGCCCAUGCAAUGCUGCAGGUUUAAAAUCUGUGUUAAAUGUAUGAAAUAUAAUCAAGUAUAUUUACAUCUAUAUCAAAAUCUAUUUACAUCUUUAUGAUCAAUAAGAAACAAGGAUUUGUGUUUGUACAACAUAUUACAAUACUCUAAGGCUCAUGCCUUUAGUUCUCGUGCAUUCAUAGAUUCUCAGCAUAUCAACCAUUUGUUCUUUAUCAAUGUUCAAGGCAUGUUAUGGAGAAGGAAAAUAGAGGAUAAAAAUUAACUGGGUCAGCAACAUGUAACUUAAAUGUAGUUAAGUAUAUUUAAUUUAAAACAAAGAAAUUAGAAGAUAUCUAAAUGAUGUUGAAAGUAAAAAUAAUAAUAAUACAUUAAACGAACCACAUGAACUGAACUGGAAAACUUAAGUUUACAGAAAAUUUCAACUCAAUGGUUUUAACAUAAUAAACCGGCCUACAGAACAUCAGCUUUUGUAUUUCUGUGGACUUAUAUGAAGAAGAACCAACAUAUGCCAUUGCUAUAUGCUUAUUUGAAAGAUGAAAUUGAAACAUUCGAGCUCACUAACUCUACUUAGUCUCAUGAUGCAAUUGCUAUAUACUUACAUGAAGAAGAACCAAAGUGAGUAAAAACAAAUUUUUAGUUGUUGGAGGUUUGAAAUGAUUUGUUAACACUAUUUAUUGAACUAUCUACCAAGUUAAGCAAAACCCUUUUUGGGUGCAUCAUAUAAUGCUUCUUCUGGGAACCACACAAACCAAACAACACAUACUAUCCUAGCUCUCUCAAACAAUAGAUCAGCUUCAGUUUGAAUGAACAAAGAAAGUUACGCACAUUCAAUUGGGACUCGCCCAAUUGAAUAACAAUAUUGCUAGUAGUCUACAUUAACCUCGCAACUAAACUUACUUCGAUAUUCCUGACAGUGAAUUUCCACUUCCUGAGUAAUUAAAGAUUACACUUAAUCAAAAGUAGUUCAAUGUCAUAUUUAACUAAGCCUUGCAAUUCUUGUGAUCUCAUUUAAAUUCGUGUAUUGUUUACAUCUGAAGACCAAUCUGUCAGGUUGAAUGAGAAUCCACAUAAUUUCAUUAGUUUACACUUUCUGAUGUCAUUUAUCAAAUCACUUCCUAGGCUACACGUCAAAGUUGUCAAGCACAUGACUUUGUACAUGUAUGGUCUUUCCCCUAUAACUGCAACAACCUACUGAUUCACUGGUUAUUGAUAAAUGUACUUCAUCCAUUCCAAACUGGGGUUGUCAAUAUUAACAGACAUUGUUCCACGAAAAAAUGUAUGCUGAACAUACCACUUCAAGUAUAAAUGACACUUAAUGACUCACCAAAUAUGAACCAUAAGAUUCAGAGACUACUUACUACUUCAAGUAUAGUUAGCAUGCAAUGUGAUCAAACCACAUAUAAAACCAAUUUCAACUCCCCAUCUUGUCUCAGACCUAAGACUCCAAGUUUAACCAAGCACCAUCCUGUCUCAAAUAUUUCAAACUCUGAUGGGCAGUGUUAUACUAAAAAGCACGGGCGCACCCCAAAAUUGCAAUUACAUUCGAUUCUUUUUACAAAAUUCCUACAUGCAGAGCUUUCCACACCAUCAAAUGACCAAACGCAUCAUUUUUAACACAAUUCUGGCAUAAUGUCAUAUGAAAUAAACCCAACUGGAAUGCAGAAAUGACCACAACUACGCAGAUAGCCAAAUAUCGCCUAAAAUGUAAUCAUUUCAAUUCCACAUUCUAAACAAAACCCUUAAAAUGCAUUAUUUUCCACACCACCAAAAGAUCAAGCACAAAAACUAUGCACACGAAUCCUUUUGAGCAGUUAUGUAGUAAACAUUAUGAGAAAACUGCAACUUUUCACUUUCAACAACUUUUCACUUUUCCCAGGAUUUCAGUAGAGAGGUUGAUGGAAAACAACUGAUAAAAUCAAAACCAAUUACCAAAUUCAAUCAACUGCACACAAAAUAAAAACAAAAACCCACUACCAAAUUCAGAAAUUUAAUCGACAAACUGUACAAAGCCUACAAAAGUUACUAAAUUCCAGAGAAAAUCACACAAAAAAAACCCAGAAUUUUAACGAAUAAUUCUCCGAAACCUAGAAACUCAAACAAAAAAAUCUACAAAAUGAUGAAAAAUUUACUAAAACCCAAUUAUAUUUAAUCACAAAUUUGAAUCAGAUAUUUAUACGCAAUAGGUCAAGAAGGUACCUGAGGUUCUGAGCAAUCAUUUGAGACCAACCUCGACGCCGGCCUUCUCUAGAAUCCAAGCAAAAACGUCGGAAAAAUUUAAGUAGUUAUAGAGAUACAACAAAUCAAAUGGUACAUGCAAGGCAUAAAUCUUGACCUAGAGAGUGAGACUGAGCUUGGACUUCAGUUUGUGAGGUCGAAAGGAUGAGAUGGUGGGGGCUUUGGGUGUUUCCGGGUUCUUGGGUGUGUGGGGCGUCUGAAUCGUGAUGUCGAGAGAAAGAGAGGAAGAACGACGCUAAGCAACGAGAGUAGAGAAGAAGAUAAAAAUGGAAGAGAGCGUUUUCAGGUUUUAGAGAGAGCGGCGGCAGGAGGAGAACCGAAGAGGCAAUGCAUAGGCGUAAUAACAUAAUCUAAGAACGUACAAAUUAGGAUGACAUCUUGAUAAAAAAUUUGAUGGGGAUUUUAACUCGGUCGAAGGGAAAAAGAGUGUCCCGCUCAAGCAAGAAAACUAUCAUCCAAAAAUACAAUUACAAGUUUGACAAAAAAAAUACAUUUACAAGAACACCAGGCCUCGAUAAAAACCUUAUCAGACAUUUCACAUGAACUUGUCUCUGAAUUUAAAUACGUUAUGGUAAUCCAAAACUAAAAAUAAAACUUUGUGACCAGUUGUCAGCUAAAAACAUUAAGAAAUGUCAUUGGUUUUGAAAAAGGAAAUAAUACUUAUACACCCAUGUUUAAUCAUGUCGAUUUUUUUUUUUUAAUGUAUUCAUCUAAUGUUUACGAAUAAAAAGGAAUGCAUGUGAGGUUAAAAAUAGUUUGAAAAUCAACUCUUUUUUAUAAUAUCAAAAUAGUGAUUUUGUGCUAAUUUAUUCUGCUAACCUAGAUGAUAGAACCCAAGGAUGAAACAGUAAUAAACUAAGACAUUUGAUUUUCAUUCAUACCUUUCCCAAAUGGUGAAAGGAAGCUUAUAUACAACCCUAGAGGGGGAAAUGUUCACGAUUGGAACACAUCUCUACUUACCCAACCGUUGGAUGAAACCAACUCUACAAGGAAAAGACAAAAUACCAUAAAGGAGGGACCACCAGCUGUCCAAUAUUCUAAUAUCCUAACACUAUUGCCCCCUAAGAAAAAGCUUGUCCUCAAGCGUUGAAGUCAAGAAAUCAUUCGAGAAUGGUGUCGACAUCCUCCCAAGUGGCAUCAUGUUUCGGUAAGGCCAUCCAUUUGAUCAGCCACCGCAUGACAGCAUGGUUCCCCCGCUUGAAUAUGCCUCGUUGCAAUAUUGUUUCCAGGAUCCGGGUCACAAGUCCCUUAUCAGACAUAGGUGGAAGCGUAAAGGAAGCAACCACAUUAGAGUCAAGCUUUGGCUUGAGGAGUGAAACAUGGAAGGUGGGGUGAAGAGAAAGUCGGAAGGCAAGUCCAAGGUGUAGCCAGCCUUCCCAACACGAGCAAGAAUCUUGUAAGGACCGUAGAACCAGGGUGCCAAUUUGGGGCAGUUAUUAUGAUUGACUGAAGGUUGGUGAUAAGGUUUUAGGCGGUAGAAGAUCUAAUCUCCCACUGUGAACUUGCGCUCUGAGCGAUUUUUGUUAGCAUAGUGGCGCAUUCCAUCUUGAGCAAGCUACAGAUUUUUCAGAAUGAGGCGAAGUAAGGCAUCUCGGUCACAAAGGGUUGUAUCCACUAGAUGGACUGGUGAAGAACCUAACAAGUAUGAGGAAACUCGCAGAGGGGGAUAACCAUAGACGGUUUUAAAGGGGACCAUUUUAGUGGCCGAAUGAAAGGUGGUAUUAUACCACUAUUCUGCCCAUGGUAGCCAAUCAACCCAAGAACUCGGUUUGUCACCCACGAAGCUACGCAAGUAGUGUUCAAAACCUCUAUUUAGUGAUCCGACUAGGGGUGGUAAGCUGAGCUACAGCAAAACUGAGAGCCGUGGAGUUUGAAGAAUGAUUCCCAGAAGUGGCUGAUGAAAAUAGGGUCUCAAUCACUGACGAUUGUUGCGAGCAUGCCAUGAAGGCGGAACACCUCACGAAGGAAAAUAUCAACCACUUUAGCUAUCAAAUAUGGGUGUUUGAUGGUGAGAAGGUGUGCAUACUUGGAGAGGCGAUCAAUGACCACCAAGAUGGCAUUGUGGAUGGCAGAAGCCUCCGAAUCAUGGGUGUAUUCAGCUUAGAUCUUUGAGAUGCUAUCGAAGAUAGGUUGGGAAAGACCUAUAAGGGCCAAGCAUUCAUGUUGCUGAGACAAGGCAUCAACAGCUGUGUACGUGGAACCUGAGCGAUAUUCAAGUGUAUAUUUAUAGCCAACAAGUUAAGGAGCCAUUUCUAUUGAAAGGGUGUGGUGAUCCGCUGGUUGAGAAAGUAUUUCAAGGUUUGGUGGUCUGUCAUAAUUUUGAAUGGAUGCCCAAGCAAAUAAGAGCGCCACUUUGUACUGCGAACACAAUGGCCAUCAUCUCCUUAUCAUAGACAAACAAGGCUUUGUUUCUCCAUCAUAGACUUACUAAGAAAAGUAAUGAGGUGUUGGUUUUUUAAGAAGACAGCCCAAAUGCCGGCGUCGAACGCGUCACAUUUGAUUGUGAAGGGCUUGGUGAAGUCAGGGAGAGCCAACACAGGGAUGGAGAACAAGGCACGCUUAAGAGUGGAAAAAGCAUCAGUUGCUGUGGAGGACCACUUAAAAUUAUCUUUCUUCAAUAGCUUUGUAAGUGGGUGGGCGAGUAAACCGAAGUGACGUACACAUUUGCGGUAGUAGCUCGCAAGGCCUAAAAAUCCCCUUAAUCCUUUGAGGUUGCGAGGUUGAGGCUAAUCUACAAUACACUACACCUUUUAAGAAUCGACCGCUACUCAUUCGGCCAAGAUGAUGUGUCCCAUAUAGGCUACUGUGGUUUGACCAAAAUAGCAUUUCGAAGCCUUGAGUUUCAAGCUGUGAACAUGCAUGACCUCAAACACCGAAACCAAAUGUGUGAGGUGGGUCUACAAGGUCAAACUGAAGACGAGAAUAUCAUCGAAGAAAAUCAGGACAAACUUCCGGAGAAAAGGCUUAAAGAUAGAGUUCAUUAAGGCCUAAAAAGUGAAAAGUGCGUUGCAAAGCCCAAAUGGCAUCACCAAAAAUUCGAAGUGUCCAUCGUGUGUUCGAAACACUAUUUUGAGAAAGUCGGGCUCAUACAUUUAGAUUUGGUGAAAACUCAAGUAGGGUUCCAAGUUGGGUUGGAGAAUACUAUAAUGCCCUGGAGUUCAUAUAACAGUUUGUCAAUUAUUAGGACGGGAAUAGGAACUUGACAAUAACCUAAUUGAGUCUGCAGUAGUCCACAUAAAAUUGCCAAGAUCCAUCAGCCUUGUGGACCAAAAAAGCAAGUGAAGAAAAGGGACUCGAGCUGUGGCGAAUGACGCCUACAGCCUGCUUGUCUUCGAUCUGAUGUUCAAUCUCCAUUUUUUCUAAGCAUAAGCAUAGCGAUACAGACGAAUAUUCACUGGAUGGGUGUCAGGCAAUAAGGUGAUGCGAUGGUCAAUUGUCUGUGUGGGAGGGAGACUCGUAAGAGGGUCGAAAAGGUCCAAAUAAGUACGUAUAAUCGACUUGAUAGGUAGUGGGGUAGUAGGGGUGCCUUCAAGAGGGGAAAAGUGUGCAUCAGGGAGGCUACCAAGGGACUCAAGUCCACCCGUGAAGAUAUUGAGGGGGGCGAGGUAUCUGUGGUACGCAGGCCCACCAGUCGAAAGUUUGUGCCAUUGAUUUGGACUUCCAUGAUCUUGUUCUUGAAGUACCAGCCAAUAUACCUUAAAGUUUCCAACCAUUCAGCCCCCAGAACCAAGCCGCACCCCACAACGGACAAUAGUCGUAUAUCCGAAGAAAAAACAUAGUUCUGCAACAGGACCGAGACAUUGUGAGAGGUGUCGAUGUGAAGGCCAAGGUGAAGCCUUACGAAGGGGUUGAGAAAGUUGAGAUCAACCCCGGAGUUCACAAAAACCCGAACAGUCAAAGUCCCAAUGUGACCCACUAGGCGUAGCCCGACCACAAGUGCGUUUAGGAGAAGCCAACGCGUUAAGGGUGAUGUGGAUGGGGUCCUCCGUCAGAACUUCAUCAAGCAUCGAUAAAAGUUCUUCAGGAGGUGACUCGGCAGCGACCUCGGAGACUGUGGCAGUGUCUAUAAGUAGCAGGUAGGGAGUGGCCUGGGUAAUAUUUAUCUAGAUAAUAAAGGCAUUGGCCGUAGGCACGGUGUUCACGAACUUCCACAGAGGAGAUGCGUAGUGGUGACCGGCCGUAGAGGGCGGAGCUGGUUUGGGAGAUGGGGUAGAUGAGAUGACGAUGAAGCAUGUGUGGUAAAGGAUGACCUGGUGAGGAAUGGGCAGAAAUGACCCCUACGACGUUGUUGUUUGUUGUCGUAAAUACGGGCCAGGUCAAUGGCACAUGCUAAAGAGGAAAGAGCCUGGGCUAAGAUAUCAUCCUGAAGUUCAAAUUUCAGCCAACUAAGAAAAACCCCUAGUAGUUGGGAAUCGGACCAACCUUGGGCCUUACACAACAAACAGAUGAAAUCAUUUAUGUAGGCCUCUAGUGAGCAUUUAUAAGAUACAUGGGAAAAUGACAUGUUGAAGUCAAGAUGGUCGCCAGGCCCAAAUCGUUGGAGAAAUGAUUCGAAAAAUGUGGCCCAAAGCCUAGACCCAAUAUGUAACUUGUACCAUUUGAACCAAACGGCAGCAUCACUAAUGAAAUGGAGGCUCGUGAUUAUGACUCAAUUGGCGGCGUCAACCCCGUGGUAAUCCAUAUACUCCUCUGUUAAGGCUAACCAAUUCUACAGGUCAUCAUCGGAGAAUCGAGAAAGCUCAAUCUUCAUGUGUUUCGGGCCGUUGAAGGUAAGUGGUGGCCCUUGAUAGAAGGGCAACUGUUGGGGAAGGUGAAACGAAGAGGAUGGAAGGUGGGGAUGGAGGGUAGUGGUAGAGGUUGAAUGGAUAGGGGACGAUUGUGGGUAACCGGUGCCCGGGGUAUGAGAGAGAGAGGGGAAGCGGGAGUAAUAUGUGCCCUAUGUUGGAGGAGAAGCAGUGAAAGUGGGUUGGGAUGGUGGGGGCAUCAGAGUGGAUGUCGAACCCAGAGGAAUGUGAAGGGAACCGAUCGAGAUCUAGGAAAGAGUGGUGGAUGGGGGCGGUUGUUGCUUGGAGGCACGGAUCUCCUCCAUUAAGUGGUUCUGGACUAGGCUAAUGUUAGCCAAUAAAGCCUGAAUGUCCGUCAGAUUUGACUGGAAUGAUUCUUGGCGAGUGGCUAACAAGGACACCUAGUCGUGAAACCUUUUAAGCUACUCCAAGAUUUGGUGUUGUUGGUACUUCAGUUCGAGGUCGGCCUUCAUGCCAUCGGCCACCACCAGGAGGCUUUGCUUUUACUCAUGGAUGGUAGCAACUUAUCGCUGAUACCAAAUGAUAAAACCCAGGGAUGAAACAAUGCAGAGAGUAUGAAGAAAAAAGGAAAAUGAAUAAACUAAGACAUUUGAUUUUCAUUCAUACAUUUCCCAAAUGGUGAAAGAAAGCUUAUAUACAACCCUAGAUGGGGAAAUGCUCAUGAUUGGAACACAUCUCCAUUUACCCUACCGUUAGAUGAAACCAACUCCUACAAGGAAAAGACAAAAUACCAUAAAGGAGGGACCAACAGCUGUCCAAUAUUCCAAUAUCCUAACACUAAGCUUAAAAAUGGGUUCGGUUUUUGACGAAUUGAGUUCCCUUGUGCUGGACUCUUUUCUCCCUAAAAAAAAUGAAAUUGUGGGUUGUUUGAUCAUGACGAAAUUCUAUUGCAGGAUAGAGCAUCACUAGUCCAAGCAAUGGUAUCCAAUGAGGCAAAGGUCUUCCGCCAACAGUUUGGAAAUUGCAUAUUAAGGUCUGGUUCCAGAAUAGAAGCUAAACCAAAGUUGGAUCUUGAAAUGCAAGUUCAUGGUUUUGAUUUUUAACAUUUUGGGUAAUGGUAGGGAGAUCAAACUCUUAAAUCAAAUGGAGUGGAUGUUAAUGAAUGGAUUAUUACUUAAGUAUUGAUUACCAUGCGUAUUUUCCAUUGGAUGGUGACACAUCAUUUGGUUUGCAAAUUUGGUUUCCUUAACAUUAUCCGUAGGUUCUUAAUCAGUUGGAAAUACAUAUUAUAAUGUUCUAGAUUUUGAUUGCAUGGGGUUCGGUUUCCGUAUUUGCGCUAAGUUAGUUGUUCAAAAAUCUUAAUGACAUUGCAUUUAAUUUGUUUCUUGAGAAAGGAAAUUAAUGUUUGUGGCUUGGUUUUUACAUGAGGUAUGAUAUCCACACUAUUUUUUACUUCUCACAUAUUUUCUAAUUUUUGGUUAUCGGAUUGGAUGAAUUAAAGAAGAUCAAAUAACAGAAAUUAACAAGGGAUGUGUGAGACCCUUUUUACAUAUGUAUAGACAACUAGAGGGAAAAGGGUUAGGGAGAAAUGCCUAAAAUUGUUAAUGGUUUAUUUGAAGUUGAGUUUGAAAAAUAAAAUAUCUAACAUAAAUAAAUAAAUAAUAUAUAUAUAUAUAUAUAUUUAAUUAAUUUGAUUCUAUAUAGUUUUCUAACCACUGAAACUGAACCAAAAGAUUUCGGUUUUGUUUGAUUUUUUUUUUAAUUCAGUUUGAUUUUUUUUUUUUGGUUCGAUUUUUUCAUCUUCGGCUCAGUUUUCGAUUUUCGGUUUUCAAACCCACUCCUACCUAGGCUUGGCCAAAUUGGUUAAAGUAGUGUGCUCUCUUUUAGUAUAAAAAUGUAUCAAAGGGAGAAUAUGAAGAGAAUCCUUAGGGAAAGCAUUUUGUUUCCACCUAGCAAAAACAGUGUCUAUAAGGAGGCUCGCACUACGGACUAUUACAUCAGUAUCAUCUAUAAAGAAUAAUACUCUCAUCCCUCUCUAUGGGGGAAUAAACAUAUCUCAACUUCUGACGAAUAAUGUAUAUUCAACAUAUAAAUAUCAUAUCGGAACAAUGAAUAUGCCCGCACGAAGCUCCUUGUAUAACCCAAACUCUCUUUACUUUUCAAACUCAAUAGUAUAAAUAUACAAACAAUGAAUACGCUUUCCAAUCAAAUUGGUGGUGAUAAAACCAGAAACACAAACACAUAUGGAUCAAAGAAAUCAAAAUUUGAUCACAUCAGUCUCUACUUUCCUUAUCGUUCUUCUUCUCUGUGUAGCAAAUGAAAUCGAGUCUGCCUACCAACCUUAGCAAGAAGCACUUUAUGUUGGUUCAUGGCUCAUGCUUUGGUGCUUGGUCUUGGUACAAGAUUGUAACCCUAAUUAGGUGAUCUGGUCACAAUGUCACUAUUCUAGACCCAACAGCUACUAAGGUCGAUCCCCAACAGCUACUGGGAUCUGCGAUCAAUUUCUAACUACUUUAAGCUCGUGAGGGAUUUCAUAGAAGCUAUUGAUGGAAAGGUGAUCCUUGUUAGUCAUAGUCUUGGUGAGUUGGCCAUUCUUAAGCCAUGAAAGAUUUCUGAAGGCCUCGUUUGGUUUGUUAGGCUGUACUGACUAUUUCAAUCGUAUACAUUAAUCUGUACCUCAGAUAUCAUAUAGUACUGUUUUUUGUCCAAAAAUAAAUAAAAGAUAUCAGCAGGGCCAUGCUUGAGUAUUUAGGUGCCCUGUGUAAAACUUAGAUGGCGGCCCUUCAUUUUUUUAUUGUUAUAUUUCUUUAUUAUUUUUUGUUCUUCAAUUUUAUUAUAUAUGACAUUAAAAUAUUACAAGUUACGGCAACAAAAAUAAGUUGUUUGAUUGCCUAGGUUUUUUUCCUUACCUUCAAAGGUCUUGAGUUCGAUACAUGUUGGUUGUGUUUUUUGUUAUCUCCUUUUUAAGUUUAUAAAUAGCAAAGCAAUAUCAUAGAGAUUCGAACCCAGCCCAGGGGCUGUACGGUAGAAGAGCUAAACCUCUAACACUAGAACCACAAAUAAUAUUGUCUUUCGCAUCUGACCUAUUUUAUAUGCAUGUAAUGAAAAUUUGGGGCCCCUUCCGAAUUCCAGCAUCAAAUCCCAACCUCCCAUACGAAUCCGCAUCGAUUCACCAACCAAAACAAUACUACUAAUUAAAUUGAAGAUACAAAUUGAAGAAAAGAAGACACGACUGGGAGAGAAACAUAAGUUUGGGGUUUAGUGAUAGUCUUAUCUACUUAUAAGUAUGAGAUCUUUUAAUCAAAUUCCAUAAAUGGUGACUUCAAACUAAAUUCUUAAUGCAGAAUCAUUGUGUGACUAAACCCAAAUCUCUAACCCGUUAUUAUAGGUAGGCCUUUUUUUAUUAGCAUCCCAGAUAAUGUUGAAUACACCCCACAUUAAAAUUUAAUAUUAAAUGACUUAUAUACUCUAAUUAAUACAUAAUGACAUUUUUGACCUUAUAAAGUUUUAAAAUAAAAUUCUCAAAUACGCCCCAAAUCACUCACCCUUCAACUCUCAAAAUCACUCACCCUUCAACUCUCAAAAUCACUCACCCUUCAUUGUAGACAAAACCCUAACCAAUAAAACUAUAAGCACGUAGAUUGAUAAAAAUUAUUUUUAACACAUAAAACAUAAAAUCAACGUUUCGGAAGAUUCACAUAAAGUAAGACUUCAUAUUUUUCGUUCUUUUAAUUAUUUCAACGACAUCAACAUCAGCAGUUCCUUUCAAUUAUUGGUUUUAUUAUACUCAAUUAUUUAAUUGUAGUUCCUUUCAGUUGAUCUAAUUAUUCAAAACCCAGCACCAUCCUCUUUUGAGUAAAAAUCAUAUUCCUCAUCUACUAACGUCGAACACCCGUAGCACUCCACCUCUUUCCAUGGAGCAAAUAGGAUCAAACAAUUGAAUGGAUAGAGAAAUAUGAAGGGAUAAACACAUGCAAAUAGGAUCAAACAAUUGCUGGCAUCACAUUGUUAAUGUAGGAUGAUAGUAUUUAGGACAAUAUGAAAGGAUAGAGAAAUGGAAGAGAUCCGGACUCACUCCGGUCUUGGCAUCCAUCAGACCAAAGGUGUAUUGGAAUAUCACCAAUAGAGAAAUUAGAAAAAUUUUGAAAAUACACCGGCUUCAGCUGCACAUCGGAAGUACCUAGAAUGACAUUAUGUAUUUGCACAUAAGAUGUGAAAAGCGUGGGUGUAGGUAGAAAAUGUAAAGUGUAUGGUGAGAGUUGAGGUGUGGUAUUAUGAGAAAGUAUAUGGGAUAUAUUAAAAUAUUUUUUUAUUAAAAAAUCAAAUGUAAGGUAUAUUUAAUAAUAUUUGAGAUUUAAUAUAACAAGCCUUAUACAUCUAUCGUUAUAUUUAAUAAAUAAAAAAUGGAUUGCCAACAAAUGUUUACUUAGUUGGAGUUGGAGAAACAACGAAUGGUUAUUGACACACCCCGACCGAGAUUGAAGCAUGUUGGCCGUCACAUGAGGGUGACGUAGCCAUGUGCACAGUGCAGAAGCAAUAAAGAUAAGAAAUAUACGAAUAAAUAAAAACUGAAAGCUACUAAGGUGCACUAAUAAACAGGAAGUGCUAGGAGUGAGAUACAAGUGUAAUUACUCCUAAUCAGAGCAUAGAAAGUCUAGGUGCAGUCCAAUAGGACAAGUACUAAUUACACAGUACCAAAAGACGUCCUACAAUUAUUUUAUUCUGUCAGAACCGCCGAGAUCCUCAAAGCCACCAACAGCAAGUCUACCUAAAACCUGGAGGAGCGCAAAAAUAAAAUGUGAGUGGGUAAAAACAAAUGUUUUUCAGAACCAUUUCAUCAUUAAAAUGGUCUAACCGCCUGUAAAACAUGAUUUUCCCAGAAUAGAAUAUAAACAUAUAUAUAUAUAUAUAUAUAUAUAUAUUUCAUUCAAAUCAUAUUCACAUAAUCAUAUUCAUAAGUAUGCCAUAAUGCCAAAACAUAAUUCGAAUUUCAUAGAAUAAAUUCAUAAGUUAAUCAUAUGCCAUACAUAAAAUUCAUAAGUCAACAAUUAUCGGCAUCAAAAUAACAUAUUUAGAUACAUAUAUUACACCUAGUCUUGUCGUACAAACCCUUUUAGUGGUUCGACUUAUUGCUCAUGUAUUCAUUUUGCUAGUCACCUACGAGUCGGAACCCAUAUGAUGGUCUGUACACCUUUAGUGGUUCCACUUAAAUUGGAUCUUAUGUUGUGAGCAUAUGGUGCGGGAGGUGACAUUGUAAUACAGGCAUGUGUCAUCUCCGGCUAAAUCACAAUCACCUUAGGUGCAGGUUUAUGGAGCUCAAUAACAUUCUCAAUCUCACAACUUAAUCACAUAUCACAAUUCAUUUAACUCACCUGGGCUUACCUGAGCGUCACAAUCACGCACGCAAAUUAAAUUAUAAUAUGCAUCAUAUACCAGUUUUCAUAUAAUAUAUAUAUUCAUGGCAUUUCAAGGCAUACUUUCAUUUAAACGUAUUUUCUGGGAAAAUAUGAAGUAUAUAAAUAUAUAUUGAAAACCAAAAGCCCACUCACUGGUAUGUUGAAGGGUCGUAGCCUUCGAGUCAUCCUUGACUGUGCUCGUCCUUGGGAUAAGUCUCCCCUAUAUGCGAAACAACUAUAAAAAGGUUAAUUUAAAACAGCUAACCAAUACUAGCUAAUAACUUCUCAUACAAUGCUCAAAUGGGGCGUUUGAAUAUACCAACAUGAUCUAUACAACCUCAUGAACAUCCCUAUAUUUUUAGAAUAAUUUUUGGACGUCCCACGCACCGUCACAUGCUUACAAAGGCACGGCAACACGCGCGGCCACGCACAAGGACCCUAACGGAAUCUCCUAACCCCAUUAGGAAUAUUCCAUUAAAUAGUAACAGAAUCUGUUAAACUAACCAAUGCCGUUAGGAAUAUUCCGUCAUCCCCCAGAACUCCGGCGACCGUCGCCGUUGCCAGAAAACUGAGAAUUUUUCAAACCUUCAUUUCUCGUCCAUUUCUCAAUCAAAUUUCAUGAAACUUAAACCAAUUUGAAGCUUGACAUGAAUAUAAUACAACUAUACCUUUCAAGAGCCCUAAAAUCCACAGAACUCGACGGAAAAUCCCUCGAUAAUCCGGCUAAACCUGCAACUCGUCAAAACUCAACUUUCUGACGUCCAAAUCACUUUGUUUUUCUUCUCCGAGCUUCGUGAGGAUGAUUCAAAGCUUCCUAUGCCCUUAAAAACUCCUAAAAACCUCAUAAUAAUUAGUGCAUGAACAGUACCUAAAACUGGGAUUUCGGUUUCUCGGGUUUUCGAAUGUUUUAAGUCCAAAUAAAGGUAUAAAUCAACUCCUAAACAUACAAAGAGUUUGAAUGUUACCGUUAAAACCUCGAUCCAUGCCUGAAAUGGAAUGCUUGGAGUUCAUUCAUACAAAGUUGAUGGAAACAGGAGAAAAUCGAGAGGGAUGAGAGAGAGAGUGCACGGGAAGGAGAGAGAGAGAGUUGGGGGGUAUGUGUGUAUGGUCCAAAGUUUUUUACUUCUAACAACCACAAAAACAUAACAACUUUUAGUCUUAAUUAGUUCCAAAUAAUAGGGACUUAAGGAAUUAGUUCACUCCCAACUUAAACCACACAAACACACAAAACAUCCAAAGGCAAAAUAGUCAGUUCACACCGUCGAUACUAAAUAUUUCGGGACAGGCUGUGACAGUUAUGAGAAGUGUACGUAAUGGGUACGGGAUAAACAUGGUCAUCCCAUUUUUCUAAGUAUCCCCUAUUAAAACUGAUGGUAACCAAAGCCGGCCCUGAGGGUGUGCAAAAGGUAUCACCGCACAGGGCCCUCGAUUCGGAAGGGCCCCCAAAUUUUCUUUACAUGUAAACAGAUAUAUAUUAUAUAUUAAAAUGUGCAAAAUAAUGAUAUUUAUUGUACCUGGUGGUGUAGGCCUUUAAUCUUCUUGUACAUGGAUUGGGUUUGAGUCCUUGUAGAACUAUUUUGCAAUUUUUAAGUUUUGCAAAUUUAUUAAUUUAAAAAGUUGAUAAGUUUUACACAAAAAACCAUGCAACAUAUUUCGAACUAGACCUUUCAAGAUAGGAAACACUCUUGUCCACUCAAAUAAUACGUUAUAUGUUACAACCUAUCCUAAAUCAAGAUAUAUAUUUUAUCACCAAGCAUGUAAAAUGACAAUAAUGCCCUCGUGAUUUAGUGACGUGGAUGUCCAAUAUAGUUUUAAAUUAUUCCCUCGCUCACGAAAUUAAGUGGUGCUCGACGUCACAAACAUGUCGACAUGAAUUAAUAACGAGUAUGGGUGUAAUUCUAUUUUUCAGGUUGGUUAUUUCUUCUUUGGACCCAUUUUUAGGGCCUUAACUCAAUGGCCCAAUUAAGGGGCCUUAUUACUCCCUUAACCCGUGCUUUUUCCCCCCACAUUCCAAAAAAUUCCUUUUCUCCCUCACACUCUUCCGCACCUCUCCUCCUCUCGGUGAUCUCGUCCCCGGCAUCACACACAUGCAUAUACAUAUUUGCACCUACUGCAACUAUCAAAAUUUCUCCCUUUCUUCCUCACACCCCAUACUCACCCUUUCUCACCCUUUGGAAUUGUGUAGUUUUCGUACGGUAACUUCGUCGGAAUCUUGAACCUUUUGACCAAGGUAAGUUUGGAAUUUCCAACCUCAAAUCCUUCUCACGUUGAACUCCUAGUGAUGUUUAAUAUUAAAUAGAAGGUUUGUGGGUGAUUUAAUACAGAUUUCAUCUCGGGGAAGAAUUUUCCCAGAUUUGUGGAAAGUGAACAGUGGUCAUUUGACCAUUUUCAGACCAGAUUUCCAACCAACUCCGGUUCUCCGUUGGGUUUCUUAAGGGUAUGAUUCUCUUCUCUACAUUUCUAACUUCAAAAUGGCUUUUGAAUCAUCAAGUUUGGUUUAGUAUGGAACUAGAAACUAGUAGGAAAGUUAGGAAAAAAAUUCCAGUUUUCUGGAAUUCUUGGACCCGUGACCAUUUGGCCACUUUUACACCACUUUUCCGGCGAACCCUGUCUAUGUCAAGACCCCAAAUGGGUAUAUAUCUAUUCCCUGAAUUCCUAACUUUACUUAGGCUUUUGAAUCAUGGAUUUUGGUUGAGAAUCGAGCUCAAAAUGAACUCUAGAAGUCUUGCGUUCCAAACUGCAAAAGUGCAGAUUUUUGCAAGGAGGAAGAAGGAAAAAAAAAAAACCUUUAAACCAUUUCAAAUUGGACCUAAGCCAUUUAAUUGGUUUAGGCCUUAUGUUCAAAAUGGAUUAAGUCCAUUUAGUUUUAAGUUGGGUUUUACACUUAAACUAGAUUAAGUCCAAAAACUAUUCUAAAAUAUGAGGAUGUUCGUGGGGUUGAGUAAACCACAAUGGUAUAUUCAAACACCCUAAUUGAGUGACGUAUGAGAAAUUGAUCAUAGGUUUUGUAUAUGUGCUAUCGAAUUAACGUUAAAUUAGUUGUUUCACAUAUAGGUGAGACGUUUCCAGAGGACGAGCAUAGCCAGGCAAGACUUGGGGACUACGACCUAGCUAUAUACUAGUGAAUGGGCUUUUGGUUUUCAGUAUAUAUGCAUACAUAUAUAUACUUGGUAUUUUUCCCAGAAAACUUAAUUAAAUGGUUUUAUAUUUUGAAAUGCCAUGUCAAAUGCUCUCUAUGUUCGAUUAUGCAUUAGUAUGGUUAUAUAUAUUGUUGCUUGACGUUGUGGACGCUCAGGUAAGCUUCUGGUGAGUAUAUUGAUGGUAGUGAUGGUAGUGAGUAUAAUUGUGUUGAGAUGUAUUUAGAGUUUAUUAUCCUGCACCCCGGUGUUAGUGCUCUGCUCAAAGACAAGGCCUAGCCUUCACGUGAUCGUUCACCUCCCGCACCACACGUUCUCCUUGGAUCCAAGGUAGGUGCCAACCUGUCGUACAGACCACAUUAAGUGGUUCCGACUCGUAGGUGACUUGCGAUACUUCGCAUAGCCUUCACAUGAUCGUAGCACUUAAGCAUAUUUAUUUACACCUAAUCUGUUGUACAGACCACAUUAGGUGGUUCCAACUCGUGUGCAGGAUUUGAUUGAUGAGUUAUGGUCCCAGUCGUACAGGUCACUUUAGGUGACUCCGGCUGGCAUACUAUUUCAUAUUGGUUUAUUCUACCCGACUUACUUAUUUAGAUUUGACAUGGUAUAUUUGUGGAAUUGUUAUUUCGAAUAUGGUUUUGAGAUAUAAAUAUGCAUGUUGUUUUCUGGGAAGUAUAUAGGUUUUAUGGCGAGGGGUUAUUUUUUUUGAUAAUUGAAAUGGUUUUAGAAAACUUUGUCUUUGCCCACUCACACUUUCUGUUUUGCGCCCUCCAAGUUUUAAUUGCUAAAAGUUCGUAUCGACGAGGAUUCUUGGCAAAUCUCAUAAUAGGUGGCUACUUUUGAGGGUAUGAUCCUUAUUCACUCUACUGUACUUACUUAUGCUCUAAUGUCACAUGUGAAGUGGGUUCAUUCCUACUCACCAGCGCAUUCUGGUAUUUAGGCUCUCUUAGGUUUAAAUUUAUUCACAUUUUUCCACACCAUCACACUUUAUGGCUUCGUCAUCUUCCAAGUGUCGACUAGCACAACUCGAUUUGGAGUCCUAGUGGACGUUCCGGGUUGGGGUGUCAUCAUAAUUUGGUGCUCUAAUUUGUAGUAUUUAAAUUUUAUAGAUACAGAUUGAAAAAAAAAUAACAAAGAAAAUACAAUAUUAAAAAAGAUGAAAGGCCUCUAUCUAAAUCUUGCACAUGAUCCCUAAAUUCUCAGGGCCGGACCUGAUGGUAACAUCCGCUUAUUUAUUUAUUCCAUGGUUUGUAGUAAACAUACAAUAUGACAUAAAUAAAAAUUAUACGCAUUUCUUUACAAAAUAUUUUUUUUUCUUCAAACAACGAAUUUUGUUAGGUGAGCCACCAACAGAAUUUGAACUCAUAUUAUCAUGUAAGAGCUCAACACCUUUUCAUUACUGUGGUAAAUGGUGACUUGCUACAAAAUAUAUUUCUUAAAUGCAUGAUAUGACAUGAUCCUUGCAAAUUUAUUCCUUUACACCUUCACUCAUGUGGAUGUGUAGAGAAUAAUGUACAUAUCACAAAAUAAAAAUAAAUAAAUAAAUAAAAAAUAAAAAAUAUAUAUAUAUCUCUACUAAUUAAUAAAACACUCAUUGUCAACCAAAAUCCUAUGAUAUUACCAGAUUAACCCUCUAAUUAAAACAUAACAUGAAUAAGAAAUAUGGAAUAGAAAUGUAAUUUUACACAACCAAAUUUUGCUGUUUUUUUUUUCAAAACCUUACCUACAUGUAAUCCUAACAUAUCUCUAAUUAAAAAAUAAAAAAAAUUUCGGCUAUCACAUUCUCUAUCACUCUCUUCCUCUCUCCUUCUACUUCAAAACCAAAAAUAAAAAUAAAAAUAAAAAUUCUCACACACUUUAUGUGUGCCCAUAUGCUAAUAUAUAUUUAUCAAUACUCAAAAUCUUCUCCAAUUGUUGACCAAACGAAAAUAUCUUCAGACUGAUUGAAAUAUUUAAACAAAGUGGUCAUUAAAUAUCUAGAAAAGUUCAUUCGCAUAUUAAUUUAAGAACAAUGAGAUAUUUUUGUAUUUUAAAACUAAAAGGGAGUUAAUUGUCCUUUUCUUUCCGAUUAUUUUUAUUUUUUGUCUAAUUUUCUUUGUUGUAUUCUAAUUGGAAUUGGAAUUAAAAAGUCGUUUGGAGAUAAGAUUCUUUAUUAGACAGCCGAUGCACAUACGACCAAGCCCCAAACCCCAAACCCCAAAGAACCCUCCAACCACUCUCAUAUUUGGCUGGUUGUACUUGGCAUCAAGAAUUUACCAACUUCGCCCGACUGACUAAGUGAAAUUUCAACCAUCCGAUCGCCACCAACCUACAAGAUCCGACAGUUUAUUCAUGUAAUGUACCAUAAUUUGCUGCAUGAUGUAACAUUAGGCAGAUGUUAAUGAGACCAUUACGUUCCUUCAGUGAAAAGGAUUUGUCCAAGGAACUCAAGCUAAGCAAUGAGAAAUACGUGGAUCAAUCAGGUUUACGUAAUGUCCCACGGAGAUUUGGUCAGAAAGGACUUUCAACACAGGCGGAGGCAAGUACAAGGUUCUAGUGGGCUAUAGCAUAGGGAGGGUUUCAAUUCUUUAAGCUUAAAAACACUAGUUAUUUGUGCUAUUUUAUGAUUUUUAAUUAUCGCCCUUGUAGCAAAUGAAAAGACCGAAUCUUAGGGAUGUUUUUAGGGACAAUAUGAGUUAAUAAAAUAUGCUCAUCAUUUUAACCAAUAUUACUAAACUAAAACUUUCAUACCACACAUAAUUCCUUUGAAAGUUUUGAAGGCUAAAAGCCGAUAAAAAUAGACUAUAUUUUUUUUCUUACUUCAAAUUAUUACUUUCAGAUUUACUACUAUAUAACUUUAUGCAAGUAACAAAAAAAUUGAGCAUCUGAUUUCGUAGUAAUAAUUUACACUAAUUUGGAUUAUAAUUGAUAAAACCAGAACCAGAAUCUUUGUGUGGGCUUUCUUUUCUUCAAAACACGUCUCGUAUUGUAACAGAAAACAUAACACGUUCAUUGUCUGCAAGAUAUCCAACCAGACGGUAAAGCAUUUGUCUUAAAUCAAUAAUUGAGAAGCAUCCAAUGUUAUUCAUUUCCACAAAUAAAGCCUUGGAGUUUAGUGGAUGUGUGACCUUUUAAAUUAUAUAACAUUUGUGACAAAUUGCACCAUUCUUAUAACACCAAGUUGUUGAUGCUUGUUAAAUUUAGUUGUGUUCAUUUCUUUUGUGUGUGUCAAAUCUGUUAUUUUAAUAGGUUCUAAACUUCAAACACAAAUUUGACCCGUUAAAAUUGACAAGUUACUCGACCCGCCCAUUUUACCCGUUGAGGACAAUAUUUACUUCAAUAAAUAAUCUAAUGAAAAAAAAACUGCAUACUAUAUUACUAAACAUUAACAUAUGAAUUCAUAAGUUCCCUUUGAUUCAGCAAUACAACUAUAAUCAUUUCAUUAAGCACUACAUCUACAUGCCACAUAAAUUGAGAAAGAAAUGAUAGAGAGUUAGGACUUUAGAUUAACGGGUUAAAAUAAAUUGAGAGAGAAACUGAUAGAGCUAGGACUUUAAUUUAACGGGUUAAAACGGGUUGAAAUGGGUUACUCGUGGGUAGACCUGAAGCAACUUGUUAUUUAACGAGUGCUUAACAGAUUGACACAAUAAAACACAUGAUCUGUUAAGUUACUCGACCCGCCCAUUUUACCCGUUGAGGACAAUAUUUACUUCAAUAAAUAAUCUAAUGAAAAAAAACUGCAUACUAUAUUACUAAACAUUAACAUAUGAAUUCAUAAGUUCCCUUUGAUUCAGCAAUACAACUAUAAUCAUUUCAUUAAGCACUACAUCUACAUGCCACAUAAAUUGAGAAAGAAAUGAUAGAGAGUUAGGACUUUAGAUUAACGGGUUAAAAUAAAUUGAGAGAGAAACUGAUAGAGCUAGGACUUUAAUUUAACGGGUUAAAACGGGUUGAAACGGGUUACUCGUGGGUAGACCUGAAGCAACUUGUUAUUUAACGAGUGCUUAACAGAUUGACACAAUAAAACACAUGAUCUGUUAAGUCUCAACUCGAAACUUUUUUUUUUUUCACGUCACUUCAUGACGAUUUAACGUGUUAUGCAUGAAAUUGCCAAGUCUGCUUAUAAUGAUUGACCAAUUUUUUAUUACUGUUAUAUUAUUUCAUAGUGUUACUAAUUCAUAUAUUACAAUAUCAGCGAACGCCAUAGUUAAAUUUCAUGGUUAAUGUUAACAUAGAUAAAUAAAUUGAUACCGCCAUAUUGUGAUGUCAACAUCAAUUAAAAAGGUUACUCAUUCUUGAUAACACCAAGUUGUGUAAUGGCACUUAACUUAGAAGUUAUUCAUUCUUUUCAACUUAUCCAUCUAUUCUCUUUACUACUAACUAUAAAGACCUUACAAUUAAAUUAUCCCCUUUUCUAUCAAUUGAAAAAAUAACAAAUUCCAACUUGGGAUACAAUUCAGAUGUGGGUUGAGUCAGUUGGUUAAAGUAACGUGCUUCUUCACACAAGUUUGAAUCCCUCGUGUCGAUGAAUUCAAUGUAAUUAUCUUAUUGUUUGUCCAAACAAAAACAAAAAAAUGAAGUGGACACAAAUUUUGAAUUAGAGUUGAGAGAAAAUAGAAUCACCUCUUGGGUAGAAUGAGUUAUGAACAACCAAAUUAACUAGGAAGACUAUAUGAACAUUGAAGCAAACAGUAUGAUCACGCUAAAGGUUCCCAGCAGGAGCUAGCUAGCAGCUGGGUUUAUAAAUCAUAUAACCAACAAAAUUCCUGAUUAAAUUCGCAUAUAUUGAUAUCUUGAAUAAAAAUCUUUAUCGUUCUGCCUUAAAAGAAAAAAGAAUCGCAAAUAUAUAAAUGGCCGGAUGGAUUACAUCUCUCACAACUUAAUUAGGCUAAUUAAUAACAAAGUGAGCCAAAAUCUUAAUAAUAUUACAAACCUCCACUGGAAAAAGGAAAUGGAGCAAUUAAAUGAACCAAAAGAACAAAUAUAUAUAUAUAUAUAUAUAUAUCGUGCCAACCUGAAUCUUUUUACAGAAAUAAGAGAUGAAAUCAAAUGGUGAAUAUAUUUAAGGAAGAAAACCAACGAAAUUAACUGGAGCUGUGGAAUAGUGAGAUGAAUAACUUGUUAGCUGUGGAGAGAAGUUGUGCUGAAGAGCUACCUCGACUGCCUGAGCGAUAACGAGGACGAGCUCGAACGCCAGUUUCAGUAGAUCCAUGCACAUUUCCAGUCUCUGAAUCACCAUUGCUAUGUUGCUGUAUUGCUAGGUAAAGACUUUCUCUUUCUUUAUCUUCUUUUUUGCUCUUUCUGUUCUCCCCUUAUAUCACUUUCCUAUCCAUAUUCUUGACAGACCUACUUGUAUUUAUAUCCUACAAAUAAAUUAAUUAAUUAGGAAGAAUAUAAAAAUACCAUUAAUAGAUAAACGUUCUAUGAUUAACUUUUUCUUUUCUUUUUGAUUAAUAUAUAGAAAAAUGGAGUUUUUGAAAAGACCCUUUUCCGUCAGUAGAAAAUGAGUAAUGUUACACUAACCACGUAUUUAUAUCAUCAUUUGUACUAUAUUUCUAAUAGAAUUAGUGUCACAGCCCAUUCUGAGAUUUUCUCAUUAAGGACGUAAAAGGACGAAAGUACCCUUGACGUUACUAAGGUGUGUGUGUGAUAUGUUUUGAAUAUUUCAUAUUUUCCUAAACUAUUGCAAAUAUUAUUUAAGUUGGAUAUAAAAUUGGUAUGUUGGAUUGUUUGUGUUGUUAGGGAGCUAGGAUGAAAACGGAUGGUGAGGGUUGUGUUGGACCACACAAUCACACACACACACACUCCCUGCUCUCAUUCUCUUCCCCGUGCCUCUCUCUCUCCUCCCUCACGACUCUCUCACUCUCUCUCACCCUCGAAACGUACGGACCAACGUCAAAAACCCCUGAAACUUCAUGGAUCGACGUGGAGAUUAGCAUCAUCGUGUUCGUGAGUGUCCUACGAACUCAAAGAUACCAUUUUCAGGUAAGAAAUCCUUCGUUUUCACGUUGAAAACUCGAGGACCGAAUGUGGCACUAUUCAUGAACUUUGUGUAUGUUGAUUUUUAGGACAAUCCAAGCUUAUAGUGAGCUUAGUGAGGUCCUAAGGAAGCUCGGGGACGUUCAUUUGGAAGUUUUGGACGUCGGGAUCACCACGUUCAAAGUUGGCCGAUUUUCGUGGGAUUUCUCCGGUGAGAUUUCGUGAUUUUUAGAGCCUUAAAGUAGUAUAGCGUGAAACUACAUGUUUAGGGCUUCAUUUUGAUAUAAAAUUCGAAGAAAACGGUUGAGAAACAAAAGAGAACAAGCAAUUACAAAAUUCGCCAGAAUCCGGCCACCGGAAAAACCAGUCCGACGACUGGCUGAGGAAGAAGACGCGCGUGGGGGCGCGUAGGUCCGUGCCACCCACGGCGCGUGGGGGCACGUGACAAGCCCAAAAUUUUUUCUAAAAAUUCCUCGACGUCCGUGACGUCGAGUAGGUCGUUGUGGUAUAUUCAUAUACCCAAAUUGAGCACCGUAUGAGAAGUUAUUUCGAAUUGUUGGUUAUGUGUUUUAAUUAACGUUUUUAUAGUUGUUUCGCAUAUAGGUGACACCUAUCCCGAGGACGAGCGCAUCCAGGGACGUCACGGGGGUUACGACCCAUCAACUUACCAGUGAGUGGGCAGUUUGUUUCGUAUUACCUAUAUACUACUGUUUUUCCCAGAAAAUGCAUUUAUAUGAAAAUAUGUUUUAAAGUGCCAUGCAUGCAAUCGAUGAGAUAUUUGAAUUGAUAAUUGAUGCAUAUAUAUAUGAAUUGGCGCGGUGGACACACAGGUGAGUUUUUACAUUAUUCAUACGAUUUAUUAUGUGAAUUGCAUUGAAAGCUCAUAACCUACACCCUAGGUGUUAGUGCUUAUAUUAUUCACCACACUACACGCUCGCCUUGGAUCCAAGUAGGUGAAUGUCGUACAGAUCAUGUGAGGGUUCCGACAUGCUAGUCAUAUAGAUCGCUAGAUGUGAUUCCAACUAGUGGGUGACCUUAGUUAUGCGCGCCGAUGAUUGAUGAGAGAAGCACUAGAGCGUAUUCUUACACCUUUCAUCGUACAGACUACCUUACGUAGUUCCGAGUGACGUGCAGAGUUGGGCCGUAUAGGUCACUGUGGUGACUCCGGCUGAGUGGGAUAUUGAGCUAUAGAAUCAGCCGUACAGGACCACUGUAGGGUCUCCGGUUGAUUUAUUAUUUCACCUGAUUUAUAUCGAUGCAUUCAUAUUAUAUUUUGGCGUGGCAUGGCAUGGCAUAUUCUUUCUGAAAAGCGUUGAAAGAUUGUGAGCUGAGUUUGAUGAUAUAUGUAUAUAUGUUUUAUAAUAAAUUUCUGGGAAAGUAUACAGGUUUUACGGUGAGGGGUUAGAAACGUUUUAAAUGAAAUGUUUUGGAAAAUCUUUGGUUUUACUGACCCACUCAUCUUUGUUUUGCGCCCCUCCAGGUUAUAGUUAGCAGUUGGUGGCUCACGAGGUCUUUUUCGGCGUUCUGACAAACGUUCUGCAUGUAGGACUCACCUGCGGAUGUUGCACUUUUAAUUAUAGUCCUACUUGACUGCACUUGAUACCUACGCUCUGAAUUCGUGUGUCUUACUUUAUAACUCACUCUUUUAUGCUAGUAGUUGUUUUAAUAACUUAUUACUGCUAGUGGUUGUUUUAAAUUCCUUCAUAUUUCUAUUAUAUCUUGCUUCCGUGUCGCACUUUUGGCUACGUCACGCUCACGUGACGGCCAGCACGCCUUGAUUCUAGGAUCGAGGUGUGUCAAUUAGGGCUCGCCAACGCAUGUGGAUAUAAAGAUAGUACAAAUAAGUGGUACGAGUAGUAUUUUUGUUAGAAAAGAUAUAUAUAAUAUAUAAUAUACAUCAUUGAAUUAUGAGAUCUUAAUGUUUGUGCUAUCUAUUAUAUAUAUAUAGAUCACUAAAUUUGUAAGAUAAUAUUUGUGUUCUCACCAAGGGGAUGAAAUCAUUCCUCUCUUUAAUAUGCAUAAAUCAUAUCUUUAAACGUGUUUAAUUUUUUAAAAGAAAAGGAAUAAAUAAAAGCCUUAAUUUAUAUAAAUUCCUCACGCUCAAACUCCUAUCUAAUUUGUUCGUCGAGAAGGCAAUGAGCGGCACAUUUUAUUACAGGGUUUAUCCAAAAAAAUGGAGGUUCUUUUAGCUGGGAUCGUAUUGGUCGAGAAUUCUUUUUUAAUAUUUUGGCUGAAGAUAUAAACAUUUCAAUUAGAAUUAAAGUCUAUCUUUUUUUUCUUUUUUUUGAACAAACGAUAUUAUCUACAUUAAGUGGGGAGGGGUGGGUUUAGCCUCACAAUAGGUUAGCAAUAAUAUGGUUCAAAUUCGCCUUUAAUGAGAAUUGAACCUAAGAACUCUCACUUACAAGUGAAGAAGAAUAUCACUAAGUCGUAGUACUAAGUGGCAUAAAAACUAUCUCUUAGAUAGGAAGUUUUUUUUUUUUUUUUUUUUUUUUUUUUUUUUUUUUUUUUUUCAUUUUGAAAGAUUAAACAAGAUAUAAUUGCUCCAUGUCAAAGAGGAGGAACAAGCUGAUCCCUCCAAGGGGUAAAAACAAGUAUUAUCCAAAUUUAUAUCACAGAAUCUAUACUAUUAUUUGAUAUGAAUAAUCUACGAGUAAUAGUAUGUAGUCAGAACUUUAUUAUUUUAAGCAAUUGAAUUUUUGAGUAUUUUGUCAUGAAGUUUGCAAUUUUUCUCUCUUUACUUUUGCUUCUUUCUUGCUCUUUCUAUUCUCCCCUUAUACAACUUCCCUAUCCAUAUUCAUCACAUUCCUAUUCUAAAUAUGACUGCAACAAUAUUUAAUUUAUAAUAUUACAUUAUUACUUGACCCGUAUGAUUUGUGAUUAGUUGUAUGUAUUGAGAGUUUAUCAAUUUAGGCAAUUAGAUUUUGAGUACUUUCUUAGAAAAGUUAGUUAGGCUAAAAAAAAGGGUGUCAAAUAGUAGGGAAUGAUGGUAAUGGAGAUGUGGCAGGCUAUGGUGAUUGGACUAGAACUAGGAUGAUUCGUGAUGUCCCGGAGACCCCGAGGGUGAUAAAUGUUAUUCAAGAAAGGAGGAGACAUGCAGGGGUUAGUAGAGAUGGAGGGACUAUGACUCAGAUUAGGAGGGGAAACAACAAUAUAGGAGAGGAAGGCAUGGCGGCGGUUGGAAGUGGAAGAAGGGGGUUUUUAUUGGAAGUGGGGGAGGGUCGUCAAUUGAAGUGAUGCCGGUUUCGGCAAAUAUCCCCUUUCAUGCUUCGGGUGGAGGGUCAGGAGAUCGCAACACUAAGGGAUUGCAGAUGACGGGGAUGAGUAAUGAAGGUGAAUGGGAGCAGAUGGGUGGGAGAAAGGUAGGUAGCAGAAGUGGGGGGUUCGGGACGAAGGUUAUGACGAGGGGCAAUAGUGAGGGGGCUACAUCACAAAACCCUGUGGUGAGAAUAGAGCAGGUGAUGAGCCAGCAUCUAGCUGUGGUGCAGCAACCAAGCAACCUUUCAUUGGGUCAAACGGAGGGUGAUGGUCUUUUCCAAAGGAUGGGCCUAAAGAGGAAUGCGAGUAGCAAUAGAGCCUAAAGGCCGACUAAAAGGACAAAAAGACCGACAGGGGCCCGUGUACAUGCUAGGAGGGGGCAUGUAGAGGAAAUGCUGCUGUGACUAGUGGUUUGAAUAAUGAACUGGUGAAAGAUGCAAGCGCUCUAUUGGAGGACAAUUUGUUAGAGGUCCUAGUUUAGGAAGAAAACAUUUGGCCUUAUCUUAAGGACAUUUUGGACGGAGAGGCAAAAAAGAUAGGACAGAGGUUAGCAAAUAAAUGUUGUGGCAGUGGCGGUGGCGGCUGGCCUGGAACAGCCGCAAAUCAUCCAUGAUACACAUAGUGUGGAACUCAGUGGUCUUGGGUUGGACACGUUCGAGCCUUACAUGGGCUCAUUAGACGAUAUAGACCCUCUGUGGUUUUCUUAUCUUAAACAAAAAUGAAGAACCACAUAAUUAUUAAAGUUCGCAAACAGUUGGGGUUUGUAAAUGGGUAUGACGUGCCUCCGGUUGGAAUAGCGGGAGGGCUGAGUCUGUGGUGGGACGAUAGUAUGAAGGUCAAAGUGGUGUCGUCUACUAAGCAUUUGAUUCAUACAAAGAUGCAGAUCGCAGGUGAUGAGUGGUUUCAUGCCUCGUGGAUUUACGGUACACCCUAUAGAAAUGAGAAAAUUGAAUUUUGGUAAUGGAUCUUGGAGGAGCUGAGUCUGACGGAUGUUCCAUGGAUUUGCGUUGGCGACUUUAAUGAAAUACUAACAGAUGAUAAGAAAUCUUGAGGGAGCCAAAUACACUAUACAGCGACUACAUUUCUGCAAUCUUUUAUGAACAAUAUGGAAGUGGUGGAUCUUGGGUUCUCAGGGCCUAAAUUUACUUGGAGGGGAACUAGAAAUGGAAGUUUGGUGCAAGAAAGGUUGGAUCGUGGGUUGAUUAAUGGAGGAUGGCAGAUUCGAUGGCCAAACUCAGUGAUUAUCCAUGAAAGUGCUAGGGCGUCUGAUCAUUGCCCUUUGAUUCUUAACAUUGACCCUCUAGUUCCAAAAUUAACCACUAUUUCGGUUCGAGGCCUUUUAGUGCAAGGAGGAGGGAUGUAGAGAGACAAUCGAAAGGUGCUGGAAUGUGGGUUGUGUCGAGAGGGGAGUGAGAAAAUGGCAACUGAAGUUGAACUUCACUAGAAAAGGUCUGAUGAAAUGGAGCUAUGCCAAAUUCAAAAACAGAAAGUUUGAGCUUUAAAGGUUGAACUCGCAGCUUGGGCAUCUCCAACGAAAUUGGAUGGAAAAUAGUACUGAAAUGGGAGUGCUCGCGCAAACUAUUAACCUUCUUGAAGCUCAAGAGGAAGCAUAUUGGGCAGCUAGAUUAAGAAUCAGAUGAUUACAGGCCGGUGAUUCGAACAUGGGCUUUUUUCAUCAGUCUACUAUCAUUAGGCACCGUCGGAACAAGUUAAAUCAAAUCCGGAAUAAUGAUGGUUCCUAGAUGAAGGGUCCUACCGGGGUUAGAUUGACAGUGUAAGAUCACUUCAAAAAAUUAUUUACAUCUAAUGGUUUUCGCGAUUAGGGGGAUAUUCUCGGAUGUAUGGAUCCGGUGGUUACUAUUGACAUGAAUGAAGUGAUGUGCAGUCCUAUCUUCGACAUUGAGAUAAAAGAUGCAAUGUUCAAUAUGGAAGGGGCAAAGGCACCUGGUCCAGAUGGGUUCCAAGGCAUAUUCUUCCAAUCGUACUGGGAUAUUAUUGCGGCGGAAGUCCAUGGUAUUGUCGAUGAGUGCCUAAAGGACAAUGGCUGCCCUUCUGUGAUAAAUUUCACCAAUAUUGCGCUGAUCCCCAAGGUCCCCAACCCGAAAAGUGUUAGUCAGUUCAGGCCAAUUAGUCUUUGUAACUAUGCCUAUAAGGUACCAUCUAAGAUUUUGGCAAAUCGAUUGAAACCUAUGUUGGAGAAAAUAAUUUCGCCAUGUCGAAAUGCGUUUAUUCAAGGUCGGCAAAUCUAGGAUAAUAUUAUUUUGGCCCAUAAAAUUUUUCAUUUUCUUAAGUUGAGGAAAACUAAGCAUAAGUUCGAAAUAGGGAUCAAAAUUGAUAUGAACAAGGCUUAUGACCGGGUUGAGUGGGAUUUCCUUGAGGCUGUCAUGGGACAACUUGGGUUCCAACAAAGAUGGAUUGAUAUGGUAAUGCGCUAUGUCAAAACGGUGGAGUUUGCUAUUCUAAUCAAUGGGAGGCCGGGGAAAACUUUUAAGCCAACUAGGGGUCUCAGACAGGGAGAUCCCCUAUCCCCUUAUUUGUUCCUCACUAUAAGUGAAGUUCUCUCUAUUGUGAUUAAUAGGGCGGUUCAACAAGGCUAUUUAGAAGGAAUAAGGAUUUCAGAUUCAGGACUUGUGCUCUCUCAUAUUCUGUUUGCUGAUGAUACCUUGAUGUUCCUUAUGGCUACUAAGCAAAAUUGCACAAACUUGUCUUCCCUUCUUCAGUUGUAUUGUUGUGUUUUUAGUCAACAUGUUAGUCUCUAUAAAUUAGUUGUGUAUUUUGGAGCAAAUAUCUCACCCUAAUUGGCGUUAGAGCUAUGUGAUAUUUUAAAUAUGCCUAAGGUAAAGGAUCCUUGUAAGUAUCUGGGAAUUCCAAUAAUUUGGGAGAGAUCGAAUCAGGAGACUUUACAUAUAUCAAAGAUCGGGUUUUGGCUAAAAUUGAUGGCUGGAAAAGGCGAUUCUUAUCUCAAGCGGGGAAGGAAGUUCUUAUCAAAGCAGUUGUUCAGGCUAUUCAUAUGUAUCCUAUGAGUGUAUUUCGACUGCCGAUUACGUUAUGCAAUGAAAUUGACGUGGCUGUGGCAAGGUUUUGGUGGGCAGGGACUGACAAGGCUCGUGGGAUACACUGGAUUAAUUGGAAGGAUCUGGGUCGAUCCAAAAGGGAAGGAGGUAUGCGAUUUCGAAACUUCAAAGAUUUUAACAUUUACUUGCUCAUAAAACAAUGUUGGCGAUUGAUUCAUGACCACGACUCUAUGGGCGCGUGUUCUUAAGGCAAGGUAUUUCCCAAAUGUUUCUUUCCUUGAAGCAAAGAAAGGCGGUAGAGCCUAUUGGGUGUGGGCGAGUCUUUUAGAAAUGAGGGAUAUCAUUUUACAGGGUGUUAAAUGGCAGGUUUUGGGAGGGCAUGAGGUUAGGUUUUGGAUGGAUAAUUGGGUCCCAGGCAUCCCUAAAGGGCACCCUACCUCUCCCAUUUACACGGAUAUAAACAGAAAGUGCAUGGUUGUUGAGUUUAUUGAUCCAAUAUCAAGGGAGUGGAAUAUUGAUCUCCUGUCUAAUCUUGUUUCUGUGAAUGAGCAGAUGGCCAUCUCACACAUUCAUAUGGGGCCAGCUAGGAGAUCGGAUAAACUUAUUUGGCCGUUUGAAAGGAAUGGCUCAUUUUCGGUAAAGUCUGGUUAUAGGUGGUGUUACAACUGCCACCCUACGGUGAACAAUGAUCAUAUGAAUCCUCGGGUGUGGGUUUGGGUUUGGAGUUGUAAAGCCCUUCCAAAAAUGAGAAACUUUGUAAAGGGCUCUUCGUGAUGCUUGUGCCACCAAACUCAACCUGUAUCGACGUCGGUGUGCUAUUUCCCUACUUUGCCCCAUUUACGCAGAACACAAGGAAACUGUGGAGCAUUUUCUUCUGCUUUCUCGUGGGCAUCUAGGGUGUGGAAAAAUGGUCCUUUAAGCCUCUAGAUUGAUCAAAGCUUUGUCACAACUUUGGGUGAAUUGUUGUACUCAGUUGGAAACCAAAAUAUGGGCAGUAAGGUGGACCUCGAACAUACUAUGUCCUAUCUUGUCUUUUCAUGUUAGUUUAUCUGGAUGGCCAAAUGUGAUGCAAUUUUCAAUGAGUUUUCAGAAUUAUUCGGGCUAUUGUCACUGCCAUGGAUUAUUUUAUGUUGGCCUCUUCGUUUAUUCGACCGUCAGCUACUGACAGAAUCACCCUUGCUCGUGGUGUGUAUCAACCUGUUCGGUGGUCUCCACCCCCUGUUAACUGGAGGAAGAUAAAUGUUGAUACUUGUUGGAAGAGAAACUCUCUAUGCGGUAAUAUUGGGAUUGUGGUCGGAGACAGCUAUUCAGGUUGUAACGUUGUGUGAAGUGUGAGGGUGCAUGCAUCUUUUGUUGAGAUGGCGAAGGCUCUUGCCGUUCUGGAAGAGUGUUUACUGGCAAAAAAUUUACAACUGCAGAAAGUGGUGAUUGAAUCGGAUGUGCAAGUUAUUAUGCUACCCCUUAAUUCUCCUUCUCUGAGUUGUGAUUGGGACCUUCUCCUAAUUCUUAGCUGUGUUCUGGAGAUUGGGAGGAGUUUUCAAUCAUGCUCUUGGUCGUGGGUUCCGUGAGCAGCAAAUAGGGCGGUGGAUUUAGUCGAGAGGAAUAUAUCUCUGGAGAUGUGCGCCUUCGGUUGGGUUGUUAGACCUCCAUCUUCGCUUGUAGGUAUUUUGAACAAAGACGGUAUUCCUUGUCCUCCUUUGUAAGGGUGGGGUUUCUUUUUGCACGGGUAGAUGGGACGACGCUGGUGUCUUGCAGGAUGGCGUCACAUUGUGUCCUAUUUAUCUUCGUCUUUGCUCCCUAGGCUUUCAGGGAAGCUCUCUGUUUAUUGUUUGGCCUGGUGCCAUUUUGUUUCUAUGAAUUGUUCUUUCAACCAAAAAAAAAAAAGACACCAGUAUCUCUCUAUCUCCAACCGAAUGUAUAUGUAUAUAUGUAAUCCCAGUGUCUGAAACCCACAGGAGAUAUCUUGAUUAAUAUCCUGAUUAAGGGAAUUAAAUCUACUCUGAAUCUUAUUAUUCAGAGCUUAGAGGUUCACAAAUUUGAGCCAUAUAUUUGUAUGGAAAAAAUUAAAAUUGUUGGUUUGUGGGAAGUGAGUCAUCAAAAUAAGUUAAUAAGAACUAUCGAAUUCAAUUUAUGUGGCUUAAAUUUGUGGAUCCCUAAGUUACGGACACAAAAUUACAGUGGAUUCAAUUCCUAGAUUAA